This 92367-nucleotide long non-coding RNA is filed under the name Medicago truncatula (barrel medic). Its description in RNAcentral is "long non-coding RNA (MTRU_LNC006717)". The record is from RNAcentral. Lineage: Eukaryota; Viridiplantae; Streptophyta; Magnoliopsida; Fabales; Fabaceae.
UCAAUAAAAAGUGCAGACAUAUCGACAAACAAAAUAAAAAAAAAAAUCUAAAUUUUAUAAUACCAAGAGUUGAACCUGGACAAGGGGUUAUACGGGUCCUUUAUGUUUACGAACUCAACUAGAGAAACAUUUUUUUUUUCGAAAAAAGCAAGACGAUAUUCAUCCAAUCAAAUUGAUAGAAUACAUCAAAGACAAUAACAUGAUCAAUAUCGCUAAAAAAGUAAAUGGUGAAUCUGCAAACAAACUCACAGCACCCAAGUUAAUAGCAUACAACGGCAAAAUGCCUACAAAUAAUAUGAUAAAAACUAAAUCACCAGAAUACUCAUGCUUCUAGAUCUGCAACGUUGACGUCUAAAUCAUUGAUUGAAUUUGUGAUUGUCUGAAGUUAAUCUUCAAUAGGAACCAAACGAAUACCGCACAGUUAGAUAUGAAAUCAAAAAAUGCCACACAAGACGGGGAACAACACAACGCGGCACUUAGACGAUGAAAUUACGAAAAAAACACAAAAGGACACUUGAUAUAUGUGGAUAUCACUUAUUUAGAUUGAAAGAAAAAGGGGAAAAAAAGAUGUGUAGGGUGUUUCUUGGUAAAAAAUCUCAACUAGAGAAACAUAUAAAACUAUGUUGCCAUGUAUGAUAUUUUUAAUGAAUCAAGUGAUUAAACUAAAGUGGUUAAUGUGAACAAAAAAAAAAAAAAAAAAACUAUAGUGGUUAAUGGCUUCACCGAAAGAUAAAUUAUUCCGGGAGAAACCUGAAUUCGAUUUAUUAUUACCAAUUUUUUUGUUUGACUCAAAUUUUUUAAGCCCAAAGCUCUAUUUUGGACCUUCGUUGUACACAUUUCAUAAUCUAUUGAACUAUGCUCUUCUCCUAACAAAUUUUUCUCCCACCCAACUAAAAUACCCCUACUUGAGAUAACUAAUGCACGUGUUAAUCCUGCUUUAGUUAACUCUCAUAACAUGCCUUAAGUCACGCAAGAGUACAUAUAUGCAUUAGUUAACUCACGCAACAAUUAGCACAUGUGUAUGUUAAACUGGUUUGAUUAAUACACAACUUUAUUCGAAUUUGUUUAAUACGUAAUUUUUAUUCGAAUUCACGCUGAGUUUAAUUAGUCUUUAUUCGAAUUUAUUUAUUCAAUACGCAAUGAUAAAAUAAAUGCAAAAAUUAACAAAAAUAAAGGAACAAAAAUGAUAGAUAUAAAAUCUCAUUUUAUUAAUAUAAUUCUUAUUACAUUUAUAAUGGGGUAAAACUAAAUUUACGGGAGAAAAAAAAAAACCACAAUAAAACCUACCUUUAUGUAGUAAAACUAAAAGAAAUUCACAAAAAAAUCAGCCUUCAUAUGGUAAAACAAAACAAAAACCCGCAGAAAACCAACCUUCUUGGGGGUAAAACUAAAUCUGCUUCUUUUUACCCCAAGAAAGCUGCUCACGAAUCAUCUUUUUACCCCAAGAUUGGCCUCUUUUUACACCAAAAUAAAGACUAAAAAAAGAAGGAAAAGAAGAAGAUUCAUAGGGGGGGAGAGUGAGGAGGAGAGUGAGAAUGUUAGAUGGUGUGAAGAAAUGGGGAAGUUUGCAAAGGUAUUUAUAGGUGAGAAUGGUAACAUAUGUUUUAACUACAAUAAAUGUAGUAAAAAAAACGUGUAAAACUUGUAAAAAAUCGUGUAGAAUCAAGGUUGAAAACCUAACCACCGUCCAAAAAACGUGUGUUCUUGAGCUCAGGCUACCGACCAACCUACAUGAAUUAACUCGCGCACAGACCGGUGGUGCGUGACUUAAGUCACGCUGAGCUCUAUUAGGUGUGUGAGUUAAGUCCUGCUGCGUGACUUAACUCACGCAAGAUAUAUUUGGAAAUUCAGUUGGACACGAGUGUUUUGUGUUGGGUAAAUAGCAAAAUUCUAAUCUCCACCAUACCUCACAAAAUUUGAAAAUUCAUCUUCUCCAUGAUGGGAUAAAACCGCAAGUGUACGGUUCUAUCGAAGUAGUAAAAAGAGAGUAUCGUUCCGACAGAGAGUUGUUUAAUUCAAUUAACUUUAAUUGAUGAUUAAAAGAGAAUUAAGUUGCAAAGUUGGGGUUUUCAAACGGUUGAAAGAUAAUAUAAUAAAAAAGUCUUGGGAUCAUUGGUCCAUCAUAGUGACAAAUCCUUCGCAAAUCAAACUAUUAAACCUAGAACCUUAUGUUAGACCUAACUUCUAAAGACAGUUUCUCUUGUGUUCCUCUAGCAAUCAAACCUAUUUCGCUAACUUGAUUACUAUUAGAUUUUGGUUUCUUUAGCAACCAAGCCUAUUUUGCUGACUUGAUUACUAUUAGAAUCCUUGAAGUUCGAAACUUAUAUGUCUCAAAGAUUGCAAAGACUAUUUCACUCCCUUUACAAUCCUUGUCUAAAUUCACUUGUUCGAAUAUCAAAGAUACACUUUCGUUUUAUUAAUUGAUAUUUGAGAUGAUGGAUUAACAAUUAUCAAACCCUUCACUUUCGUUUCCACAGUUUGAUAAUGGUUAAUUCAUGUUAAAACGGUGAAUUUAGAUUAGAAAUUGGAGUUAAAGCUUGGUUUGAUUAGGAUUAUGUCAUUAGACUUAUCCAACAAUCCCAAGACAAAAGAAGUCUACUCACUCAUGUUCAUCGUAGACAUGGAGAAGAAGAAGAAAAUCAUAAAAGUAAAUAACAAGAAAGUAAAGGAAAAGAAAAGAACUUUUAUUAAGAAAGACAAUUGUCACUUAUUGAAUUCCAAUAAUAAAAGAUGAAUAUUUGUGAUGGCUAACUACUCUAUUUAUAGUUUACAUUCGACUUAGAAUCUAAGCAAUUGCAUCACUAGAAUGUUCCACAAGAAAUUGCGGGCUUUUUUGUAAAACUAAAAAUAGAGUAGCUUAAAAUCUAAGCAAAAGCAGCAAAAGGUGGUCCUAGGAGGUGGCACGGCCGUGCCAAGCUUCUGACUUGGGGUAGACAUAUUUUUGUCUCCGAAUCAGCUCCAAACCCCUUUCUUUUGCUCUAAGACUCAAUCCAUCAAAUAUUCAUUCCUGAAAUAUAAUAAUAUACAAUUGAAGUAAAAUAGCUCUAAAAGAAAAUAAUAUUUAAAUAAAAUAAACUUAAAUCUAAAUAAAACGAAACUAAACAUUAUAUUAAAACAAUUAAUUAUAUUGACUCGUCACUCCACUAGAACUCCAAAUACUCUGAUUCUGUUAUUUACACGUUAGAAAAAUCAGAUUAGAUUUCUAAAAAAUUGACAGUGGAAUUGCAUGAAUCUUUAUACUUAUUUCCAAAAUACUUCCUCUAGACUUCGGUCCUAUAUAUGAAGAAAAAAAGAAUUAUUCUAAUUAUAAGAAAAUAUUACAAUUUUUAAGGUGUAAUUAGUACGUAAAAGAUUUUUCUGCCCCAUUUUUUAUGUUUUUGUUUUUUAUAUUAAUAGAUGUAUUUAAUGCUUCAUAACUUUUUAUGGGAAUAUAUGUUGGAUUAUAAUUAAGAAUUAAUUAUGGUUUUUACGUAAAUUUGAGUCUGGCCUUUUAUUUUCUUUAUUUUUUUUUUGACAAAUUUUAUUUUCUUUAUGUUAAGUUAUUGUGGUCAUAAGUCUAUAAAUAAACAUGUGUCUAAAAUCCAAUAUAUUGAAUAAAAAAAUUAUUAUGCAAUAUCAUAUAAAUUUUUAAAAAAAAAAAGUAUUUAGAGAUAAAAAAUAUAGUUGCAUAUAUGUAUAAAGAUCGUGGCCAUUGUUCAUUGCUGAUCCUCCUCUGGCUCCAUAUCUGUCUAUAAGAAUCAAAAGGUUGACCUAAAAAAAUGAUAUUAAAAAAUGAAAAUGAUGUUCUUUUCUAUGAUGAUGGCUGGAAUUUAAACUAUAAAUUUUACAUAUAUUAUAUAUUGUUGUUACCUACUGAGCUAAGUUCACUAGCAUUAUAAAAAAUAUGAUUCUCAUAUUAGAGCUCUCCUUCAUUGGUAAGGAACUAAAUUAAAUAUUCAUAUAAAUUUAUUAUUUUGAUAGAAAAUUCUUUUCAUGAAUAUAAACAACCAAGUAAAUAUAUGUUUUGACAGAGAAAUUUUGAAUCUGGAAUCAACGACUUCACCAUAUGUCUCUUUCUUUAAUCAUUUUUUAAAAUAUGUCUAGAUUCACAUUCACAUAUUAAAACACAAUUUUUCAGAACAAAAAAUAAUUAUCGAACAAGUCAGGGGCCUAUUCAACAAAUUUUCAUAAUUCUAAAAUUUUCACAUCUACCCUCCUACGUCAUCAUAUGUUCUUCCUAAAACAUUCCGGCGACGGCGUCACAAAAUUUCACCGUGCCGGACAGUUCUACAUAGCCUGUAACGUCUCCGACCGCCACAAAAGAUCACCGGGGUCAGCAUAAUCAAACAGUCCGUCAAUCGUUACAUAACCGCCACCGUUAUCAUCGGCGACGGCGUCAUAACCCAUGAACCCAAACGCUUCAUUGUUACGAAUAUCUUCUUCAAACCAAAAGAACCCGCUUAAAUCAACUCCAUCUGGACCAACCCGACCCGAAUCGUUGAUUUGAGGCAACUCUUUUUCUCGUUUGGCGUCACCGUCGGUGGUAAACCAAGUUCAUCAUCAGAAGCUUCCAGUAGAUAUCCUAGGUUCGGGUUUAAAUUGUCAGAGACGGGUACAUGGGUCGGGUUCAAAUCUUGACCCGGAGCAAGUAUUUCUUCUUCAAAGCUCUUGAUGACAGAGUCAAGACCCUGCACGGUUGUGACAUUUUCUGUCUCGUCGAGAAUGUUCAAAAUAUCGUCUUUUAUCUCGUUAACCUCAUACGAAUCGGGUUCAACUUGAACGGGUUCGGACCCGUCUGAGUCAACACACGAGCCGGACGAGUUAUCAUCUAAACCUGAGUGAACUCGCUUUGAUUCGUAAGAGUCGGCAUCCGAGUCGUCGUCACGAACUCGUUUCCUGGUAUCAUUUUUGAAGUCUUCCAUUCGUAUUAUUAUUUGGAAAGAGGAGAAGGAAGAGAGUGAGAGUGUAGAGAGAGAAAAUGAAAGUGUAAUUGUGGAGGGAGAAAGAAAGAAUGGAGGGUAUAAAUAAUGGUUGGAAAAAGGUAGGUUAGAUAUAAAAUAGGGUUACGUUACGUUAGUUAGUUAGUUUAAUUGAAUAAACGGCAGAAAGAGACAGGCGCGUGUGUAGCAGAAAAAAUCGCAUCCUGUAUCUUCAAUUCAGCAUAUAAUAAGAUAAUCCAAUAAUAAUAUUUUGACCGGAAGUUAGCUACUUCAAUUCAUGCCUGCUUUCUUUGCUAUUAAGAAUGAGAAAGAUAGAUUUGUUAUGCACCGUUUUACAUUGACCGUACGUACAACAAAUUGUUAUUUGAUGUGUAAAUGCAUAAUUAUUACUAUUUUUAUUUGUCAAAUUUUACCAACUAAAAAAAACUGUUUAUUGUCUUAAACUAGUAGUAUAUUUAUACAUGUUAAGAGGAAAAAUUAUUAAUUUUAAUAAAGUACUAUCUUUUCCAUGUGAGCUGUCAUCAUGUCUCUGUGGACCUGGAUUUCAAUUUAUGAGUGUCUCAAAUAUUUGUACAAUAGGGUUCUAAUUGUUGGGGUGAAGGAUAAAACAAGAUAAAUUUUUUCACUAAAUGUCAUUUUUCUAUAAUUAAAUGUAUGGAAGAUAACAAUUUUACCAUCAAUUAUUCAUUCUUUAUAGGUAAGUGUUUCUUUGUUUGUAUGUAAAAGCGUAAAAGUUAUGUUUGAACCAAUUUAUGGUGUUGAAUUAUUAUUAAAAUAAAAAUUGUCAAGAUUACAACCGAACCUCUAAAUUGUCGAAGACGGCCCUGAUCGUCAUUUACGUACUUAGUUUCUUUUAUUUCGCCUACUAAAAAGAGGUGAUUCAAAUCAACUUUUGACUCAAAAUAUCCAUCUAAAUUGUUUUAUACUUCUCAUUUAUUUGAAUAAGUGAUUUUCAUAUAUAUUUGGUUUUUUCUUUUAUGAUUGUGUCAUUUUAGUGUGACACAUUUUUUUCGUCAUUUUAAUGCAACAUUGUUUGUAUUUCAUGUCUUACUACAAUGUUUAUUAGAUUGAGACUCUCAUGUCAGUUUUAAUCCACUAAAGACCCAAUCAAUGACUUUGAUGUUGUCGACGUUGUAGAUCAAUAACAUGGUUAUUCUAGACACUUAAAUAUAAUCAUAUUUGUAAACUUAUAUUAGUGGUUGAUAAAAUAUAUGCUAAUAAAAUAAAGUAAUGGUUAAUAAAAUAUAUGUUAAACAAGUGAUUAGUAUCAUACAUUUUAGUGGUUGAUAAAGUAUUGUAAGUGUCUUCGUGAGUUUAACUUAAUUGAUAAUAGACAAUACAAUAAGCAGUGGCUAGAGUUUAAACUCAAGAUUUUCGCUUAUUCGCUUUAAGAGAUAGAGUUUUGAUCACUAAACUGAAAAGUAUUCCAAGUGUUUCAUAACACAAAUCAUAUUUGUGUUACGAUGAAAGUAUCAUUCAUCGUAUAACACAUUCAAUAUCUACGAGUAACACUGGUGUAUUUUUACGAUUAAAUUCAAAGUUGAUGUGAAAUGACAAUAAAAAAUUCUUUUAAGAACCCAACUCUAAAUAAAUAUUAUUUAAGUAUGUUCGCAUAAAACUAUCAAAAUGAAAUAAAAAAUGUCCAACCACAAUAAUUGAUAUAUUAUAAUUUUAUUUUACUAUAAAUUUUUCUUAAUUUUAUUAUAUAAUCAAAUAUUUUUAUUUAAAUUUAUACCCAACCAAGUGUGCCUCCUGAAAUAGAUCUAUUAUAAGUCAUAAUAAUUAUGAUUAAGACAGCAGAAUAAAUAAUUGACAAUAUUAAAAUAAUUCGGUUAAUUUUGUCUGUGGGAUCCGCUGUCAUUAUUGCGGGGCAAUGAGGCAAGAUUUUUAUGAUGUCGAUAAUAGCAAUUAAACUAAAUUUGAAUGGAGUUUGAAGUCCGUGGGUGUGUGCCCCACCUUCGUUGCAGGAAUCAUGUGGUUGGUUUUCCUAAAAAAAUCAUUAUUUAAUGGUUUUUCGUUUUCUUUUUCUUUUGGGGGUUUGGAAUUUUUGGUGUGGUCCCACCGACGGAGGAGCGCUGUUGUUGGAUUCUUUGUUUUACUUUCUUGUCUUUUUUUAUUCUUUUUUAUUUUUAGACAUGAGAUAUUUUUUUGGUUUUGACAAUUUCUACCUAAUUUCUUUUUUUUAUCUUUUCUUUUUCAAACGGACGUUACUGUUAUGGGUUGUCGUAAUCUCAGAUCCACGUAUUUGUGGCCGUAAAUCACUUAUUCUAAUUUUAUUUUUGUCUCUUUUGACUACUACUUGUAUUGCGUAUUCCAUAUUUGUUUUUGGGUGAACCAUAUCCAUUCUCCACAACCUUUCACCCAUUCUCCGCAACAAUUAUCACAAAAUUAAAAAACAAUCAUUUUAGUUUUUGAGUGUCUUUGACGUUGUCGAUAAUAAUGUUUCAAAGUCUUUUUAACGAGUGUAUGUAAAAUACUCUUUAAAAAUUGUAAAUUAAGUAAUUAUUCUUUAAAAAUAUUAAAUUUUUCAAUUUUUAAUAUAUUGAUUACACAAAUUUUUACAAAAAAUUACUGUAUCAUUUAAAAUCCUUGACUAAUGCAUCGAAGACACUUGUUAACAUUUUCGUACUUUAUUAAAUAAAGUUUUAUAAAAUGUCACUCUCUUCGGUUGAUUAAUUAAUUGAUCCAGUAACAUUUAUGAGUUAGAUACAUUAAUUAUUAAAUGUAUUUAAAAUAUUAUUUUUUGCUUAUAAAGAUCAUAGGAGGGAGUAUCAUUUAAGAUUCUUAACUAGUAUCCUGGAAGGUACAAGUUAACAUUCUUUAAAUAUAAUUUCUCAACUUAUAAAUCAGACUAAAAAUGCUUGAAAAUCAAGAGAAAUGUAAAUAGGAUGGUGUCGGUUAAGUAAUAAGAAAUAUAUUUUGAGAAGAAGAAUAAAAAAUUCUUAUUCGAUGCGUGCAUGGCAUCGUCUGUUUGAAAGGCAACCGAAAUUGUCGCCUAUAGUAAUAAAGCUGGAUCUUUGAGAUUUUUUUUCUUCUUUUCUUUUUGGGUACAAUUUGAGAAUUUUUUAUUAUGAGAUGUACUUUUGAAAUUAGGUUGGAGCUGGACUCCGUUAACUUUGAAUUUAUCAAAUUUAAUUAUAAACAAAUUCAAACCGUGGAUCUCAUAUGUUAACUGUCGUAUAUUUAAUAUUUAAUUUUAAAGCGCAUUUUCUCUAAAAAUUGAAGAGUUAAUACUAAAAUAGAAAUGUAAAAUAAAUUUUUUAAACAAACAUACAACAAUAAUAUUAUUAGGAAACUUCUACGGUACACUCAUAAAAUAAGGUGUAUUGGUACUCUUUCUUCAUAAUUUUAUAAAUUAACGAUCAUUUUUUAUAAAAUAAAUAAUUAUUUAUCAAUAUUUAUAUUUUAUAGAAUAUCAUUUCAUAAGAAAAAACAUCAGUUUAUUGUUUUAAGAAUCAUAGUAAUUUUUUUAUAUAUUAUCGUAAAAUAUAAUCAAUAAUCUCAAUUAUGAGUGCUAAAAAUUCAAAAAAAAUUAAUUUUAUUUCGUUAACACUUUUAAUGAAUAAGAUUUAGUUAUUAUAAAUAUAAAUGAUAGAAAAUAAUAUUUUUCUUAAAAAAAUACAAUUCAUUUAAUAAUUAAUUUAAAGAAUGAGUGUAACGGUACACUCAAAUAUAUUAGAUGUACCAUAUAAUUUGCCAUAUUAUUAACGUACAACAGUAAAACACUUAUAUAUUUCUUCUCAUUAGUGUUAUGAUAAAAUUUUAUCUUUUAAAUUCAUAUGAGUUGGUUUGGUUAUAUUAACUUGAAAUCUGAGAGUAUGUUGCUUCUCGAAGUCUUAUGUUUGAUUUUCUUCAGAAUCAAUUUAAAUGAGUUAAUUAAAUUUUUUCAAAAUGUCUUUAAAUUUAUAUCAAAGUGAUCAAAAUAUACAUUUCUUUAAAUUUAGAGUUAUGUUAACUUGUAUCCUAAGACACAUGUUAGGAUUUUCAACGAAAAAAAAAUAUUUAUUGAAAAAAAAUCAAUCUUUUAAAAAAUAAAUUGGUGCAAUUUCUAAUAUAAAAUUUCUUUCUUUGAUAUCUUGACAUGCACUCUUAUGACACAAGUUAACAUUUCUUUUAAAUUUAUAUCAAAAAUAAUUUCUUCAUAAAUUUUUUAUAAAAUAAAUUAGUUUUCGUCGUACGGUUUUCACUAAAGAAAUAUCUUUGGCUGACAAGAUGUUGCAUCCUCACCAAACAUGACAGCUUUUAUUGAAGGAGAACAAUAAGGUUACUGACCUCACUAGAAUCCAUAAUAGCUGUUUACGAGGCUGCCACUUGUUUAUUACCGACGAGCCUGUUUCGUGUUUCAUUGUUUUGUCAACCUCAGUUUCUGACCUCCCCAGCCCACGAGUUCAACUCCAAAAAUUACAAUAAAAUAAAAUUUAAAAGGUCAUGCUAGUAAAGACACUAAGACCAUCCACAUAAGUAGAAUCUUUACCAUUUAAAAUACUUCAUCCGUCCUUAUAUGAAAGUAUCAUUUGCCUAUAAUAAAAUUAUGUUUAGAUAUUGGAACGGAGGCAGGGGUGGAGCCACCCUCCAUCUAGCCUGGCACUAGCCCGGGCUCAACUUCUACUUUCUUUGUAGCAAGGUCAGCCAUUACUAGAAACUAGGACUUUUCUUGCAGAUUUUGUCAAGAAUUUUGGUCCUGUAAAUGUAAUACCUUCGUGGGUAAUAAACAAGUGGCAGCCUCGUAAAUAGGAAUGUGCAAUUUUUACCCAGGAUUUUGGUCCUUAGGAUUUUAGGAUCCGCAGGAAAUGUGCAAUUAUUCGCAGAAAUGAAUUAACGUUAUAUGAGAAAUCUAUAAAAUUAUCAACAAAAAAUGUGCAAUUUUUAUCCAAACUCUAUAAAAUUUCUGGCUUCGCUACCGGACGGAGGGAAUAUAUCAUAUUCAAGUUGAAGUUUCAAAAGGAUUUUCGAUAAGUUCAUGAUUGUUGAUCGUUACACAUCAUCAAGUUGUGUGAUACGUCAUAUCUUUUUCAAGUUAUUUCUUUUUAGAAAUAGACCAAAUCUAGGUGAUUUUAAAAUGGAGUAACCAAUUUCCCCAAGUGGGCAAAAAUAAGGGAAAAUAAAUAGUUACUGUGCUUAUAUUUAAGCUAGCGUUUUUGUUUCUGUCUUUAUUUAUUGCGGUAAAACGUGUAAAUUAUAAAAAAAAUCUAAUGUAAAUUCAUACUUUUCUUUAAGUAACAAAAAACGUGUAUACUUUAAAAUAGUUAGUUAAUUAUAUUUAAGUCAUUUUUAAAUUUCACUUCAAUCUAUUAAGUUAUGGACAUUAUAUACUUUAAUCAUUUAAGUUUUUUUUUUAUCCCUUAAAUUAUAGAUAUUAGAUAUUUUGAUCCCUUAAAUUAUAAGUACUAGAUUAGAUACUUCAAUCUCUCUAUUUUUUUUAUUCAAAAUACUUCGAUCUCUUAAAUUAUGAAUGUCUAAUAUUUACAAAUUAAAACUUUGAAAUGACCAAUAUUUAUAACUUAACAUUUUUUUUAACUGAGUAUUCGACUCAAGGACAAAUCAAUUUGAUGGAGUUAAUUUUACCAUUCAUUUUUAGAGGGUCUCUUUGAAGCUAAAUCAUAGCUCUCUACGAAUUUAACCUAUUAAAAUUGACACUAAAAAAAAUCAAACCCAAAAUUAUAAAAAAAAAUACACUUUACGGUAUCAAUUCAACAACAUUAAAUUUUUUUUUUUUUUUGAAUAAAAACAUUAAAAAUUGAAAUGGGUUUAUAACUUAAUGGUAAUAGUUAUAGUUUAUUAAGAGAUCAAAUUCAAGUAAAAAAAGAAAUUAAAAGUAUGUGUUUAAUGUUUACAAUUAAAAGACCAAUAACGUUAUUUGGGUGAAGAAGAAAACGACCAUGUUUUUCCCUACAAAAGAGAAAAUGACGGGUAACAUUUGGAUGACAUAGAGUUGGGUGAUAUUGAUGAUAUUGGUUAAUCAUAAUGUCAGGAUGCUUGUGAGAGAGAGAAACACAAGCAUUGUGACAUUGUGAUUGAUCAAUAUCACCAAUGUCAUCCAACUCUAUGUCACCCAAUUGCUAUCCGAAAAGGACCAUGUUUCAUGUUUUGUCAUCAUCUUUGUAUUUAUGGCAAAAACAAUACUCCCUCCGUCCCAUUUUAAUUGAGUUUUUUGAUCAUUUCACACAUACUCCCUCCGUUUUUAAAUAUAAGCAAAAUUGGUUUUUUAGAUUCAUUCAACUAAUGACGUAUAUGGUUCAUUAAUUGAGUGAACCUGAAAAGUAAAUUUUGCUUAUAUUUAGAAACGGAUGGAGUAUUAAGAAAAAAAUGUAUAAGUAAAAGAGAGAGAAAAAUGGUUUUGAGACCUUUGUCAAGUAUUGGUAUACUCUUCUUUAUCAUAAAUGUAAAGUAAAAUAUAAUUAAUUGGAGUUGUUAAAGUAGAAUUAAUUAGAGUUAUAAUUGGAAAAAAAAGUAAUUAAUAUUGUAUUGAAAAGUGAUAUGAGUCAAUUUUUAUGGGACAAUAUUUUCUUAUAAAUGACUCAAUUAUUAUGGAACAGAUGGAGUAGUUAAUACAGUACAAUUCUUUUGGCAUCGUUCAUGACAUUUGAAAAAUGCUCACAAAUAUCCCGUGUUGCAACACUUGUUAAGAAAAUUAAUAAAAGUAUUAAAUUUUUUGAAAUUGACAUUGCUUUUUUAAUACAUUUGAUCUAUAAAAAUAUAAUAAGUAUUCGCCUCUCUUUGGCCGCUGGUGAGUGCUUGGAUUGGUUUUGAUGGUGUCGACACACAUGUUUUUUUUUUUUUUUGGAGAAGCGUCGACAUGCAUGUUAUUCAUGAUCAUUUCUGCCAAUUUAUUUAUGACAUAGGUGGUCUAAAAGCGCGACAGAAUUUUCUUCAGCUCAUAUGACUUUUGUGCUCUUGAAUCUUGUGGAAUGAAAGAAAUAAUAGAUUGUUUAAUAAUCAGGAAUGCACUAGUUAUCAGUUACUUGAAAAAGUAAAAUAUCAUUUUUUGUGGUGGCUGAAAGCUAGGCAUGUUUCUUUUGUUUUUGGUACUCAUGUGUGGUGGUUGAAUCCCCUUACGUGUUUGGGUAUCGGCUAACACCGUUUUGUUGUUACUCACUUGAUUGUUGUACAUUUAGUAGUCCUUUUGGGACGCCUAGUGCUGAAGAGAUUGAUUUGGUUUGUUAAUAUAAUUCAUUUUAACUUGUAAAAAAAAAUAUAAUAAGUAAUUUCUAAAUUAUUUUUAAUAAAUUUACAUAGUCCAUGAAUUAUCGUCACUUGUUAUAUUUACGUAGUUCAAUAACUAAAUUGGAGAUAAAGUUUUCUAAAGAUUAAAUUGACGGUCUAUUGUUAUAUUUUAUUUUCAUGCGUAUUUGUUUGGAAGGAACAUGUGAUGCACACAAUGUAUGUUUGAAUAAAAGACUUAAUCAAAUGCUUACAACAUAAUCUAUCCUUAGAAGUUUAUGAAAAUUACAACAUAAUCUAUCCUUAGAAGUUUAUGAAAAUAAACCAAAAUUAGUUUAUGAACAUAUCAUAAGCUUAAUUCAUAAACUCUUCAAAAUAAACUCACAAGUUCUUAAUCUUGUAGAUAAGUUUAAAUAAUUCAAUUCAAAUGGAUCCAAUAUGGCGGUAAAUUUAUAAUAAUGUUUUAUAUGCUUGUUUGAGAAUGAGAAUUGGGGUGAGAAUUACAAUUGUACCAUUUGAAAUGCGAUUAUUAUAGAAAUGAUGCACUUCUUCCAUCUGUUUUUGUUCACUCCCGUUAAAAUAGUCGAGCGUGAGUUAACUCACGCAUGUAUAUUCUCAGCAAGAGUUAACUCACGCAGGUGUAUUUUUCAAAUGGGAGAAGACCAAUUCUCGAUUAUUAUUAGCACAUGUAACCCAACUACCUGUGCUUCAAGAACGGCCGACACAUUUCUCAGCCGUGUACCUCUUUGAUUUCUUCUAUGACCACCUUUGCUUUGCUUCUAGAGAUAAUGUCCAAACUAACUUGUACAUAUGCCUUCAAUGCUUUUGAUGUAUUGCUGCAGCUGUGAGUAAACUAUCUGAGCUACUGCAUCACAACAUAAUAAUAUGAAUUUGGAUUCCUUCAAAUGAAAAUCUUAGCGAGAUCUCAACUACUCUGUCCAUUUCAAGUACUAUUUUAUUAAUUUCAAAGUUUAAUUUCAAUUUUUAGAUGAUGUUGAAGGUGAUUUUGAAAUGAGAGAAUGAAGAUUGAGCCUCUAUUAAACUAAUUUAGUGUUUGCGAGUUUUGUUUUUCUUUUUCCCCUAAAAUACGUCAUUCAUUCACUGAAAUUGGUAGACUACAUCAAUAGACUAAAACAAAACGGAAGAAAGUUGAUCAAGUAAAAAAUGUAAUGGACGUUUAUUUUCUUAAAAAUAUGGAUGUAAAGAACAUGACCAAUCGUCCCUGUGAGCUUGGCUCAGUUGACAGGAACAUUGCAUAAUUUAUGCAGGGGUCGAUGUUCGAACCCUGGACACCCCACUUCUCCACAUUUAAUUGUGUGAGCUCUAGCCACUAGGCUACUAGACAAAAAAACAAAAAGAACAUGACCAAUCAAUGAAGUGUUAACCAAAAUUAGUUGAUUUUGGUUUGCAACUAAUCAACCUUGGAGAAAUAUGAGUUGACUAUGGACACCAUCUCCACACUUUAGUAUUUUGGAAAUUUUGAGUUUGCACUCGAUUACCCUAAGUUUGAAAUUUUAUUACACAAAUAUUGUCCAUUGUCACCCCUUAAACCAAACUCAAACCAUGCAUCCCAUUAUGUAUUAGAGUUUUAUCGGUUUAGACAAUAGGUUCAGUCGCAAACACCCCUUAUAAUAAUCAUUCUUCUUCCCUCAAAAAAAAAAAAAAAUCAUUCUUCUUUCUCUUCUUAUCCCCUCCAACGAAAGACACUUAAAAUUAGAAUAAAAAUCUUUUGUACUUGACAUAUAACUGCACAAUAAUAUAUCAAAUAAGUAAUAAGACAUAUGACUGAUAUACUCAAAUAAGCUAAUGAACAAAUAGUUCUAUUAAAGUUAUAUUUUUAGAUUUUACAUAAUAUUUAGAGUAUGAGUUACGAAUUAUGACAAUUAAGUAAAUAUGUACAGAGAAUAAUGCUCAAAUACAAUUUUUUUUUUUUUUUUUUAGGGGAGAUAGACUAGAGAAUCAUAUAUAAAAGAGGGUUAUGUUGUCUCGUGAGCAUAGCUCAGUUGGUAGGACAAUGCAUUAUUAUAUGCAGGGGCCGGGGUUCGAACCCCGAACACCCCACUUAUAAGAUGAAUUUUAGUCACUAUGCUACCUGACAAAAAAAAAAAAAAAAAAAAGAGGGUUAUGUUCAUUAUAAGUUCUUUUGCAAAACUAUACCCACUUCAAUGGUUAAAGUGAUUUUGCUCGGUUUAAAAAAAUUUGGACAACUUUUUUAAAUUUUGUUGAACCGGUAGUUUAAAUUGUCUAAUCAAACAAGAUUUAUCAUGUCGAUUUGACUAUAAAAACACCAUGAAGUAUGAAACUUUGAUAAAAUAGUAAGGCUCUGUUUGGUAAAAAUAGCGGAUAGCUGAUAGCUGAUUUUAUUUUUUUUUGCUAAGCCAGGAGAUUGGACAGGCAUCAAGGGGAAGCAACAACAUCCCAACUAGGUUGGCACCCCGCAGAACCCUCAUCCUAUGCCGCCAAUCUCAGAUAAAAAAUUUAUUAAAAAAAAGGGAAAAAAGUACAUGAGGAGGGACUAAGCCAAAACCCUAAAAAAACAAAGCAGAAACAGAAAAGGAACAUAAAACAGAAAGAAAACAGGAGACAUAAAAAGAAACAUCUGUCUACAGGAACCUAGGGCGAGGGAACCCUCUCCAGUCCAAGAAGAAGUCAGUCUGAAGAGUCUGAGGCAACACCGAUAACCAAACCUUGCCUUGUAUCAAAUGACCCAAAUUCGCUAGAAAGUCCGCACAGGUUCCCAAAAGAUGGAACCUGUGCAAAUGUUACCAUUGGCUCCGCCAAAAAUAAUAAAAGAAAUAUAAAAUUCAUUUAUCACCUGAAUUUGAUCCUGAAGCUGAAACUGAUGACUGAUAGCUUAUAGCUGAUAGCUUAUAAGCUAAUUAAAGUGUUUGGUAAAAAUAGCGGUUGAACUAGCUGAUAAAUACAAAAUUACAUAAAAGGACAUUAUUAAUUCAUAUAAAAUUUAUACUACUAUAAAUUAAUAUUUAAGAUAUUUGAUAAUUUAAAUAUUUUAAAUAUAAUAAAUGUUUAUAUAAAUUAUUGUUUUUCGGUAAAAAUUUAUUUUCAAUUUAUUCCGAUUCAGUUUCCAGUUAUUAUACAUUAAUAAAAAAACUAAAGUAUACAAAUUUAUUUUAAGAAUAAAAUAAAAAAUAAUCAAUUCAUAAGAUUGAAAAAAAACAUUUGUUAAAAAAUACAAAGGAUAAAACAAAACAAAAAUACGUAUACAUACAUACCCAGUAGUAGUACAAUUGAAAAUAAAAAUUACAUUGCACAAUUAAAAGGACAACAACAAUAGAAAAAAAAAUUGUAUGUAUCUUAUAUUGAACAAUGGUUUCGUGGUAGAGAUUCAACCAUUGUAAGCUUAAUCGUGUGUACAUGUAGAUGUAGCAUCGUUUUUGUUUUGUUUUAAAUUAUAAUAAAAUUAAUUAUUAAGGGUAAACAUGGGUUUUGGUUAAAGUGGUAAGGGUAUAAAUGGAAUAAAACAUGAUAAGCUAUAAGCUAUAAGCUCAAACGCUACUUGUAAUAGCAUCUGAAAAAUAGCUUAUAAGCUCAUAAAAUAAGCUAUAAGCUCGUUGUAAAAAAUUGUUACCAAACAGAGCUUUUUUUGUCAAACGAGCUUAUAAGUUAUAAGCUCAUUAAAUGGGCUUACCAAACAGACCCUAAGUUUUCAAAUUCAUUAGUUUUGUGUUUUUAUGGGACACGAUUUAAAUUCCAACUGAGAUAUUUAUAAAAUAACUAUUGGUGUCACCGUUAAAUAAAAUAAAUAAUUUAAAAACAUAUAAGAAAAGCUGUCCAAAAGGGAAAACAGUUAUAUAUUUUAAAUAGUUUUUAGAUUUUUUUUUUUCAAAUUUUUAUAACAAAUAAAUAAUCUUUUCAAAGAGUUUGAACAUUUUACAAAUGAAAAAGUGUGUUUGUGUGUUUCAAUUGAUUCACACCUCUGUGAUAGUUGACAAAACCAAUUGAGAAAUUGUUUAAAGAGAUAUUGGUACUCAAAAGAGAUCAGUGUAUAACAAUAUUUUUAUUUAAUUAUUCUAAACAUUUGAGAUCUCUCAUGUAAAUGAAGUCGUUGAUCAUUUCUCAUUAGAAAUGAAGACGACAUCAAAUAUAACAAAAUUAUACAAUUCAUUCAAAAUGAAAUACAAAUGAAAAGGAUUUAUUAAGUCAAAUGUGUUUAGUUCAAAUUUUAAACCAAAGACAUUUAAAUUUUUAGAUUGUUUUUAAUAUUUCUUACAUUUGAGAGGAAGUACAUAAUAAUAUUAUUAUUAUUUUUGUUAAAGAAAAUAAUGACUUAAUACUCACAAAGUGAUCAUGAUUAUCUAUUAGUUAUUUCUUCUUUGAUGAGAAAGAAGAAUGGACAAUCAAGAUCAAUUUGUUGAAUAUUAAAUCACUCAACAAACAAAAAAUCUCGUUAUUUUUCUUAAUCCUAAUAAUUCUAUCAUGUAAUUGCUCUUGAAUGAAAUAUUAAAAAGCAAACUAAAAAGUCAAAUGUAUUUGGUUUAAAACUUGAAAUUAAUACAUCAACAUUUAUUUAUCUCCUUCACUUAUAUUUUAUUUCAAAUGAUUGUAUAUUGUUAGGGUUGAGAUCGUUUUCAUUACUAUCGAGAAAAUAAUAACGAUUUCAGAAAUGAGAAGAAAAUAUAAAUUUUAAAUUGUCUGAUCAAACAUGACUGAUCCUGCCGAUUUGGCUAUAAAAACACUAAAAUAUGAACCUUUGAUAAAAUAGUAAUUUUUCAAAUUCAUUAGUUUUGUGUUUUUAAAAGACACAAUUUAAAUUUCAACUGAGAUAUUUAUAAAAUAACUAUUAGUGUCACCGUUAAAUAAAAUAAAUAAUUUUAAAAUAAAAAUAUCUAUUGUUUAUUUGCCAUUACAAGAAUUACUUGUCAGAACAAUUGUACCAAUUUUUAAGAAAAGCUGUCCAAAAGUAAAAACAGCUAUAUAUUUUAAAUAGUUUUUAUAUUUUUUCGAAUUUUGAUAACAAACAAAUAAUCUUUUCAAGAGUUUGAACAUUAUACAAAUGAAAAAGUGUGUGUGUCUCAAUUGAUUCACACCUUUGUGAUAGUUGACAAAAUCAAUUGAAAAAUUGUUUAAAGGGAGAUAUUGAUACUCAAAAGAGAUCGGUGCAUAACAAUUUUUUAUUUUUUUUUAAUUAUUCUAAAUAUUUGAGAUCUCUCAUGUAAAUGAAGUCAUCGAUCAUUUCUCAUUACAAUGAAGACGAUCUCAAAUCUAACAAAAUUAUACAAUCCAUUCAAAAUGAAAUACAAGUGAAAAGGAUUUACUAAGUCAAAUGUAUUUAGUUCAAAUUUUAAACCAAAGACAUUUGAAUUUUUAGAUUGUUGUUAAUAUUUCUUUCAUUUGAGAGAAAGUACAUAAUAAUAUUAUUAUUAUUUUUGUUAAAGAAAAUAAUGAUGUUUUAGAUUUGUCUAUUGACUUAAUACUCACAAAGUGACCAUGAUUAUCUAUUGAUUAUUUCUUCUUUGAUCAGAAAGAAGAAUGGACAAUCAAGAUCAAUUUGUUGAAUAUCAAAUCACUCGACCAACACAAAAUCUCAUUAUUUUUCUUAAUCCAAAUAAUUCUAUCAUGUAAUUGCUCUUGAAUGAAAUAUUAAAAAGCAAAUUAAAAAGUCAAAUGUAUUUGGUUCAAAAUUUAAGUCUAAUACAUUAACUUUUAUUUAUCUCUUUCACUUAUAUUUUAUUCCAAAUGAUUAUAUAUUGUUAGGUUUGAGAUCUUCUUCAUUACUAUCCAGAAAAUAAUAACAAUUUUAUAAAUGAGAAAAAAAUAUAAAUGUUUAAAAAAACAAUUAAUUAAAACAAUAAUUCCCUAUUUUUUUUAAUUAAAACAAUAAUUUAAACAUCAAUCUCUUUCAAAUAUCAAUCGAUCUUGUAACAAAAAAAAUAUCAAUCGAUCUAUGUUAAACAAACUCCUCAUAUUAAAAUAAACAUAAAAAAAUAAAUGGGUAAAUACCUCUUUUCGUCCCUGUAAUAUUAGCGAAUUCCGGUUUUAGUCCCUGUAAACAAAAGAUUUAGAUUUUGUCCCUGUAAUUUCAGAUUCUUCCACUUUUGAUCCCUCAUUCCACCACAUCAGCAGAAUCUGCAUACAUGACACGUAAAAUGAGGGAUCAAAAGUGGAGGAAUAUGAAAUUACAGGGACCAAAAGUGGGAGGAAUCUGAAAUUACAAGGACGUAAUUGAUGCAAAUUUUGCUGACGUGAUGAAAGGAGGGACAAAAAGUGGAAGAAUCUUGAAUUACAGAGACAAAAAGAGGUAUUUACCCAAAAAUAAUAGUCACGUUAUUGAAUGUGUAGCACACAUACAUACAUACCUUUUUUUUUUUUUUUUUUAACUUAAACUCUUUCUUUUUCUUUAAUUCCCUUGUUUGGGAAAAACCAAACAAAGACUUAGCUAAAGCAAUUGUGACGCAAACCUGUUAAAAGAUGGUUACUUGCUGGGGGCAACAGGGAUAUCAUUUGUCACGAACAAGGUUUUCCUCUUGGUUCUGCUACAACUUGGAGAUGUCGAUUUGGAUAGAAUUGACAGGAACAUGUAAAGUUAUGAACUUGUCCUAAAAUAUAAGUGCCACAAAAAAAAAAAAAAACAUGCAUAUGUUUACGAUAAGAGAGAUAAACACAAAUAUUUAAAAUGAUAAUUAAUUAAAACAAAAAUUGAUACAUCAUCUCUUCCAAAUAUCACUUUAUCUAUGCAUGUUAAACAAGUCCUCAAUUGUCAUUGAACAUGCAUAAAAAAUUAUAGUCCCGGUAUUAAAAUUGUAGUUAGAUGAAAAUACUCCGAGUCGUAGAUUGCAUGCAAUGGACGAUAAAGAAUGAACAUAGUUCAAGAAAUAAAAAAAAACAAGAGAUAUUUUUUUUUGAAAUAACAAAAACAAGAGAAUGAAGAGAGAGAAAAAAAUUAAGCCAUGGAUCUACUUCACAUCUAGGCACUAUAUAUAUAUAAAAAAGUACAUUGACAAUUUAAGUAAAAAAAUUAGCAUCAUAAAGAAUUUCUUUAUUUUUUUACAAAAUAUAGAAUCUGUUUUUUUUUUUUUGGUCAAAUAUAGAAUCUGUUUUUAUAUAUCCUGUUUCGCGAAAAAAGAAUUCGUCAGACAAGGAAUAUUUGAUAACAUUUUCAAAAUAAAUGAAUACUCAUUAAAAAAUCCCCAUAAAAAUCAAUAUUACUAAGUAUAUGGAUGUACCAUACGUACUCAAAAGGAUACAAAUUAUUCAAUAAUCACCAUAAAUAAAACAUAGGUAUGUGAAUAUUUUUUAUUUAGAAUUUGUUUCCUUUAGGAAAAAAAAACAAUCAAGAUAUUGCCGAAAAAAUAAAUAACCAAUAAAAAAACUAAAAUAAAUUGUAAGGUAUCAAAUCACUGUCAAGUGGUGAAUUAUAAAUCUUAUAGGAAAAUAAGGCCAAUUGGAUGAAUUAUCUAACUGAUCAAUAUUCUUUCCCUUGAUUUUGUUGUUAGGGUUGGAAUAGGUCAGAUCGUACACAAGCUUUCGAUCUGACUCGUUUAGGUCUAGCUGUUUAUUAAAAAAGUUAAGCUUAUGUUUUUGAAAAUAUAUAUUUAAGUAAAUAGGUCAGAUUUAGACUAUCAAAAAAACCUACAAAUUCUGAUAAGCUGACAUAUUUAUGCAUAUUAAUAUUAAAAUUUAAUUUUUAUUUAUAUUAAAGUAUAAUUUAUAUUAAAUAUAAAAAUCAAGAAUUAACUCAAAUAAUUGACUUUUUAAAUAAGUUUGAAGGCCUUAUUGUGAAAUAUGCUUUUAAGGUCUUAUAGUUCUAGAUAUGCCUUACAAUGAAAUAGACUUUAAGGUCGAUUUAACAUAUUUAAAAGUAGUUAAAAUAGAUUAGUUAAUAACUUUAAUAUGAUUUCCUUCAAAAAAAUAACUUUAAAAUGAAAUAGAUCCGUAAAUAAGCUUUAAGUCAAACAAUGCCAAAAAAAAAAAAAAAGCCUACGAAAGGGCAUGGACCAAACUUGAAUUUUUUUUUCUUAGAUUAGGCUCAACCCUUUUAAAGUUUGACCUGACGUAUUUCCACCCUACUUGCCCUACUUUAGAUUCACACUUUGUUUUGUUUUUGUUCUUUAGUGUUUGCAUUAAAUAUUCUUAUGUAUACUCUUCACGGUACAAACUUUUUUUUGUAUCAAUACAUAAUUUGGAUUUCAUAGAUCUCAGUAAGAGUCACUAUUUCGUGAUUUAAUCUCUACCAAUUUAUUUUAGAAUUUUUUUAUUGUUUUUUAUUUUAUAAUAUCUUGAUUGUUUUUUUCCCCUAAAAGAAACAAUUCCAAAUAAAAAACUAUUAACAUAUUUAUAUUUUAUUUUAUGUCCAUGAUUAAUAUGUAUUCUUUUGAGUGAGUAUGAUUAAGGGUGACAAUAUAAUCUAUGAGAUCCAUAUCCAUCUACUAUAAAAUUCAUUCAUCAAACAAAAUUUUUGUUAAUGGAUUGGUUUAGAUCCAUCCAUUUAAAAUUAUGGAUUGAUUUGAUCCAUCCACCUUAUUGAUAACAAACAAAUAAGCUGACAUAUAUGUCUUAUAGGUCAGAUUUAGACUAUCAAAAAAGCCUACGAAUUCUGAUAAGCCGACAUAUUUAUGCAUAUUACUAUUAAAAUUUAACUUUUAUUUAUAUUAAAGUAUAAUUUAUAUUAAAUAUAAAAAUCAAGAAUUAACUCAAAUAAUUGACUUUUUAAAUAGGUUUGAAGGCCUUAUAGUGAAAUAUGUUUUUAAGGCCUUAUAGUUCUAGAUAUGCCUUACAAUGAAAUAGACUUUAAGGUCGAUUUAACAUAUUUAAAAGUAGUUAAAAUAGAUUAGUUAAUAACUUUAAUAUGAUUUCCUUCAAAAAAACAACUUUAAUAUGAAGUAGAUCCGUAAAUAAACUUUAAGUCAAACAAUGCCAAAAAAAAAAAAGCCUACAAAAGGGCAUAGGCCAAACUUGAAUUUUUUUCUUAGAUUAGGCUCAAACCUUUUAAAGUUCGACCUGACGUAUUUCCACCCUACUUGCACUACUUUAGACUCACACUUUGUUUUGUUUUUGUUCUUUAGUGUGCAUUAAAUGUUCUUAUGUAUACUCUUCACGGUACAAACUUUUUGUGUAUCAAUACAUAAUUUGGAUUCCAUAGAUCCCAGUAAGAGUCACAAUUUCGUGAUUUAAUCUCUACCAAUUUAUUUUAGAAUUUUUUUAUUGUUUUUUAUUUUAUAAUAUCUUGAUUGUUUUUUUCUCCUAAAAGAAACAAUUGCAAAUAAAAAACUAUUAACAUAUUUAUAUUUUAUUUUACGGCCAUGAUUAAUAUGUAUUCUUUUGAGUGAGUCUGAUUAGGGGUGGCAAAAUGAUCUAUGAGAUCCAUAUCCAUCUACUAUAAAAUUCAUUCAUCGAACAAGAAUUUUGUUAAUGGAUUGGUUUAGAUCCAUCUAUUUAAAACUAUGGAUUGAUUUGAUCCAUCCACCUUAUUUCUAAAAUUCAUUGGCUCACCUCCUUAAAAAAAUAAAGUCCAAUGGAUAAUUUAAAAUAAUAUUAAACUAUUUUUAUUUUAAUAAUUAAAUACUUGAUAAAAUAAAAAUAAUUUAAUAAAAAACUGAUAGAAAAAAAGGAAAAAAAUAGUUUUUUAAUAUUUAAAUAUUAUUUUAUUAUAGGUGGUGGUCAAAGCCGGAGUUGGACCGAUCAACGUUGGAGCUCCACCGUCGACCACCGUAAAUCGCCAGAGCACCACCGUGCGUCACCUUGGGUCGUCUGAAGACCACCGUGGUCAACGGCGGCGACAGUCAGUUGAACACCAGCGGCCAUCCCUGACCAUCCUAUUAUUUUAAAUUAUUUAAUUAUUAGUUUUUAAUAUUUCUUUAACUUAUUUGGGCUUAUUCAAAAGUAUUAUUGGGCUAGUUAGAUAGAAUUUAUUUGGAUUGAAUAUGCUACCAAAACCCUUUAAUAAUUAAUACACCUCUAAAAAAAAUAUACACUUAAAAAUAAAAUAAUACACUUUGAUUUAUGGAUUGAAUGGAUUAUCCAUCCAUUAAAAUCUAAUUCUGGAUGGAUUAUAUUUAUCGACGAGUGAUCUUUUGGUCUUUAAAAACCGGUCACUUGUUCUGGUUUUACUCCGUAAUCGCUGGCAUAAUGUUUGCAACCAAGGAAUUCAAAUUAUCUCAUCUCACAUCUUUAGGGAAGGGAACUGUUGUGCAAAUUUUAUGGCUAAUAUGGGACACAUGACCCAAGGCAACGUUUGGUUAUCGGUUUUGCCUCAGACUAUUCAGACUGACUUCUUCUUGGACCAGAGUGGGUUCCUUCGUUCUAGGCUCCCGUAGUCAGUUGUUGCUUUUUCUUUCUGUUUUAUUUAUGUUUCUGUUUCUUUUCCCGUUUUCUUUUCAUGAGGGUUUUGGCCUAGUCCCCCCCCCUCUUGUAACCUUUUUCCAUUUUUUUAAUAAAAUUUUUUAUGAGUUUGGCGGCACAGGAUGGAGGUUCUGCGGGGUGCCAACCUAGUUGGGAUGUCGUUACUUCCCCUUGAUGCCUGUUCAAUCUCCCGGCUUAGAAAAAAAAAAAAUGGACAUAAUAUCCAAUUGAUGGAUUGGAUGGUUUUUUUUUUUUUUUUUUUAUAUAACAAAAAAAUAGUGGAUUUUAAUGGACCAAUGAAUUUUUUUUUUUUUUGGUCAAGUCGCCUAGUGGUUAGAGCUCUCACAAUUAAAUUGUGGAGAAGUGGAGUGUCCGGGGUUCGAACCCCGGCCCCUGCAUAUAAAAUGCAAUAUCCCUACCAACUGAGUUAAGCUCACGGGGUGGACCAAUGAAUUUUUAUUAUCUAUCAAUUGGUAUCCAAAUCCAUAUCCAUCCAUUUUGCCGCCCCUAGGUCCGGUACAUACAUUUACCCAUUGAUAUUGAUUUUGAUGGGGUUUUCUUAAUGAAUUUGUUAAAAUUUUGUAAAUUUCCUUGCUUUUUGAAAAUUAGAUUCUAUAUGUUUGUUCGUUUAUUUCCUUCGGAAAUUAUCACUAUAUUUUUUUAUAUAUGCUGGCUAGCUUUCAUGGAGAUCUAUGUCAUGAUAUAUUCUCUUUAAUUAUCAUUAUCUUGUUUUUGUUUACUUUCUUGAACUCCCUUCAUUCUUCAAUCUCGUGCUUUGCAUGCAACUUGAUUAAAGACAUUUAUUGAGAGGAAAAAAGGUCCUUUCGUCCAAUUUUACAUUGAAUAUUGUGAAUGUAGUUAUUAUUAUUAUUAUUUUUUAAUGUUUCACACCUCGUUAUAGUUGACAAAAUGGCCAAUUGAGAGCUUGUUUAAGAGAGAGAUUGAUAUAUAGAUCAGAGAUCGAUCUAUCAAUUUAUUUUUAUUUAAUUAUUUUAAACGUUAUGUAGUCAUAGAUGGAAAGUCUUUUUUCCAUCUAUCAAUAGAAAUGAAGACAAUCUCAGCUCUAAUAAAAUUAUAUACUCAUUCUAAAAGAAAAGUCUUUUUUCAAUAGAAAUGAAGACAAUCUGAACUCUAGUUAUAUUAUGUACUCAUUCCAAAUUGAAAUGUAAACAAAAAAGAACUAAAGAGUCAAACUUAUUUACUGUAAAAUUUAGACUAAAUACACUUGAAUUUUUUAUAAUUCUAAAUUGGUUUUAGCAGUCUUAUUAUUUGGGUUAAUGAAAAUGAUUUGAUACUUAAGAAAUGACUUUUGAUUAUCUAUUUAUUUUUCUUUGAUCAGAUAUAAAAAAUGGUUAGGAGAAAAUCUACCAAUUGAAAAUAAAGAAAGCAUCAAGCUAAAUAGUUGAUGUUAUUCAAAAUUGACCGGUAAGCCAAACUGUUAUAUUUGAUUGGUUUAAAUGUGUCAUUGGUCCCUGCACUUUCAUCAAAUUUUGACAUUGGUUCCUGCAUUUUAUUUUGUUUGGCAUUGGUCUCUGUACUUUGUAAAAAUAUUGGUAUUGGUCCCUCUGUUGAAAAAAAACACAAAACCAACGGUGUGCCACAUGGCCCAAUCAUUUCACGCCACGUGGCACCAAUAUCAAUAUUUUUACAAAGUGCAGAGACCAAUACCAAUAUUUUUACAAAGUGCAGGGACCAAUACCAAUAGUUUUGUGUUUUUUUUUUUUUAACAGAAAGUUAAUAGAGGGACCAAUACUAAUAUUUUUACAAAGUGCAGGGACCAAUUCCAAACAAAAAAAAGUGUAGGGACCAAUGCCAAAAUCUGAUGAAAGUGCAAGGACUAAAUGCAUAUUUAAACCUAUUUGAUUCAAAAGAGGGUCACCUACUGCCGCACCCCAAGGAUAUAUAUAAAAAGAAAAUAAAGUACAAAAAAGAGGGGGGACAUAAACGAAAACACUCAGAGAAACAAAAAAUUAUAGAAAGAGAAAUUAGAGCUUCAAUUGAAAACCUUUAGAAGUACUUACCCUAAGCUUGGUAGGGUAAGGCCCUUUGCUAGCUUCUGCCUGUUGCUUAUGAUGCUUCUUCUUUUUCUUUGAGACAACCAUUUGAAAUUGUUGAUUGGCAUCAACUUCAGCCAUAUUAUCCCAUGAUUGUCUAAGAAAAUCCACAUCUCUUUGAAAUGCAGCAGGAAUAGGUGGAACACCUAGAGCAAGUUACCUCCUAUCAGAUCCAAAAUCUUGCUCAAGAUCAUCGGUGGUGGAAUCUCGACAGUAAUCUAUAUCAGUCACAACAUCACACCAAGUACCAAUUAUACACAUAUCAAGAAAGUGUUGGUCCCUGUUAUGUUCCUCAGUCAUCUGAUAAACAUGAGCUAAAGAGACAGAGCUGCUCAGUAGGGUGGUGCCGCACAGGUUGUGACUCAUUGAACUCUUAAGUCUUCAUCUCAUCAUCUUAGUUGGAGUCUGCCACAAAUUCAGAGCAAUGUGGACUAUUGUCUUCAGUUUCAUUUCUACUGAUUUGUGCAAUUGCUUCUAAUUCCGAGUUGACUUCAUUUUCAAGUAACUUUUCUGCAUCAACCAUUGUGUUUCUGAUAUCAUCCUGAUGUUCCACCUUAGCACAUAUUGAAGCAUCAAAACUAUUCUUUUGCAUUAGUUCAGGUGCAUGUGCAAUUGUGCUAGUACCUGCUAAGUCUGUUUGUUGAAAUGUAGCUUUCCCUUUAUCAGCAAGAGUAGCAUUUAUAUUUCCUUCAACAUUCUCAUUAACAAUAAUAGGGUUCUCAACAUUACCACCCUGUUUUGUCCUUCUAUCCUUCACUUGUACAUAACCUUUCCUUUCUUCCUUGGUGUUCUUCUUUUGAUUUUCUACUUCAGUAUUGUUGACAGAAUUAUUAGCAAACUUGCAUAUUUCAAUAUAGUGUCCAAUUUUGUUAUAGUGAGUACCAAAAUCAAGUAAGUUUUCGUACUCAAAGUUAACAAAAAAUGCAUAAUUUUUUCUUUCCACUAACACUUUGUAUCUCAAGUUUUGUGACAAAUCCAUGUCCACCAGAACCCUAGCAAAUUGUUCAAAUGUUCUUUCAACCAUUGGUUUGGAUAAUGCAGCAUCAAUGCAUAUUGGUGUACCUACACCAUUAGCUAUGGCAAACAAAAUCUUGGGUCUCCAAUAUUCUUGUGACAGGGCAUGUAUCCGUACCCAAACUUGUGCUGAUGAACUGUUUUGCACACUAGGGCUAAAGUCAUUUGUCCAUGUGAACAAUUUUAACAAACCAAGGUUUAGAUUCCAUGAGGCAAUAGAUCUAACCUUUUUGACAUUUUCCAAACAAGAAAAUGAGAAUUCAUAAAAUCCUUUACUUAAAGACAUGACUCCCCAGACGCUUAAGUUCUUCCACAUCUCUGAGUGUUUGGUGCGCAAAGCCAGAGCAGUGAGAGGAGUGGAACCUUUGGUCCAGAUGACCCUGGCAUGGAGGUUGUGCUUGCAAGUCUUCAUCUCUGCAUCAUACUCUUCUUCAGGUAUAUCAAUAGCAAACUUAUCACUCUUGAGGACCGGUUGGAAAGUUAAGAAGAGGGUAUGUCACAAAGGUCAUUCAGGGCUUGAACAACAAUUUUUGCUUAAUUUUGCAAAGCAGGGGGUUUUUUUUUUUUUAAGUUGAUAUGAGGAUGAAUUUUCAUUUUGGAGACAUUUCCAAGAGAUUAUGUCUGGUUUGUUGGUUGGUUUUGGAAGAUUAGAGAUAUCACCAUGAGGGUUAGGGUUUGUGUUGUCUGAUGAAUCUUUAGUGGAGUUUUUGUUUAGAUCUUGUUGUGGUGGGUCUUCAUAGAGACAAGACCAAGGGAUUAUGACAGUUUUCACGAUGAUCGGAACCGGAAAAGACUAAGAUGACGGUGGUUGAAGGGUUAUCUGGACAAUCGUAUUCAUAUCGCCACCUCAGCUCAUAUCCCUUUUUGGCUAUCUUUUUUAUAGUCAUUACUAGAAGGUUUCUUAUUGUAAUUUAUAUAUUUGUUUGAUUUGCUAGUAUAAUCUUUCUACUAUUAUAUUACACUUUACAUUUAUGAUACAUGAACUAAUAUUUGACUACAAUAAUAACUUUAAUUAAUUUUUAAUAUUUUUCAGCACCCAUUGUUUUUUUUAAAAGGUACUGGUAAACUAAUUUAUUUUCGUGAUAUAUUUGACCAAAUAUAUUUGACAUUUAAUAAAAGAAAUAUUAAUUUAUUGUUAUUCAAAAUUGACCAGUAAACUAAUUGUUUAUAUUUUAAUUUUUUAUUUCAUUCUACUUCAUUAGUCUUAUCUUAAAAAUUGUAUCGGAUUUAUGUAUUUUUAGUCAUUAGUAUGAUGUUUCUUAUUGUAAUUUAUAUAUUUGUUUUAAUUGGCAAUAUAAUUUUUCUACUUUUUUAUUACACUUUACAUUUAUGAUGAUGAUGAUGAAUAUAACUAAUUUUUGACUAGAAUAUAUAACUUUAAUUAAUUGAGAAUAUUUUCCCCCACCCAUUGUUUUAAAAAUACCGGAACUAAAUAUGAGCAAUUGGCCUCACUUAUAAAGCCAAAUGUGAGUUAGAGUUUUUAUAUCCGAUGCAAGCUCAAGCAAAUAAACAAACCAAAGUUAGAGUGUGAUUGAGUGUACAAACCAAUGUAAGAUUCUUUCUCAACUCACCUCUUUUAGUUUUCAUGCUUGUUUAUUUUUUGCUUCUAAAUGAAACAAAUUUCAAAUAAAAAAUGUUUUAUUUUAUGGAUUGAUUUGUAACCUUUGAUCGGUGCGCAUGUAUGAUACCCGCUUGCAUUUACCUAGUAAUGUAUUGAUUUUAUUUUUGUUCUGGUGUAUAUUAAUUAGUUGUGUAUUGGUUUUGAUUACAAUUAUUUAUUAAGAUUUUUGUCAAAUAUUGCUAACUUUUUAUUUAUUUUUGACCGAAGAAUAUAUGUGUCUUGAUUUCUUCUUCUCUAUCUCCAAUUACUUGUUUUUGUGUAUAGCUCUCUUGAACUCCAUUCAUUCUUGUAUAUAUAUCGUCGUUUGCAUGUAAUUUUUGAAUACUACACACUAUUUCAUUGUUGUUGAUAUGUUUCACACCUUAAUUUGCUUUACUUGACAGUUAAAUUCAAUUGAGGAUUUAAUUUGUGAGAGAUUGAUAUUUAUAAGUGGAUCGGUGUAUCCAUUUUUCUAUUUAGUUUAGUUAUUUUAACAUGUAAGACCAUCUCUCAUAAAUGAAGUUGUUAUUUAUUUCUCAAGAGAAAUGAAUAUGAUCUCAACUCUAAUAAAAUUAUGCACUCUCUCGGGCUUUGGCCCUCUUAGUAAUAAAAAAUAAAAUAAAAUUAUGCACUCUCUUUAAAAAUGAAAUAUAAACUAAAAAAGAUCCAAAAUCAAAUUAGGCCUUUAAUUAACAAAAUUGAUCUUGUUCAUCUCUCUUUGUUCAUCUUCUUUGAUUAGAUUUGGAGUUGUAACUUGAAAAUGGCGCCAAAAAAGAGAAAAUCAACGAAAGAAAAAGAAAAGGUUGACGCAACAAGCGAAGAUGAAUUUUAUUAUCAAACAGUUCGAAUUGUGGCUAACGAUCCCGAUGCAACAGAGAGUUCAAGUGAUGAACAAGUUCAAAAACCUAAUCCCUCAAAACCAUUACUACCUAAGAGAAUUUUGUGUGAGUUUGUGCAACCAAAUCCAGAAAUAGUUAAAAAGCUUCCUCAAAAACAAGGAUUGUGGAGAAGGUUUUCCACAAGCAUUUACAAAGGUUUUCGGCGCCUCCGUGGGAACAAGGAAAGAUAUGCAGCUCAGAUUAGAAAUCCAUUUGAAAAGACAACUGAGUACCUUGGUACUCAUGAUACCGAGUAUGAAGCUGCUUUGGCUUAUCGCAGAAAGACUAAGGAGUUCCAUAAAAGAAAGUUAGCUGAUUCGAACAAGGACAAACAAGGUUUGGCUCAUUCAUCUCUUGAAUUAAUCAUUAGUACUUUGCUUAAUUAUUAUCAUUAAUUACUACUAACGUAUCAAAUUUAUGAAGAUGAUGUUGAUUAUGAUUAGUGUAUUGUUAAUUUGUUAAGGAGAGGAGGCAGUUGCACCUGUUCUUAAUCAAUAUUGCAAGGAACAAGGGAAAGGGUAUGAUCCCUCUGACGACGAUGAUGAUGACGAGGACGAUGACAUUGGAGGUAGAAAUGUUAAUGAUGUUGCAGGUAGAAAUUAAUUAACAAUAUUAUGAUCCUUGUACUUAAAAAACAUUCUUUAGAUGUCAUGGAAUUAGCAUGGAUCGAUGAAAAUUAAUUUGAAUAAUGUUGAUUGUACUUUUGCAGUUUGAUGAAACUAGCUAGCUGUUCAGGCAUGCAUGCAGAGAUUGACCAGCCUUUAAUCCACAUGCAGCUGCUUACAAGAUUUUAAUUUGUUUGGCAUGUUAGAUUAGUUAUCUAUGAUAACAAAAUUUUAUGGAAUUAUAACUUUGUUUAACUUUUUCAUGGUCUUCGAGAAAUUUUAGUUUUUUUUUUAAUAUUUUUAAAUAUAAUAAAAAAUAGCUGGACUUGCGUGUGAUGAAAUUCUAUGAAAAUUGUCCGUCUUUGUAUAUGCUUUCAUUUUGUGUGUGUUGCAUAUUAUAUAGUAAAUUCUAGGUGACGGUAACAUUAGUGGCAGUUCAAAUUUGCUUAACAAUUUGCUGAUCGUGGAUUUUAUUUAAUUAUAUAAUCAUAAUUUAAUUAGUUUGACUUGAAUUUUUAGACUAAGAUUAUUAGUUUUAUUCCUUCAAGUUUUUAUAAGAAAAUACAAACAGAAGAGAUCUAAAAUGUUAAAUAAUUUUGGUCUAAAUUUUAGAUCAUAUAUAUACAUUCGACCUUUUUUUUUAUUUUUUAUUUUAUUUUAAAACAAGUAUUAACUUUAUGUGAUUCAAAAUUGACCACUGAACCUGACUGUUACAUCAUUGUUUUAUCUUAAAAAUAAUAAAAUAAUACUUAUGUAUUUUUAAUCAUUGCUUGUAUGUACUACUAUUAUUUUUCUUAUUUUAAUUUAUGUAUUUGUUUUAAUUGCUGGUGUAAAAUAAUAUUACUACUAUAUGUGAGUCACUUGUAAGUCAUUAUUACACUUUUCAUUUAUAAUAAUGUUGAAUAUGAACCUAUACUUUUUGACCAAAUGAACAUAUAUACACUUGAAAACAAUAAGUUGAUAAUACUAUCUUUCCAUUUAUUUUACUUUUAAAUUUGUGUGAAGCAAGCAAAUGUGUAGUUAUUGACUGGAAUUGAGUUGAGUGUCCAAAAAAUACCGAUUCGGUCUGGGUUCGUGGCAGUAUAUAUUUUCUUGUUAUCAUAAAUUAGUGGAAAGAUUUAUAUGUUAAAACACAAUCGAUUUUAGAUAAUAAAAUUAUAAUAAAAUGAAAGCAGAAAGAGAAAGAAACAAUAUUUUCUCAUGAAGGGAACAUUAUUCACUUUCUUAUGAUUGAAAAAUAUUUUCACCACCAAAGAAUACAAAAAAAAAGAAGAAGACAUAGAGACCAAAACAAUUGCAUAUAAGUAUAAAAAACAUUAAAGAAAUCCACAUAAUGGAUUUUGGUAUGUUUUCCUACUCUUUUAUAGAAAUUCAUAUCAUAGUGAGAAUCAUGAUAUCAAAAUCUUAAAUAAAAUUUUGCUUAACACUCUUGCCCUGCAAAAACCCCGAGCCAAAGAGACCCUUAUGUUACACCUCCUCUCCAUUACCGGUAAUCAAUCCAAAACCAUUAAAAUUUUGCACUUCAAUAUUUUUUCACAUAAAUAAGUAUCAUAACAAAUUUGGACAUGGAUCAAUUUUAAAUUCCAAAUGGGAUAAUUGUGGAAAACAUAAAUAAGGAUAGCGUUGAAGAAUCUACGACUUCUAUUUACAUUAACUUGUUGUUUCCUUUUCAAGAAAGGUGUGCAUGGUUUUCAACAAUACAAUAAUUUGACUGUUACAACUUACAAAAAUUUCUAUUGAUGUUUCAAUUUUUGUUAACUAAGCAUUGAGUUUGAGAAGAUAUUUUCUACAAAAUCUAUGUUGGAUAUUUUAGUAUGAUGAACACUUCUAACCUUUAGUGUCUGGGUAAAUUACUAGUAACUUUCUCAACUUUGUUUCUUAGUUGCAGUUGCAAAUGGUCGAAGUGGACCCGUGAGUAUGGGUUCGUCAUUUGUUAUGUGUGGAGAAAAUAUCUCAUAUUGUCUAUUGAAGACUAAUAUUUAAAAAUCUUUGAUUAAAAUUGUUUUCAUAAUUAAGGAUAGAAAUGAUGACUUAAUCGGUGUCGAUUUGACAAAAAAAUAGCAGGUCAGUACCUCAAAAAUAAAUUUAUAAUUAUAUUUAUUUUGUUGUUGUCAAAUCAACAUGAAUGAAGUGAUUGUAUCAAAUGUAAAGAUGUGGAAGACUCUUAACUUAUAAUCAAAGUUGACGAGGUUGGUCUUUUCAAUUUUUUUUUAGCAAUUUUUAGAUAUUGAUCCACAAUUACACUAUGCAUCCAAACCAAAUUCACUCUUGGCCGUUGCUGGUUUCUUGCAAUCUAAAUAUAACCCUUACAAUAUUUUUGGGGUAAAUUCAAGGUGUCAUGGAUCAGGAGGUGGGAAAAUUCUUUGAGGGAUCUCUUUCAACAAUUGCUCUUUCAUAUGCAAAAACAUGAAAUUGAACUCUUCACGACAUCGUUAAGAAACUCAAUUAUCUAUCAACUAUGUGCGCGGCACCAUAUCUAUAAUAACGAGUUUGUAUGUCUAGUCUAGUCCUUUUCUGAGUAUGUUACAUGUUAAGUGGUCUAUGGAGUGUGACCUUGACCUUACCCUAUCCAUAUGCUUUUUUUCAUUUACUAACUUGACCUACAUGCCUAACUUUUUUUGACAUGCCUAACUAGUUAUCCAUGUGUCUGUGUAAAAGUUACUACAUCUUUGCAAACAAAAUUUCAAUUUCAAAUUAAGGAUAGUAGCAACUAGCAAAGACACAUUAUUUAACAAAAAAUUAAGAAAACUGUUACUGGAUUGUUACUCAACAUUUUGAGGACUAGUUGGUGAAAUUAAAGGCACCCAUCGUACGCAAAACUUUUAAAUUUGAUGUUAAAUUUUACAACUUAAAUUUGUGUCUAUUGUAUCCGUUUCUUAUAUAUAUUUUUUUAAAACAAACCAAAUAUUAAAUCUCAAGGUAACUUUGUUUAAUAAUAAGCUGCAGUAUUCUUUUUUGGGUCAAGUACAAAUAAGUACAAAACUUCAAUCUAAGAAGAAAAAUAUCAUUGAUAAAUAUAUAAAAAAUCUGAUAGUAAGCAGAAACUAUAAGCAAACGUUUUAUCUAAGUGAUAGCUAUGGAUCAUAGGAUUAACCAAGAACUGAUUUUGGAAUGAAUAUCUGAUUCUGAUCGAUCAGUUAUAUUCACCAUGAUGUCAUAGAACUCAAAACAGGUGUCAUGAUAUAACUUGAAGUUUUUAAAAUACAAUAAUCAGGUUGAUAUUAACAAUGUACUAUAUAAAAAAAAUAAGAUUCUUCAAAUUUAAGGCUUUUAGCCACAUGGCACGAGUUAUUAAUAAUAUUUGUUCUUUCUAUAUGCAUUUGUCCCCUAUUAUGGAUAAACUGUUGGUGGCAGUAGCAUCAGCGAUAGAGAAUGUAGUGAUACUUGAUAGGAAAGCUGUGGCAUUAUGGUACUGAAGAUGGCUGUCAGUAAUGGGAAGAGGAUGAAGAGAUUUCAUAAGGUCUAACUCAUAUCAUUUAAGAUUCUUAACUAAUGUUUCGAAGUACUGAUUAAUAUUUAUCCAUCAUUAACUUAAUCAGUAUCCCGAAACAUUAGUAAACAACUAGUAGUAUUUUAGGGAUCGAUUUAACAUUUUUUGUAUCUUCAUCCAUCAUUAACUUAAUCACUGUAUCAUGUAAAAAAAAAAAAACUUAAUCACUGUAUAACAUCUUUUUUUAGUUAUAAGCUCUUUUAAAGCCUAAUCUCUUUUUCAAUGGGUGAGAUUUGAUAAUUCUGUAAUAAUUACUAUUUAUGAUUUUGCAAAACCAAUAAAAACAAAAAUAUCACCUCUAGCAAUAUCUAUCAUCUAUAUAUGCAAAAACCAGUGCAAUUUAUGGUUUUGGUAUAUAUGCAAUUUUACCUGGCCCAAAAAAUAUAUAAAAUCCUAUGGUGAACUAUUCUUUGGACUGAUUCCUAGAAUGUCAACACCCGGGGUUGUUUUGCAUAAGCAAUAGCUAUCUACUUUCUCUUACCCAAUGGGAAGCAAUCCAUCCAUUUCCCUCUUGACAAGAUUUUUUUUUUUUUUUUUUGUCAAGUUGACAAGAAUUUAUCUAUAUACACCAAUCUCAAUUAUCACCUUUUGUUUUGUCCACAAAUUAAAUGUGGGAUAUGUUAACAUGUUUCCCGGAACACUGGUUAAGGAAACAAAAAAAAAGUUUUAAAUUAAAAGAAAUAUUUUUUAGACUUUUAAUGGGUUGACUGCACAAGUUCCCAAUGUGAUGUUACUAUAUUUGUUUCCUUAACCAGUACUCCGGGAGUAUCGGUUAACAUUACUCAUUAAAUGUUUACAUAUCAUAUGAAAUCCACAUAAUUUAAUGCAAGCAGUUGAUAUGGAGUGUGUGAAUGUCGUAAAAUCCAAGUACCAAGUUCGAUUCCUCUCAGAAUUUAUUUAUAGUACAUGAUAAAGAUUAAUAACAAACCAAUGAGAAAUUUGGUAAGGUUUGAAUUUGAUGAUAAAAUAAUAUUAGCCACUAGUGUACUCAAGGUCUCAAGUUCGAUUAUGUCUGGUGCUAAUUUGGGUGGACUAAUUUAGUUUCUUAAAAAACAUAGGCUUAAAUAUGUCUUUCGUCCCUGCAAAUAUAGGCCAUUUGAAUUUUCGUCCCUGAAAUUACUAAUUCUUCCAAUAUGCCCCUGCAAAUAUUAAUCAUUUGACUUUUGGUCCUAAUUACAUCUGAUUAGUAACUUCAGGGAUGAAAAUUCAAAUGACCUAUAUUUGCAGGGAUGAAAGACUUAUUUAAGCAAACCACCUCACCCAAUCAUCACUUGCCACAUGGGCACCACGCCGCUAAUGACAGCCCACCUCAGCAAAAAAACCUAAUUAGGACCAAAAGUCAAAUGAUUAAUAUUUGCAGGGGCAGAUUGAAAGGAUUAGUAACUUCAUGGACGAAAAUUCAAAUGGUCUAUAUUUGCAGGGACGAAAAACAUAUUUAAGCCAAAAACAUAUUAGCCACUGGUGUAAUGUAAGAUAAAAGACAGAAAAACAAGGCAAGUACCCAAAUACCAAAUUUAACUAAAUUUGGACACCAUCAAUAUCAAGUAAUGCUUAGCACAAAACAAAGGUAAAAGCUGAGAUACUGUACAAAAAUUAGUUAACCAGAAUGAUAAACAUUAUUGAAACACUACUAUACCCCCCGCAUGUAAUGGUUGAUGAAUUACAAAAAGAAGAGAGGACAACAGAGAGAGAAUAUGGGUAGAAUACCACAGCCGGUGAGAUGAAAGCAACCUAAGGAGAGGGGACCUCAAAUAGCAGACAUUAUUGAAUUAUUAUACAUGUAACACAACAAAUAUGUCUUACUCAAAAAUUUAAUGCACAAACCCUAAUGGGUCCAUAAGAAAUCCUAUAAUUAAAAAGACAACCAAUUAGAAUUCAGAGAAUAAGAUUAACUUCAACUCUCUAGCCAAUCAACACUAAGAUCAUACCAAUUGGUGGGUCCCAUUAACCUCCAUUAAUAUUCCUGUAGCAAAUUACCAAAAGUGCAUGGGCAGAGAGAAAAAAAAAAAAAAAAAGUACCUACUGACACUAGUGUGUCUCCUUCAUCACAUUGUCUAGUUUCAACAAACACAAACCAUUAAUUGAAUCAUUUUUUUGACAUAAAACAAUAUAGUUUAGUUAUAUUCUAUGAUUAUAGACAUGAAAGGUGAUGCAGAUGCAGGUGCCUUGGGAGCCAAGACAGCAAGAGCAUGUGAUAGCUGUUUAAGAAGAAGAGCACGUUGGUUUUGUGCUGCAGAUGAUGCUUUCCUUUGUCAUGGUUGUGACAAUUUGGUUCACUCUGCAAAUCUAUUAGCAAGUAGACACGAAAGGGUUCGCCUUCAAACCGCGUCUGCUAAGGUAACAACAACAGCACAAGCAUGGCACAGUGGAUUCACAAGGAAAGCAAGAACUCCCCGCCACAACAAAAAUUCGUCGAUUCAACAACAACAGCAACGUCUCAAGGAAAAAGUUCUCUUCAAUACUAGUUUUCUUCCACUUGUUCCUGAACUCGGAGGUGAAGAAGAACAAGGACAAGAACUACUUGUUGAUAUUGAUGAGGCUGAUGAGGAGCAGUUGCUGUGUCGUGUGCCAGUUUUCGAUGCCAACCCUUUUGAUUUAGAGACUUGUACUGUGAAAAAUGAUGCUGUUGAUUUUGAGGAAAUGUGUGACUUGGAUAGUUUCUGUGAGUUUGAUGUUGAUCUUGCUGAAUUUGCAGCUAAUGUUGAAAGUUUACUUGGUGUUGGGAGUAGUGAGAUUCAAGAGAAUUCAUCAGGACAAGUGUUUGAUUAUAAACAAGAGAAUGAAAUGGAUGCAUCCAAAAGUGAAAUGUUAAAGGUUAAGGAUGAAGAACUUGAUGAUUUGGAAUCAGUUUUUGACAUGACAAGUGAUGAUGUUUUUCAUUGGAAUAUUGAUAAUAAUGAUGUAUCACUAGCACAACAAGAGAAAGAGUAUAUGCCUUUGAGUAAUAGUAGUGUUGGUUAUAGUGAGAGCGUUAUUACUAAAGAAGAAACAAAGAGAGAGAGAUUUUUGAGACUAAACUAUGAAGAGGUUAUUACUGAAUGGAGCAGGCAAGGUUCUCCUUCUCCAUGGACUACUGCAAACCCUCCUAAGUUCAAUUGUGAUGAUGAUUCAUGGCAAAACUUAUUGGUACUUCAACUUUUCAUUUUUUUUCUCAAUCAUCUCUUUUACACUAUACUAAACAAGACAUUAAAUUAGCAACAAAAAUUUAGUGAUAACAUAAUUUAGAUAUUUUAUUUUUUCCAUAUGUAAUUGAAACGACUAGGGUUGAAUCUCAGUAGAUCGUGGCAGCAAGGUCACUCUACCACUUAGUUGUAAUUUAAUACAUGUAUAUGAUAUUUGACAUGUGAAUAUUGAUUUCAGGGUUCAAGUGGUGUAGAAGGAGAAGUAAGAAGCUUAAGGGGGCAAUUAAUGGGAAGUGGUGGAGAUGGAGGAAGAGAAGCAAGAGUAUCAAGGUACAGAGAGAAAAGAAGAACACGUUUGUUUGCAAAGAAGAUAAGAUAUGAAGUAAGGAAAUUGAAUGCAGAAAAGAGACCAAGAAUGAAAGGUCGUUUUGUUAAGAGGACAGCAUGUUUUGCUGGAGGAGCAACUUCUUUUCCAACUAAUUACCACUGACAUGAAUAUCAUCAACUGGUUAUUAAUUAACUUCCAUGUUUGCUUUUCUGCAAAUUUGGAUUGAUUAAUAUUUGGUGCAUGUGGCUGUGUAUAGUAUGUAUUAUAAUAAUAAUAAUGUUUAUUAAUUACUUUACUAGAGUUAAUGUUGCUUGGGAUGUUUCAAUCUAUCUCUAGCUUCAGGUUUAAUUAGUAAUACUAAUGGUAACCCUUCAAUUAUGAGCUAGUUGAUGAUUUGGCUGUUGGUUUUUGUAAGCCUAUUAUUAUUGUUCCUUACUAGAAGUUCACAUUCAAAUGUUGAUGCUAUGCUAUUUAACAUUAGAUUGAAAUGGUUAUUAAUUGUUGUAAUGUUGAAAUACUUGAUUGCAACGAGUGUAUACUCUUCAACUAGACGUGGUUUUUUUAACUAAGCUACUUAUUAAUAAUAAUUAACUUGUAACCAUUCUUCGUGCAUGUUUUAUAUCAUGGUGGUAUACCAAAAUCACGGUGACCCAAUGUGAUUUUGCAUAAGCUAUGGUGUAAUUUUUAAAAAUCACUGACAUCUUCACUGUGUGUGAUACCAAAGAUAAGGUUAAACGGUAUUCAACUAAUUAUAACAAUGGGUAGAAAAAGCUACCAUUAUAGAAAAUGCUAUUUUUGACAUGUUUUAAAGUUUGAACAUAUUUUAAUUUCCUGGUAAGUUUGUGUUCUACGUACUGAUAAAUUUACUAGCCUUGUAAAAUAAUCACUUUUUUUUAUAAAAUUCAACUGAAUUUUCAAAGAAUGAACCAGGGAUCGAUAUUGUUCAAGUGUCUGUCAAGAAUAUCUAGUGUUAGAAUUCCUAUUGGGCAGUACCUUUUCUGUUUAGACCCUACUUACAGGUGCAAACAAUUCAAUUAAACUGUCGCACUCACACAACUAUUAUGGGCUAUGUCUAACGUUCACAAUUUAGUGGAUUCCUUUUUUUCCAGGAAUUAAUGGAAGUCAAGAAAAUAGAAUUAAUCUUGUCAAUCUAGCUAACAAAUAUUAAGUUGGUCAGAGUGAAACUCAACUUAGGUUUGUUAAGCAAGAUUUUGUGUUCAUGCCUUGUAGAUGGAAAAAAAAUUGUGCUUAAAACGAGAGACCUCAUUAAAGGUGGUUAUAUAGUCGACGAAAAUUAGUCAUCGAUAUAAUAAGAAUAAGUCACUGCUGGUAAAGUUAGAAAAUACUUCACACCGAUAACAAGGUUAAAAAUAUCUGUCAAUUCAGCUCUAUGGUUUCAUAAAACCAUACAAUACAAGGCUAAAAGACAUGCUAGUAUGUUACUACAAUUGUCAAGUCAAAUAUAGUUGGAAUCUCUUCCAAUGAGUGCAUGAAAAUUGAUUCACUGAUAUUUUAAUAAUCUGCAAGAAAUUUUUUAAUUAUAGAAGUAAUAGGUACUUGUAAUGACACGAGAGUCAAAAAUAGAAGGUUUUAUCUACAACCACAUGAUGAUAAUUAAUAUUAAUGAACUCUUCUUAUAAGGAGAAAAAAACCUCAAGAUGAUGUGUAAGUUUAUGUCUUUAUGAUAUCCCAAGAGGUACAGAAGCGACAGAUCCUGAAAUGCAAGUUUUGUUCUCUUUUCUAUAAAAGCAUUGUGGUCCAAAAAUUUGGGGUUAAUGGGCCAGACUUUGUGAAAAUGAAAUAACAGAAAGAAACUUCAAAAAAGUGAUGGCACAGAGCAAAAACUCAACAUGGCUGAUGGGGCCAUCAUACAACAUUUAAUCCUCAUCAUCGUGUCAUCCUUUAUCAGGUCCAGGUCAUCAGACACUACUUGGUUCCUAUACCUAACUUAAUAUUUUAUCUUUAUCUAAAUUUUGAUAUAUUUUUUUUAAAAAAAAGUAGAUGAUAGUCUGAGUCAAAAAAAAGAAGUAUGAUAGUCUCCUGCAAAUAUUUCCCACCAAAGUUGAUGGUAUUUAUGUAAAUAUAUAUAUAUACUUACAAUUUAAAGAUUUAAUACUCGUAUAUAUCUAAGGAAAAUUCAAAUAUCAAAUGAGUUCAAAACUUUUUAUCCACAUAUCUCAUUAUAAGUAUCAUUAACCACUAUUAUUUCAAAUGAAAUCAACUCGACUCAUUUAAUUUGUAAGAUUGCAAGAUCCUUUUGAAUUCACAAGGUGCUAGAUGAUCCAAAUUAACGUCUUACUAAGACAAAAUAGGAUAUCAACUUUUAUGCAAGCAGCUAGCCAUAGAAGAUCAUUACUUGGAAGCCAAGUAAAUUGCAAGAUACAUCAAAUUAGCCCUAGAUCAAGUCCUCAUGUUUCUUCAGCAUCAAAACUAUAUAUAUAUAUAUUUGAAGAAUUUAGUGAUUCUUAUUGGGCUACAUGCCCUACAACCAGAAAAAGCCUUUUUUUAUUUUUUGUUAUGAUCUUACAGAUCAAUCUUUAUGACCUCAACUUCUUGAUGUUCUUUAGAUUGGUCUAGAAUCCAUGUAUUAUCACGUUGCAUACCAAUUUUAAUAUGAUAUUUUUCACUUGUAAUGUUUUGUUUAUACAUAUGGUCACCAGCUGUUUUAUUAAUAUUAAUUAGAAAAUAUCUGCUUAGAUUGUGUGUUUAUUUUACAGGUUCUAGUAUCUAUAAGAAGAGCAUAUAUCCAAUGUAACACAUAAAAUUGAAAAGACCGUAUCUAUUUUAUUCUUUCAUGUAUUCUAAAAUGAUCUCUAAAUUUAUAAUAUGUUAAUUAGGUUUGUCCGGAAUAUCUUAUCAUUCACUUAUGUUUGUUUCAAGUUAUAAUUAUAGAUUCUUGGAAAUAAAAUCAUAAAAACAUACAUGCCUAUGUUUGUUACAAGUUUGUUAAAUUUUAUUCCCGGGUAUAAAAUGUUCCUGGGAAUAUAAAUAUUUUUUCAAAGAAAUUGGUAGGAAUAAAGUUCAUAUGGAGAUGGGAAUAAAAUCACGUAUAAUUACCUAUUAUAAUCCCUAUUUUUGAGGUUCCUUGAAACAUUAUAAUGUUAACCAAACAUCUUUUUUCUAAAUACCUUGGAAUAAAAUUUACAUCUAUAUAUUUCAAGGAAUGUUAUUCCUAGAAAUAAAUUUGGCAAACUUGAAACAAACACACCCUUAAUUUUAAGAGGAAUGUUAUCAACACUCUCUCUAACAUUCACUUGCAUGAAAAUAAUGUAUAUGUUCUACCACUUUAUAUGAGUUUCAUUUUUAAAGUGCAUGUCUCAUAUUCAUGGGUGGCCCUGAGGCGGCAACACAGGGUACUGUAUUUUUAGGGGCAUCCAUAUUAUUAUUUUUACUUAGUAGUCAAUACAAUAUAGAUAUAUUAUUUUAUAUUUUUUUGACAAAGAUAUAUUUCUUCUUAAUUUGCUUUCAUUAAUUCUAUUGUAAAUAUAUUUUUAAAGAACUUUGAUUAUAAAUGAAUCUUGUGCAACAAAAAAUACAAAAAGAAAAAUAUUAGAAUAAUUAAAAGGGUACAAUUUUUUCCUUUUGUAUAGGGCACCAAAAUUUUUAGGACCUACCCUACCCAUAUUGAUUUAGUCCAAUAAAAAAACUGAGUGUUAGAGAGAGCGUUGAAAAGAGAGUUUAUCACCGUUAUUAUUUACUUAAUUUUAAAUGCAUUUUCAUCAUUAUCCACUUAAAAUUCUAACAAUGGGACAGAUAUGAUUAAAUUGUUAGUAAGAAAAUUGAUAGAAUAUAUAUUGUUAUAAUUUUAGGAAUCAUUUUGAAAUAUUAAUUAAUUAUAUUGAGACAACUGAUUCGAUCGAACAAUUUCAAAAUGUUUUAGACUUAUUCUCACUUACCUUUUCAUUUGUGUCAUUGAAUCUUGCUUAUUUUUCAUAUUCAGCAUCAGUUUGCAGCUAUGAUCAUAGUCAUUUCCAAACUUGAUAUGAUUGUCUAGGAUUUGUUGGGAAACUACACAGUCCCAUUAUCGAAUAAAGUAAGAAAAUAUAAGUACACAUAACAAGUCCAAUAUAUUUAAGUACUAAUUUCAAAAGGUUUGUGGAUAUUUGAUUAUUUGAACCGAUAACUGAUUAAAUAUCAAAUUUUUUAAACAAGAAAAGUAAUUAAAAAUCAACGUGAACGUGUGGAACCACACCAGAAAGAAGAGAAAAAUAUAAUAAAAAUGGUUAGAAAUAUAUAAUUUGAAAGCGUAAAUACAUAAUUUUUUUUGGACAGAAAGUUAUAUACAUAUUUAUUUUUGGUGACAAUAUACAUUUGUUAUUCAAAUAGCUUAAUGGUUAUAAAUUCAUCUUUUUAAGAGAUGUUCCAUAGUUCGAACCUCAAUCAUUGCACAAAUUAUACAAUAUACCUACUAACACGAUGGGUUAUACUUCAAAAUGAGUUAAAAAAAACUUCUUUAAAUUCCAAAAGAACACCAUAAAUAAAUAAAAAGAGUAGUGAUAUUUGAACAAUCAUUUUUGACAACUUCUUUUUCCUCUCUUUCUAUUAGUUAAAAAUAAUGGAGAGAGAAAAAGGAGGAAAGAGAAUAAAAACAUAAUGUGAGUAUGAAAGAGAGAGUUGUCAAAAAAUUGUCACAAAAUGGUUGUACAAAUAUCAUUUCUCAUAAAAAAAAAUUACAUGGUUAUUGAAUUAAACCGGUGAUUCAAAAAUUAAUCUUUAUACUUUUAAAAUUUCUUCAAAACACCUCCAAAUUAUUCAUUUAACUAUCGCUAACUACUACUCAGAAGACUUUUUAAUCGGUUAAACAAGUUUAAAAAUGAUUGAUCCAAUCUAAAAAGUAUCAAAUGACACUUAGGCUGUGUUUGGUACCACAAAAAAGCUAGUUUAUAGCUUGUUGAACUAGCUUAUAAGCUUGUUUUGAUAAAAUGAGAUGUGUUUGGUAAAAAACUUUUUUCACUAGCUUUUAGUGUUUUUUAAGAAGCUAAUCCAAGUAGCUUUUUAGCUUAUAGCUGUAGCUUUUUAUACUUUCUUCCCAUUUUAACCUUUUCUUAAUUUUAUUUUAUUUUAUUAUAAUAAAAAAAAUUAUCCCACUAUCUUCUUAAACUAACCAUGUUUACCAUGUAUGGCUUUUUAAAUUUUCUUGUCCACUUUUUUUUUUACUUUGCUCAUAAUUCAUAUAAUAUAUAAUUUUAUAUAGAAUUUAUAAUAGUGAAGCAAGUUUAGUUAAAUAAAAUUCAUAAAAAAAAAAAAAAUGGUUAAAUAAAAAAAUUCGAUUGAAUUCAUAAAUACAUUUAUUAUUUUGGAGAUGAAAAUAAUUUGAAAUAUAUUUAAAUAUUUAAAAAUAAAUGUGUUAAGUAAUAAAAAUUAUAUAUAUGAUAUUAAAAAAAAAUUAAACAAGCAUGUGUUUUUAUGUCAUUUUAUAUUUAUAGUCACUUCAACAGCUAAUUUUACCAAACACUUUUAAUUUUAAUCAGCUAACUUUUCAGUUAUAGGCUAUCAUCUAUCAGCUAGCUUUUCAGCUAUCAGCUAUCAGCUAACUUAUAGCUUUGUUUUUACCAAACACACCCUUAGGCUAUGUUUGGUAAAGCCAAUAGACUACCUUACAACUUAUUAGACUAGUUUAUAAGCUUGUUUUAAAAAAUAAAAUGUGUUUGGUAACAAGCUUAUCUCACUUUUUGAGAUGCUAUUUUAACUAGCUUUUAAGCUUAUAACUUGUAGUUUUUCACAUUUUCUUCCAUUUAUAACCUUUAACAUUAUUUUUAUUUAAAAAAAAAAAAAACUGCCCACUCAAAGAAAUUAACUUUCCACGUUCUGCUAAUUUUUGUUUGACAGUUGCCUUGUAUUUUUUUUUUUUGUCAAGUAGCCUAGUUGUUAGAAUUCACCUUAUAAGGUGAAUAAGUGGGGUGUCUGGUGUUCGAACCUCAGCCCCUACAUAUAAUAAUGCAUUGUCCUAUCAACUGAGUUAUGCUCAUGGAACCCUUGUAUUCCUUUCUAUUUGAAUUUUUUUAUUGCUUAGAUGGUUGAAAUAUUGUUGUUCAGAUGUGACUUUUUUUUAUACGCUCUCUUUCAUUUUUGAAAGAUAUAUGUUUUUUUUUGUUUAAGUAGCAUAGUGGCUAGAGCUCGCACAUUUUAAAUGUGGAGAAGUAUGGUGUUUAGGGUUCGAACCCCAACCCUGUAUAUAUUAUGCGAUAUUCAUACCAAUUGAGUUAAGCUCACCGAAACAUAUAUGGUCUCUUUCUAUUAAAUUCAUAUGUACAUAUUUACGAUUAAUUUUAUCUUUGAACAUAUUUACCAAUUUAAAUAAAAAGAAAUAAUUUUCCAUAAAACAAAUAAGAAUAUAUGAUAAAGAAGUCAAACAAAUUUUGUUAAAGAUAAACUCCAUUAAAUUCAUAUAUCAAAUUUAUUAUUUUAAAAAAAAUACUUUUAAAUUAUUAAAAUAAAUAUAAAUGUCUAUAAAUAUAAUUCAUAACAUAUUAAACAUAGGUGUACUUUAUGUCAUUUUAUAUUUACGAGUCGCUUCAAAUUUCAAUUAGCUAAUUUUUCAUUUACCAAACACACACUUAAUUAUCACCGAAGAUAGUGUCUUUCCAUCGAUGCCAAUUGCAAAAAUGAGAAAUUUUGAAAGUGUAAACAAAAAACACACAGUUGGAUCUCUUCAAGUUAACAACACUUGGCAUUGCACCUCAGACCCUAUUCUAUUCUUUUUUGUCGCUGGCGGGAAAUGAUUCAUUGUGACGCACGGAGUCUUUCUCGGACCACUCUCUUUCCUUCCAAAAUUACCUAACACACUAACUUCUUUUUUAAAAAUUAUUUUAUUAACUAAUUAAUUAAUUAAUUUAAAUAAUUACGUACAAAAUCUUAUGGAUGCCAUGUUUUCUUGAUUCUCCUUAAUCUCCCCAACUACCAUUCUUCAUUCUACGUCAACAUUCCCAGGUUUUAAUGUUUUUAUUUUUUUUUAUUUUUAUCAUUCUUUAGAUUCUUUUCUUUUUAUGUUUUCCUUUAUUUUGUUUGAGGGAUAUUUUAAUUUUAAUAAUGUAACAUUCUUCAAACGUAGACAAGUCAAAUUUCAACAUGAAUGUUUUGUUCCUUCCUGGUAAUUUGAAUAUUCAUUUAGAAUAUUUUAUAAAUAAAUUGCAUGCAAACAAAAUAGUCCUCUUUACCCCGGAAAUUUCUAUGACCCGUUUUUCAAGUUUUAUUCUUUUGGACGUUUCUUUUGUUUUUGUCACAAAACAUUGAUCAAUUACGUUACAAUACAAAAAUUGUACAUUUUCUGUUCUUAAGGGUUCUUUGUUUAAUCUUCUUUAGCUAUCUAGUCCUUCCUUACUUGCUAAUCUGACAUGGAUGGCUUCUUUAACCAAUGAAAGGAAUUGAGAUUAAAAAAAAAGUUUUUGUUGGUGGUAACUGCAUGUUGGUGAUUAUGAGUACUGUCGAAUAGCAGUUAUAGCGUAGCGGAUUUUGACCUAGUCGAUAUUGUUUUAUGAUACGCUAUUUAGUACAGAGUGUUGUCAAAUAGGGCUUCUAACUGUUGCGUAGCAUAGUUUGAACAUACACAAUUGAAGAAACUGAUUCAGAGUACCGUGAAUUGAUAUGAAUUUCAGGCUUUGAAGAGUUCUUUGGGUGAUAUGACACAAAGGGAAUUUCUUUGAAAUGUAUCUUUGUGGAAAUCUUAGGUUGCUUGUCCCACUAGGAACCUAGUAAUGAAUCCCCCAUCUGGUAUAAAGAUUACAGUACCCAGAGAAUUGGGUAGUCCAAAGGACAUUUUCAAUGGAAUUGAUAGAGUUGGGCAUGUAGUAAACACUCAAUGUGAGGUGGAAGGUAUGGAGAUCAUUGGACUUAAACUCUCUUUGUAAUUUGCAUGUUAUUCAUUUAUGUGUUGAAUUUGAAUUAAUCUUCUUUAUGAAUAUUUUCAGCUAAACAUCGAUCGGUUUUGGUUCAAUGGUUAAAUAGUCUUCUUCCUUCAUUGGACUUCUCAACAAAUGUCACAGAUGGUGAAUUAAGAGCAUGCUUGAGCAGUGGUACAGUUUUGUGCCAGAUACUAAACAAACUACGACCUGGUCCCGUAACUAUGGUAAUACUUUCUUAACUUUCAGAGUUUCAGUUAACUUCAGCAAUAAAUUUGACAAUUUUACUUUCAGAAUUCAGGUAUACCUUUCAAUCUGGAUUAUUUUUUGUAGGUCAGUGAAUCUGAUCAUUCUCUGCCAUCACAAUCAGAAAAUGUUAAAACAUUUCUGAAAGCUUUGGAUGGAUUGGGAUUGCCAAGGUUUGAAAUAUCAGACCUAGAGAAGGUAUAAGAUACCUAGCAUCUAUUUUUUUGUACCGUGAUUUUAUGCAUAGCAUUAUUGUAUCUGUUGAUAAUUUAAGAUCUUCACGAGCUUAUUGCACGCUCCUUGUUGGGUUGCCACUGUCUCUUUUGUUGUUUAGGGAUCUAUGAAGCCUGUUGUGGAUUGUCUUUUAAUACUCAGAGCGAAAAGUUUGAUGAAUUCUUUGGGAGAUAAUGCUUCUUUAAGUAAUUCCAAUGCAUCAAGCCCUCGUGGGUAUGGAUCUUCGAGUUUUCAUUCUUCCCCACCAUUUGGUGUGGACAACAGGAAGCUUACAUCUGAGUCAAGGUUUCAACGUGUUAUGAGUUUUAGCCCUUCUAUGGCGGGUCCGGUGAAUUUUAUUAAACUCAUCCCCUUCUUUCUGUAUGUGCUUGUUGUACAUAAGGAGAUAAUAAAAUCCAAUUUCAUAAACACUGUGACAUGUUAAUGAGAAAACUUAUCUAGGAUGUAUGUAAUUUGAAUUCCCUAAGCAAUGUUAUUUGGGAAGUUCUAACUUGUACUAUAAAAACUAAACAUUUAUUUUUGUAAGACACUUUUUCUUUGAACUUUAAAUUCUUAAUUAUAUAUACGUGUGUGACUAUCUUUUUUCAUUUAAAUCCUUCUUUAGAAGAAGAGAGGAACAGAGGUGGUUAUUUUCCCUUUGUGAAGGACAUUUGUAGUGCUUGAAAGUUAAACAUCUAUGUUGAUAUUCAUUAGACCAAUUAUAUUGCGUUCUUGUAUUUAUAAGUGAUUGGUUCUGUUCAUUUGAAUCUUGUGCAGAACCAUCAGCUUCAUUAAUAUACCAGGUUGGUCAUAAGUUCCACGAGGUUUUUCAAAUUAAACCUGGAAGCUAUUCAGAUCUUCCUGCCGCAAAAAUAUCAGAAAUGAUGAAAUCAAACAGUUUAGAUGUAAGUUCCUGAAUUCAACCUUCAGAUACAUGUAUUCAGAUUAAAAAAAAAUUGUGUACAUGUGUAUAUAGAUAUGCGUGUAUUCUUUGUUUGAUUCAUGACUGAUUUAUUUUAUUGCCUGUUGUUGCAGAAUGCUCCCACUCAAUCGCUAUUAAGUGUUGUCAAUGGUAUUCUUGAAGAAAGCGUCGAGAGAAGAAACGGAGAAAUACCUCAUGUAUGGCUUGCAAAUGAAAAUACAAGUAUAUAUCCAUAUGAGUGACUUGCACCUCAAGCUCAAGUAAUCCAUACAGUUUCAUAAAUAUUGUUUGUUAUUUUUGUUUGUUUAGCGGGUGGCAUGCUUGUUGAGAAAGGUUUCACAGGAGAUCGAACGCCGCAUAUCGACACAAGCAGAACACAUACGAACUGUAUGUCCGUUACAUUGUUCUUAACAUCUAUGUAAUUUUGCUUUUCUCAGUCAGUUUCCUCAUGUCACUUUCUUACACUGUAUUCAGCAAAGUAAUCUUUUUAAGGCCCGGGAAGAAAAAUAUCAGUCGAGAAUAAGAGUACUCGAGGCACUUGCAUCUGGAACUAGAGAAGAGAGUGAGGUAUCUCAAAAUAUCAUUGUCUAGUCAUAUUUUUAAAAGUGGAUCCUUAUAUAUUCCUUCAAAUUUUGAAAAUUGGUACAAGUUCUCUACUUAUCAGAGCGAACUUUUGCAACAGAUGAUUUCUAGCCAGCUUCAACAGUUGAAGGUAAUGAUUUCAUACUUUGCAUCAUAAGAAAUAUAUUGAUAUACUAUAGACACGGGAUAAUACAAGAGGCUUUAAUUAGAUUAUUUUCAUGUUCCGACUCUUCAAUAUAGGAUGAGAAGGUCACAGAGGAAGAAAAGAAGGAAAAUGAAAAAGAAAUAAUUAGGUUGACGAAAAUGCUAGAGGACAAAAAUUUGGAAAUUUCAGAAUUGAAACAAAAACUGGAAGCAACCAAAAAAACAUAUGAAGCGAAAUGCUCACAGUUGGAAGAAGAAACCAGGGAUGCUAAAGCAGAAUUGAGACAGAAGUCUCAAGAAUAUGAGUAUCGACUCGAAGAACUGAGGAACGCAGUUAAGGAGAUUGAGGAUUCUUCGGAUUCAAAAUAUCAGGAGUGGAGAGUGAAAGAGAACCAAUUGCAGACUGUUAUAAAUUGUCAAUUUAGUUCCCUGCAGGUACACUUAAAAAUGUGUCAAUGUCAAUGUUAUAAUUGUGGUGCCAAACAUUACAAUUUUGUGCUUGAUUUGCAAACAUCCAGAAACUGAAAUCAUCGUGGGAGUCCAUUAAGCAAGAUGCUAUGAAAGGGAAAACCGUUUAUGUAGAGGAGUGUAAUCGAUUACGUAAGCCUUUGUCGUUAGAAUGUCAUUUUAGUGCUCCCUUUCAUAUUCUUCUACCGGGAUUUAACCUUUAAUCAUUUGAAUGUAAUUUGUUCAGGUGUAAAUCUCAAACCACUCAUACAUGCAUCUCAGAACUAUCAAGCCGUCCUUGCUGAAAAUAAAAAAAUGUUUAAUGAAGUUCAAGAAUUAAAAGGUAGCAUUAUCCAUGUCUUUUUUCUCGCUUUUGUAUAUUAUGUAAGUGUAAUAUGAAUUCACACAUUGUUUUAUGAUACAGGAAAUAUCAGAGUAUUUUGUCGAAUUAGACCAUUCCUUAUAGACAAAAAGGAAAAACAGUCUAUUGUAGAAGACAUAGGUGAAAGUGAUUUGGUUGUGGUAAAUCCCUCCAAAGAAGGGAAAGAUGUACAUCGAUCAUUUAAGUUCAACAAGAUUUUCGGCCCUGCCGCAACUCAAGGUUUAUUUAUAUAUUCUAUUCCAUUUUUGAGAUUAGGCUAUGGAGAAGUAUUCCUUAUAUCCAGAGAUGAAAAUUUUGCAUCAUUAUUCAUGUGUAUCGAUAUUACAGUUUUUACUUAGUUUUAGUUGUAAUGUUUAUAUUCUGACGUUGUCCCGUGAUUCUACUUUGAAUGAUGCACAGGAGAUGUAUACGCUGACAUUCAACCUUUUGUAAGAUCGGUACUCGAUGGAUAUAAUGUAUGUAUAUUCGCUUAUGGCCAAACCGGGUCCGGAAAAACUUACACAAUGGUAUAAACCCUCUUGACAUAUUGAUUUUAUAUUUUUCUUAAUGCUAUUAAAGAAAGGCCUUAUUGUACUGUACAAAUUACCUUCUUUUCUCAGACUGGUCCAAAUGGAGCAACAAGUGAGAAACUCGGUGUUAAUUAUCGAGCUCUAAAUGACCUCUUCAGAAUUUCCACAAGCAGAGGAAGCCUCAUAGACUAUGAGAUUUGGGUUCAAAUGGUUGAGAUAUAUAACGAGCAAGUUCGUGACUUGUUAUCAACUGAGGAAUCUCCAAAGAGAUAUCCUUUUUUAAAAAUAUCUUUAGACAAUUUUUUUGCAUUAACUUUCCCUUAUUAGUUUUUUCUUCUCUGGUUUCCUUGAUUUGCACACACUUGGGAUUUUGACUCAAUCUCAAUCAUACGGUAUAGCAGUACCAGAUGCUAGCAUGUUCCCCGUAAAAUCACCUUCAGAUGUCAUUAAGUUGAUGGACAUUGGACUUAAAAAUAGAGCAAUCGGUUCGACUGCUAUGAAUGAAAGAAGUAGCCGUUCUCACAGGUUAAAUCAUUUUUUUCUUUCCCUGAAAUGAAAGCUUUUUAUUAUGAUGACAUGUAUAAACUUUACGUGCACAGUGUGGUCUCAAUUCAUGUUCGUGGAAAGGAUUUCAAGUCUGGUUCUACUAUGCAUGGUAAUCUUCAUUUGGUAGAUUUGGCCGGAAGUGAAAGAGUAGAUCGAUCUGAUGUAACCGGGGAUAGACUUAAGGAAGCACAACAUAUAAACAAAUCACUUUCUGCCCUCGGAGAUGUAAUCUUUGCCCUUUCUCAAAAGAGUCCCCAUGUACCAUAUAGAAACAGCAAGCUUACUCAACUUCUGCAAACGUCUCUUGGUAAAUCAAUGUUCAUCUGCUUAACUUUCGGUUUAGAAUCUCUUUCAAGCUUCUACUAGAUUUUGAUUGGAAUAUUGUCUUUGAUUUUACUGCACAGGCGGUCAAGCAAAGACUCUCAUGUUUGUCCAGAUUAACUCGGACGUCAGUUCGUAUUCUGAAACUUUGAGUACUUUAAAGUUUGCUGAGAGAGUUUCCUCAGUUGAACUAGGAGCUGCACGAAAUAACAAGGAGACGAGAGAAUUAUCUGAACAGGUAAUUUACCUUGUUCAUGUAAAUUGAAUACGUCGGUGUGGUUAUGCGGUGUGCUUUUCUUUUGUUUCAUGUACUCUGACAAGUAUUUUCUACUUUGUCUUACUUUGAAGGUGACUUCUAUGAAGAACACUAUUUUGAAAAAAGAUGAGGAGAUUGAAAGGCUUAAAUCACUGAACGCAUCCAUUGGUGGUAUUUCUAAGCAAAUUCAAAAAGUAUCAAGUGGAAGUUUUAAGCACCUUGUUGAAGGUGAUAUCAAACAACAAAUGGAUGACCAUAAAACUGAGUAUCUCCGUUCGCCUGAAAAGGCUAGGCGAGUAACUCAAGGAGUCUCAGCUACAGAUUUUCAACAAAAAUCAAGUGAUUUUUCUGACAACAAGGAGUCUCGGCUUAAAUCACUGAACAAGUCCGUCAGUGGUAUUUCUAAGCAAAUUCAAAAAGUAUCAAGUGGAAGUUUUAAGCACCUUGUUGAAGGUGAUAUCAAACAACAAAUGGAUGACCAUAAAACUGAGUAUUUCCGUUCGCCUGAAAAGGCUAGGCGAGUAACUCAAGGAGUCUCAGCUACAGAUUUUCAACAAAAAUCAAGUGAUUUUUCUGACAACAAGGAGUCUCGGCUUAAAUCACUGAACAAGUCCGUUAGUGGUAUUUCUAAGCACAUUCAAAAAGUAUCAAGUGGAAGUUUUAAGCACCUUGUUGAAGGUGAUAUCAAACAACGAAUGGAUGACCAUAAAACUGAGUUUCUCCGUUCGCCUGAAAAAGCUAGGCAAGUAACUCGAGGAGUCUCGGCUACAGAUUUUCAACAAAAAUCAAGUGAUUUUUCUGACAACAAGGAGUCUCGGCUUAAAUCAUUGAACAAGUCCGUCAGUGGUAUUUCUAAGCAAAUUCAAAAAGUAUCAAGUGGAAGUUUUAAGCACCUUGUUGAAGGUGAUACCAAACAACGAAUGGAUGACCAUAAAACUGAGUUUCUCCAUUCGCCUGAAAAGGCUAGGCGAGUAACUCAAGGAGUCUCAGCUACAUAUUUUCAACAAAGAUCAAGUGAUUUUUCUGACAACAAUAGUCUUGCUCUCGGCACAGAAACUGAUGGUUCUUCUGAUAGUUCCAGUAUGAGUGAAGCCAAAAAGACUUCAGAUAAGUCGAAGACGUGAGUAGUGCUUAUGCUAUUACAGCAUAUUUGCAGAGGAACAACAUAUGCAUCGCUUAGAAGUCAAGUCUAAAAUUAAUGUAUAUGUGAUAUUUAUGGUUAAAAUUUUGAUCUGUGUUUUGCAGGUCCAAAGUAAUAUCCAGAACUGUUCAAGCGGUAAGGAAAUUUGGCCGAAUCUCAUCUACCACAGCUGUAGCAAAGGACCCCUCAAAGAAAUCAUCAGGUAUAUGCAAGUUAAAAUGAAAUUCUCUCGAUUUAUGCUGUAUCUGUUAUCCUUGCUCAGAGGUCAUGCUAUUCUUCACUUUGCUUUUAGUAGAGCAUAUGAAUAUUAUACUAACCAUGAAUUUAACUCCUCUAAAGGAACAGAUAUUAUACUAACAAUGAAUUUAACUCCUCUAAAGGAAAAUAUAUCUGUAGUUAAUGAAUCAUCGGUUAGUAUUUAAUUCGCAUACAUAACAAAUUAUAAAUAGAUUCAAAUAUCAACUGAUGGUUCUCAUCAAUGAUUCAAAUAUCUUAAAGUGAUAAUUUACUAUAUAGGUGUCAAACUAAGUAAUCAUUAACUUCUUAAAAUGUUUAGAUUUUUCAACUUUCUUCACAAAUUUAAUUUCAGGUACCAUAAAAAGCCCCAGUAUUGGCACACCUAAAGCUCCAAAACGGUGGCAGUAAAAUAGGAGGCAGUACUUGUAGCUACAAUUAAAUUGCAUAGUCUUCAAAAUUUGGCACGUGCUAUGUAAAUAGGGAUUCAGAUUCCAUGCAGCAACUGCGAGAGGGAGUUACUAAUCUUGAUUGUUCGAACUCAAAUCAAUGAUGAAGAUUAUUUGAAGAUAUGUUGGUGAAGGUGUGUAAUGUAUGUCAGCCGAUCUCAAAUCGAUUGUCGAGAUCAAUUAAUGUGUAUAACUGUGUCUUUUUUACUGCACUGAAUCCAGAUUCAUGUAAAUAUAAUAAAGUCAUUGGUAUGUUGGAACUUCUAAUACUUGAAUUCUUAGUCACAUUGGUGACAUUUUGUGGAUAAUAUUGUAACAUAUUUUGUAUUCAUAAUCAUAUGAAAAGAAAAACAAAUUUUAUAACAGAAGUUCAACAAAUCGAUGUGCUCAAGGUAGUGCUGAACUGUAAGAGCUUGGGCCAAAAGCUUAAGAGAAUCUGUACUUAGCUUAAUGUUUAUCAAUAAUAUCAAUGAGGUCAAUGACAUUUUUUAAAAUAAUAAUCAUACACAGAGACUUAUUUAUCUAUUUGUGACUCAUUUUAUUAAAGUUGUAGGAUCAUUUUUUUUAAUUCAAUUGGGCUAAUAUCACAAUUUAUAAUUAAAUUUUAUAAAACUUCAAAAGAAAAUGAUGGUGUGUGCAAGAGUUCUUAAACUAGUAUUGUACCAACAUGUUAAAAGUUAAUUUUUAAUUGAUACUUUGAUGUGAACCAAGAGAUAUGACUGCCACACUUAUUACCUCAGAAAAAGUUAGAAGACAUCUUUACCAUGAAUAACAGUUAUUUUGUACAAUCACAUUCAUUUUCUAAUUCACAGGAAAGUUCAUAUCUCCAACAGUACAAAUGAUUUUAAGCUAGUAAAUAAGUGUAUUGAACAUCAAGAUUCAGCUGCAACGAUUAAUUUACAACUUGUGAACUCCAAUUUUGGUUUCAGAUGAAGAAAUAAACCAUCAUUGAAGCAACCACAAUAGUAGUGUCUUUAUCAAAGUCUGUUUACAUGUGACUUUGAAAGAUAACAAUCAAUUUGUACUCUAGAUUAGUACUCAAUUUAGUCUCUAAACCUAUAUAAAUAUAAUAAUAAGUAGUCAUUAAACUAUCUAAAAUCCAUCAAUUUAGUUUCUACUGCUAAGAUAUUGGAGAUUAAAUUUACGAAUUUCCGUAUACUUUAACAAAUGAGUUAGUGUUGUAUUGUUGGUCACAACAAUCAAAACAAUGUCAUGGGAAUUUGCAUCUUAUACAUAAUGCAAACUCGCAAGUUGUGAUUCACGUCAUUAGAUUUAACAGAAGAAACAUGUUUGACGAUUUACAAUUUAAUCGAUGUAUUUAUCUUUUCUCAUAUUUUAAAGCCCCAAUUUUAUUAUUUUUUAUUUUAACAUAAUAUACUACAUGUUGUUUCCUGUUAUUUCCGCCAAAGUGAGUCAGCAACCGCCGCUUUGAUCCACCAGCCAGCCAGUAUGUAAAGAGUAUGAUGUUAUCAGUGAGAUUCUUUCCUUUUUCAAAAUGAAAUGCGUCUGUAAAUCGUGGAAUUCUAUUAUUUCUGAUCCUAAAUUUGUUAAACUUCACCUUAACCUUUUUAGUAUUGACAUUGACACUAUAAGUAGUUGAGGAGGGGUAAUUGGUAAAUGGUGAUAUGGAAAACCUGUUCUUAGUUGAUGUUGUCCUGAUGGACUUAUCAAAUGCUAAUAAAAGUCUUAGAUGAUAUAGUGGUUUAGUUGGUUUGUGUAAUGCCUGUUAGCUAAAUUCAUUAGCGGAUUAUUAGCUAUUUAUGCCUCUUCUUUUGUUAACGAGUGAGUGUUCGAGACAUUCUCCAAGAAUUUCAAAAAAAUACUUCAAAUUUCAAUGCAUAUGAUAUACAAAUUUUCAUAAAAAAUUACCAUUUAAGUUCUUAAAGAGUGCUCUAAAACACUCAUUAUCAAUUCCCUUGUGUGAAUAAUGAAUUAGCUUUCAUAUUUGAGUUGCUCUGAUAUAAGGAAAAGACAGACAUAUGUUGUCCCAUGAAACAUGAGAAGCUGUGUCACUAGAUAUUGAUACAUUUUACUCAAAACUUGGUAAUAAUAAUAAUAGAAGAAUGAGAAAUGGGAAAACUAAAACAAACAAAAUUAACACAAUGUAAGAACGAACGUGCUGUAACUAAAACUGGAAUUAACCGUUUCUUGUACUUUUUUAUUUGAGGGGCUGUCUUGUACUUGAUGCAAUUUAGUCCUUAAGUUAAGUCCUUUUCCUAAUUAUAGCUUUUCACGUUGCAACCGGCAAGUGCAAGUGGCUGCUAUUUAUGUCACAAUUUGGCAUUGCAGGCCAACUUGUCUGCUACUGAGUGUUAUAUGCUGUGAAUGAAAAAGCCUUACGCAACUUCGCAUCUCAACUUCACAUGGUCCCAUUAAUCAAUAAUAAUAAUAAUAAUAAUAUAUCAUGUUACAAGAUCAACCACCAACACAUUUUGUGUUCUCCUCCACACUCUCUCCUUCACAUGCAUUUCAGACAUUGCUGACUCAUCAUCUCAUCUUCAACUCACUUUAUUUUAUACCCUUUCACAUCACCAAAAAUACUCUAAUCCUCUUUUUCAAACAAUUCAAUCAACCACAUAAAAUUAAAAUUAAAGUAAAAUACAAACAAAGACCAAGCCCCCCUCAAAUCUUACCACAAAAUACGCUUUGAUGCUUCCUAAGAUCCACCUAAACCAAUAGAAUUUAUUUUUAUUUAUUUUUUAUUUCCUUAUGUCUUUCUCUUUAGAACACAAUCAUGGAACACUAAUAAACAAUCAAACAUCAUAGAUUUUUUUUGAGUGGUGGAAUACAUUUUAUACAGAAACUUGUCUUUGAGAUUAUCAAAUCAAAUAGGCAACACCACCUUCAAAAAGGGCAUCCACAAAAACAGAUGAUGGUAAUAAUACUAAUAUAAUGUACAAAAUUCCAAACAUUUAUCCUCAAUUUCCUCCAGAUUACAAUUACAUGGGAAGAAUAUGAGUGACAAACACAUAACAACUUUAAACUCUCCACAAAACCUAAUAACAAGACAGAAGAAAGUGGCUAUUUUUUGCCUUGUUCUUUACCCUGCCUUGUCCUAUUUUAUUGAUGACUGACGCCAAACUCAUUCAUGAGCAACAACUUGAACAUCGCAGCUAUUUACAUCAUACAGUAACUCUAACAACAGUGAAUUAUUAAGAUUAGAUCCUCUUUCCAAAGGAAACAAAAAAACUCCUCUGCUGAUUCUUGGUAUUGAGUUCUCUCUAUUAUCUAUUAUCUGUUCUUCAAAAUUGCAUUAGGCAACAGCAGAGAUACUACAGUUGCUCCUCCUAUCUCUUCUAAGACAGUCAAAACCUUCAAUCCUAACAGCAGCUGGGGUGUUGCCGAAUUUCAUCGGAACUCCACAUCCUCGAGCCGAUGGCGAAGGCGACGCCACCAUGGUAAAUGGACUACUAAAAUUCCCAUUACCAAAUUGCUCAUCUUGGAUUACAGGGUUAGAGGCCCUGCUUGGUGGAGAUCCAAUGAAAUAUGGAGGCGACGAUGCCAACAAAUUAGCCGCUGCCGAUCUCUCUGGAUAGCAACUUGCCUGUAAACAAAUCAAAUAAAAUACGAACUAUUAGGAUAGACUCUUUAAAAAAGAUAAAAUUCAUAGACUUUGAUAAUAUAAAUUAUCACCAAAAUUUGAGUAUCAAAAGAUAUCAACAUGAACUAUUAGGCAAAAUUUGAGUUAUCACAAGAAAUCAACAUAAUUUAUGUAUACUAAUUUGUUUCAUAGGAAAAUAUUAGCAGUAAGAUAAAUAUGAAGAUUGCAUAAAAAGUAAAACACACACACAUGUAUAUAAAGGAUGUGAAAAUUGAUAUAGGAAUUAACCUUGGGAUGGAUGAUUUCAAGAAGUUCUGCCCCAACUCCUGAAUCUUCAAUUUCAGAUUGGUAGCUGAUUUUCAAGAAACAAAAUAGUAAGAAAGACAUGAUUUUUAUUUAAAAAAAUAAAAAUAAAAAAAAAAUAAGAAAAGUACCUAAUGGGGCACCUCAAGGGUCUGAUAUGGUUGUUGAUGGAAGAUUGAUGAUGGUUUGAUAGACCCAACCUACGUGGCUUAGGACAAACCACUGGUUCCAUCCUCACCUCCUCAUAGCUACUUGUCAUUGUGUUCAUCUGUGGAUAUCCAUAGUAGCAAUUCAUCUUCACUUCAGAUCUUAACAAACACACAAUUCUUUGGUUUGGUAAUUGAAAUCAGACCAAUAAAAUCAUAAUUAAUUUUUUUGAUUUUGACCCACCUUGUUAAACCCUUUUCAACAGUUGAAAAAAUAUGAAUUAACGCUUCAAAAUUUAAAACUUUUUUCAACUACACAUACACAAGUAGUUAAAUUAAAAAUUUAUGAGACUCAUGCUAUGUUAUAAAGUGUGUGCAAAGUACAAACACAUAGAUAAUAAAAAAAAAAAAAAACAGAGAGAUAGAGUUUACCUAAGAAAGAAGAAAGGAGAGGUUGAAAGAGAAAGAGGAUAGUUGGGUGCUUGGUGGGUAUUCAUAGUCAUAGAUAGAGGAAGAAGAAUAUGCUACAGUGAGUACAUAGUAAGUGAUGUAAGACCGCACUUGUUGUGUUGAGAUCUGAUGAGAUUCUUAUGAGUCAACGUCUGAUCAACACGUUGAAGUGAAUUGUGAUUGGUCCUUUCCUUUGUCUGUUUAUAUGAUUUCUCCCUUUUACCCUUUUCAGAGUCAGAGUGACACUCUGUCAAAAACCAUCGUGUUCGUGUCGUUGCAUGCUUCAUAACGUGAAGCUAUUUAUUGUGCCUCAAACUGCGACACUAUUCAAUUUUUGAAAUGUUAACAUUAAUCUCUCUUUUCCUCCGUUGUUUAAUUUUUAAAAUGUUAACUAAUGUUCAUGUUCAUGGGACACUUAUUAAUGAAUUAUAAAAGAAAAAAAAAAGUUUUUUAAUAUAAAAUUGGACUUUUCUUUUUACUUUUAGUUUGUUAACUAGUAUUUUGGGUGCAUCAAAUAACAGACCCUUUAAUUUUAAGCAUUAUUAUUUUUCUUUUUACAUAAAUUAAAAUAACUUACUAAUAUAUAUUAAAAAGAGGUUUAUAUUUGGAGACAAAUUUUUAGUCAAAAGUGUGUUUAAAUAUAUCGACGGAGGGAGGGAGUAGGAACAUAAACUAUCUAAUAAUAAUAGACAAUGGUUAACUAACUAAACCAUAUAGACUUAACUAAAUUAGGGGUUAAAAACAGUAAUAGACUCAGUUGUACUCUCUGCAACAAAAACAAAAAUUGAGACAAAAAAAACAUAAACAUAAAUAUGAAAAAGAUUAAUGAAUCUUCAAGUUCAAACGAGAUCACUAAAAUUGGCUGAAAUUAUUUGGAAAACUAAAAGUUGCUGAAUUUUUUUUGAGAAACUUAAAACGAAAUUUGAGAUUUUUAAUGGAAGCAAAAAAUUAUUUCACCCUAAUUAGAAUAUAUGCGGUAAUGACCAUCAUCGAGUGAAGGUGGAAUUGUCGAUAUAAGGUAGGGGUUUGAUUUUGGAUAAGACAUGGUAAAGAAAUAUGUGUGCGCGCGCGAAAAGUUGUUGCUUUUUGUCUAUAAUCAAGUAAUAGAAUAAUUAAUCACAUCUUAUUAAAAUAUUUUACUUUAUAUGAUCAAGACAAUAGGAUAGAUAAAAUCCUUAAGGGUUAAUGGUGCUUUACUCCUGUAAUAUAGGUCAUUUUUUAUUUUUCUCUGUAAAAUAUUUUUUUUGAUUCUGCAAAAAAAAAAAAAUCGUUUUUUUAUGACCUAUAUUACAGGGGUAAAGCACCAUUAACCCAAACCUUAACUGGUAACGUAGAAAAUGCAUGCUUUUAAGAACUAUAUGCAUGUUUGGGUAAUGCCUAUUCCAUACUCAUACUGUAAGAAUUGCCUAUUCCAUACUCAUACUGUAAGAAUUAAAGGAUGAAUUAUCCCAAAUAGGCAGUGAACAAUUAAGGGUAAUUAAUGCCUAUUACAUACUAGAAAAUGUAUUCUUUUAAGAAUCAUAGGCAGUGAAGAACAACAGAAGAAGAAGAAGCAUUGGUUUAACAGAGGAAGAAGAAGAAUAGGACUAAGAAUCAAAGGAGAAGAAGAAGAAGCUCCAGCCUCCAGGUAUGUUUUGUCAGACAAUUCCAAAAUGUGAUUUAUAUAACUUCAUUCUUCUACUGCUUUUGCAAAUUAUGUUCUUCAAUUUAGAGGUAGACUUUGUUUUAUAGGAGUCAUGUAAUUUUUUGUGAGGAGGGUUGAAAGGGUCAAAUUUAUGUCAUUGUAAAAGUUAAAUAGUUUUGAUGCUCCUUGUGUUAUUAUGGUCUGAGAAAAAAAAAACAAAUUUGGAACUGAUUCUAUCGUUAAAAUGUGAAUUGAUAGUCCUGAUUAAAAUUCUAGAAAUUAUGUCAUGUGUAACUCUUGCUAAUUAAAUCAAGAGUAUUUAGAUGAAAACAUAGUAUGAGAUGAUCCUUUAAAUCUAAUAUUUUAUGUUUCAUGGUGAUGAUGUCUUGAUAAUUUUUUAUGAUUUUUCUGUAUUUGAUUGCUAAUGAAUUUACAUAACUAGGAGAAGUGUGUUUGAGGGUGCAAUACCUAUUCAUCGACUGAAUUAUUAAUUAUUUUUUUACAAAAACAAAAUGAUAUUCAUUCAUUUAAAUUGAGAGAUUACAUUAUUCAACAAUGCUAAAAACGUAAAGGAUGAAUCUGCAAACAAAAUCACAGCAUCCAAGUUAAUAGCAUAUAACGGCAUAAUGCCUACAAAAAUAUAUGAUGAAAUUAAAGUGACCGGAAUAUCCAUUGCCUCCGGAUCUGCAACGUUGACGCCCAAAUCUUUGAUUGAACAAUCGAUCUUUCAAAAUGAAUCAAAUGAACACCGUACGAAGACGGGAAAUCAAAUAACGUCGCACAAGACGACGAACAACAAAUCACCAUACUUAGAUGAUGAAAUUACAAAGAAAAAAAAUCUAGAUCUAUGUCAAAAUCACUUAUUUAGAUUGAAUUAAAGAGAAAAAGAUGAAGAGGGGUGAUUUCAGGUCAAAAAAUGAUCCAAAACCACCCCUCAAUGAAGAAAUUGUAAGAGAAAACCUAGAGAGAGAAAACUAGGGCCGACUUAUUGGAUUUUGGUCAAUAUAAUUGCCAAAAUUAAGAAAAUGUCAAAAUGAUUCAUGAAAUAAAAAAAAAUCAAUUACAUUAAUCAGUUCUUUUAGUUUGGUCAAUUUAAUGCAUUUUUUUUUCUUCAGAGUGUACGUAAUGUGGCUGAUACUUUCAAUUUUAGGGAUAAAAAAAUGAUGUACAAGUCGUCUGUUGAUGAUGACGACGAUGGUGCUCCAUCAGGUUGGUAGCUAUUGUAAGUUUGUUAGUUUUACUUUAGGUUGCAUUCCAAAUAUAUAAUAUAAUUGUAUUAGAAGGUAUAGAGUUCGUCGAGCUCAAUAUAUAGCUCGUCGAACUCUAUAUAUGGAUCGUCUUACGAGGGUGAGAGAGUCAACAUAUGAUUCAUCUCACCCCACUCGAUUUGGAGAAACUAGUUGUGUGGUGUGUUUGCAUGAUUUUACAAACACACAAACACUUCUUAGUUUACCAUGUGAACAUAUAUUCAGUAAAGAAUGUAUCUCCACAUACAUAUUUAGAUAUAAAUUGUUUGUUGGAAAAAUAUUUUGAAUUAGUUUUUUUAAAUUUUUAAAUUAGAUAGUUUGUUGGACAAAUGUGACACUAGCUGUGUCAUGUUUGUAUGGAAGAUAUACAUGCCCUGUUUAUGCCAUUAUGUAAUACAAAAAUCAGAAAUGAUAUUUGGACACAUAAUUUUAGCCACAAUACCGACACUGUAUACCAUAUUUUCCUUCUUUUUUUCUUCUUCUCUUUUUCCCCUUCUUCCUCUCCAUCUUCUGCAACUCUCUCUCUCCAUCUUCAAUUCUCCGCUCUCCUUCUUCUUCUCUUACUCAACUCUGCAACUCACCAGAAAGAAUGAAUUUUUACUGAGAACCAUGAUUUCGCUCACGAUGUGCCGUCACUACGAGAUCAGAGUCGGGUUGUGCGACGGAGGAGGUCGCCGACGUGAACGAAUCAGUGACGGCGUGAAGGAGAAAAAGAGGUCGUCGGUGGCGACGACGGUGGUGUGGAUCUUAGUGGUGAAGAAGAAGAACGUCGUUGUGAGGCAGAAGAAGAGGCCUCCUCGACACCGUGAGUUCCAGAUCUUAACAGAUCUGAAGGGGGAAAGACGAUGGUGGAGAAUGGAGGGUGCAGUGGGGAGGACGGUGGUUGGUGGUGAGGACAUGGAGGAUGGCAGGAGAGUUAGAGAGAAGACGCAGAGAAGAGAGGAAGAAGGAAGAGGAAAGACUGUGGUAUUUUUACAGAAUUGCCCUUAUUUUUAAGUUUGAAAUGUCCAAUUUACCCAUGAUGUCUGUAUUGUGUCCAAAAUUAUGUGUUCAGUUAUCAUUGCUGUACAAAAAUAUUAUGCAAGGCAUCUAUAAAAAUGGUAUUAAGUAAAAAUUAGAUAGUCAUAUCUAAUCUUCAGUUUGUCACUCCCAUUAAGAAGCAUUUUCUUAACUAACAUGGUAUUAAGGUAUUAUGAUGCAAAUUAUUGAAGAAUAUUAGUUUUUCUUAAAAACAAAAGGGUUAAGGAUGGUAUGGUGUGAAUAGUAGUAAUUUAUUUUAUAUAGUACAGCGCGUUAAAUGACGAUUAAGUAAUUUAGGUUCCCUAAAAAAAAUGUAAUUUAGGUGAUUACUGCAACUAACAAAAAAAAAGUAAUUUAAGUAAUAUAAAGACUAGAACACAUAGCGCAGGCACGCUCACGCGUGUGCACUUUCUAUUUAUACCAAUGCUUAAUCAUCAAAACAAUCAAGAUUCAAGAAACCUUCGAAAUACAUUUUAGCCUACAUUUUAUGUGAAUAGUUUUUACAAUCUAGCCUAUCAAUUUUUUUAUUAGAAAGGCUCGUUAUAACUAUGAAAUCGCUAAGAACGUGGCUCUGUAGGCUUUGUAUAUAUGUGGUUUUCUUCAGUAUUAAGAAAAAUAAUUGACAGUCAGAGCAUUUUAAGCAGUAAUAAUUUUGGUCAAGAAAAGAUUUCUGUUGAUGUACUCUUUAUUUUAUGAGGCACUACUUGUCCUUUUUCAUAAUCUAACCAUUUAAACCGGGUGCCUCUUUGAAUUGUGCUUUUUGUGGUGGUGAUGUGACGACGAAAUUAGUAUUAAGAAAUUAUGUGAUUUUGUUUUUUAGGACAAGCUUUCCAUUUGAGUUUUACAUUAGUAUCAUCAAAUUUUUUUGCAUUGGAUCUAUAAUAUGGUGGAGAAUUCUUGACAUCCACUCUUCAAAACUUGUUUAUUUGACUGCUUAAGGUAGGCUUGUAAGAAUUUAAAAAAAUUAGCUUGUUUUUUUUAUAUAAGACGGAUAAUGAUUUUAUUAACUUGAUCUCAUAGUGAGUUUAUGUGUUUUAUAUUGUAACUUUUUAACUUGUAAACAAAUACAUCCGUUUGAUGCGUGUGCUUCUAAUGUGUUGGGGUAAUUUUUUGUGCAUGAAAGCAAGUAUUUGUUAACGCAAGUUGUUAGAGCAAUUCAUAUGUAAAGAACUAAAGAUAAAAAACACCACCAGUUCAAUAAUAAGGAAAACCUUCAUGGCCAAUUUUUUUAGAGUAAAAGAAUUUUAUUAAAAAAAUAAUAAAAGAAUGUCCGACUUGUUCAAAAAAAAAUAAAAGCAUGUCCGACACAACAUCAAUGUAGACACACUAUUCUCAACUUUUAUGAACGAUUUACACUAGAACAAGGAGCAUGUUUCCCGUGAAUUUUCUUGGUUAAAAGUUGAUGCUUCAACCUUGAGGUUCUCCGUUCGAAUUUUUUGCCAAUCACAAAAAACAUGGAUUAAUGUGUUUAGACAACCGAAACAAUUACAAGGACACAAGUUCUCAAGACCCUAUACUAGAAGAGGCUCUCUACAAAAUAAACUGAGCCAAAAGACUACUACUAAAACACCCUAAAAGCACACAUGAACACCACAAAAUGGUGGAGUAGGUUAUCCUAUCUACCAUCCUGCCAUCACCCUACCUCUAAAUAAUCCACACCUUUUACCAAAAAUACACACCUACACUAGACACACACAAGAGCACAACACCACCACCAUAUAAUAAGUAACUAGAAGAGAUACAUCUGCAACAAACCAGUAGCCACUAAUUAGGAUAUGUGUUCCUUAGGUCCUUCUUUUGAUCCUUAUUGCACUUUUUCAAAGGUAGGAGAAUAAGCAAUUAAAAAGUUCCAACCCAUUAGUACCAAAACACCAAAAUAGCUCAUCAUGCAGAACCACUUGAGACCGAGGCCACAUCCACAACAACACAAUAUCAGUGAGCAUACUACUUGAGAUUCUUCAGGCUAGUGCACAAUGUGUUGCAACUAACACCAUCUGUCCAUCUGCCAUUUCCAAUACAAAUAGUUCAUCAUCCUGCAACAAGGAAAUCUCACAUACAUAGAAAUUAAGGUAAAAACUAGAAUACUCCUCACCAUCCACCCCCUUUAAUUCAAAUAUUCAGUACAUCAAAUCAAAAUUAUGAACAACUCAUACUCUCAUGAAGACUUCGUAAAGUGCACAUAUGCAGUUUCUUUACACUCUAGUCAUGGCAAUACCUGAUUUUUCAUUCUUCACUAUAUUAACACCUAAACAACAGAGGGAGCAGCAUCACGAAGGCAUUACCAGCACAUAGCUGCAUAAACUAAGGCCAUAAAGCUUGUGUCAAUCACACACCAACACCUUAUAAUGAAAGCAACACUAUUGAAGCAUCUAUGCAGUCUAAUUUGGAGCAAAUUAACAACACUAGAGCAUGGUAAAUAAUAGAUUAGAAGCUAAAAAAAUCAAUGCUAAAUAAACUUAAGCAUAAUCAAUUUCAUACACCACCAGAUGCUAAUCUACCUGCAGAAUAUUAACACAGAAUCAUAUUAAUUCAAGACCAAAUACUUAGAUACACCUGAACCUCCACUCCCAUAAUUUCAUCAAACACCGAGGAAUGACCCAUUGCAGCACAAUCACAAAAUAGGAAACAAAAUAUAAUGCAUUGAAAUCGUUAUUGAAUGAGAGGUGAAAUAUUUUAUUAGAGUUUGAUUUAACAAUUUCAUAUAAAAAGGUGUAUUUAGAUUUCACACAAUUGGAUUUUCAAACAUUGGUCUCAAUUAUCAAAGGCAGAUCCUCUAAUCAAAAUCAAAUGACUCGCAUUUAACCGCGUGUAUUAUAUGUUAAAAUACAAUGUUCGAAUGUGAGUCAUCUAAUUUGAACAAAGAGUAUGUGAUCAAUAAAAGCGGCAAAUCCAUGAAAAUUUCAAGGUCCACAUGGUGGUGCACUUCGCCAACUUCCUUUCAAUGAUAUUUAGUUUGCAAAAUCUUAAGAACGCAAAAACUAUAAAAUGGAAGGAAAAAAAUUAAAAUAUAGACUGCAUAAUAAGUAGCAAAAAUUAUGUGUUUUAAUGAGAAUUAUUCGUGUUUUAAAUUAAAAAAAAAAUACUAAAAUUUAAAAUUCGCUGCAACAUUGCCCGUGUUCUAUUUAGGUGCACCAGUAUCAACUCCCUAAACAGUUGCAAAAUCACAAAUAUUUGAUAUUUCCCUCUAAGAUUACCUUCAUUCACCAAAUAAUGAUAAAAGCCCAGAUCAUGCAUAUAUUUUCAGAUUAAAACAAAAACUAUCCGAUAUUGAAAACAAUGAGUGGUUACCAAGCAAGUAGUUUUGUCAAUUGCAGAUCACUGAAAAUAACGGUUUGUUUGAAUUCCGUUAAGCAACAGUGCUAUAGCCUAUAGCGACGCUAUUUCACAAUAUUUUGUACUAACAGCGUAUCUUGGGAAAAUAACAAUUUUUUUCAAAUUCCGUUCUAAAAUGGAGCUAUAGCGCUGCUAUUUAAAAACAUUGCAAGCAAGCUGAGACAGAUAAAAGCAAUCAUCAGAAUUAGUAUUAACAACAAAUAACAAAAAUAAAAAGAACAAAUCUUCAUUUGCCUCUAAAUUAUCUUAAUCCCAUUUUGCUUUAGUAUGGGGACAUAAUAACCUGGCAUUUACACUGACCGUCAAACUUUGAAUCGCAUAGAUAUUCUUGACAGCAGAGAUAGUAUCAAUUGUUAAAUGCAGACAGAACAUGAUAAAAAGUACUAGUAACUAAUCAUCCGUGAUCAAAUAAUUAAGAAAAAAAUAAGUUAUGAACCAAAUCCAAAAUAAUACAAGUAACAAACCAAAGGCUUAUCAGAAAAGGAAAACAAAAGUAACAAUCCAAAGAAAGCUAAUAAGCCAAACCAACUGGGAAAGUAGGAUCCUUUCUUUGAAAACCAUUCAAAGCAGUUGAAAAUUGCCCUCCAGAAUCUUUUGAGACCGAACAAGUAAGAAUAUUGACAGAGGUCAUUGAAUAUCUAACAGACCCAUCAGCAAAAGUAUCUCCAGAUUCACACUCAGCACCAAACACAGCAACAAUUUGUCCAGAGUUAUUAACAACAAACAAAUAAGAAAAGAUAAAUAUGUUAUUUUGCCUCUGUAAGUUGUUUUCCGUUUUUUUAUUAGUGUGGGGAUCAAGUCUUAACAUGACAUUUGCACUAAAUGUUAAACUUAUGAAUCACAUAGACAAUCUUGACGGCAGAGAUAGGAUCAGGUGUUAAAUGCAGAACACAAUAAAAAAUUUAGUAACUACUAAAUAAUCAGAGAUCAAUAAUUAAGCAACAAAUUCCCCAGAAAAAGUAAAUUAUAUAUCCAAUCCAAUGGUUAUGCAUAAUAUUAAUAUUAAUAUAUAAAUAAGCAACAAACCAUAGCAAAGCUAACAAGCCAAAGCAACUGGGUAAGUAGGAUCACUUCCCUAGAAUGAAUCCAUCCACACCAUUUGAAAAUUUCUCUCCAGAAUCUUAUGAGAUAGAAUAAUCAGGAACAUCGGCAGAAGUCAUUGUAUAUCUAACAGACCCAUCAGUGAAAGUAUCUCCAGAUUUAAGAAUAGCAUCUAACACAAUAAUAAUCUCUCCAGCAUGAGCUUCAUCAACUUCCUCAAUCUUAUCAUCAUGUCUCUUAAACAAACGAGGAAUCUGAAUCUUCUUACCAGUGUUAACAUUUGUAAUAAAAUCACCCUUCUUAAUAACACCCUGAUAGAUUCUUAGAUAAGUUACUAAUCCAUCAUUCCUAAUCACAUUUGUGAAAACCUUUGCAACAAAUGGCGCAUCAAUGCUUCCAGACAAUUCAACUUUCUCACCAUUCCUAUUUUGAUCAAGAGCAUAAUUACUAACAUCGAUUGGACCCGGCAAAUACCUAAUUACACCCUCCAUAAGUAGUUCUAACCCAUCAUGUCUCUCAUCACAGAUAACACCCAUGAAAAUUGGUACAAAUUUCAUUGAUAUAGUUGCCCUACGAAUUGCAUCAUCGAGAACAGAUUCUGAAAUUUGGCUGCCACCGUGAAAAGCUUCAGAAAGUUUAUCAUCAACCUCUGAGACGAUUUCAAUGAGUUCGCUUCUUUUCUUCAACACAAAGGCUUGCAUAUCUUCAGGUACUUCACUUACUUCUACAUGCUUAUAAUAAGGUGUUUCAGAGCGAAAAAAGUAGGCCUUUAACUUGUUGACAAGAUCAAAAAGUCUAACAAACAUUUUAAGGCGAAAAUAGUAGGCCUUCAUCUUGACAAGAACAACAAAUCCAAAACACCAAUUGUCAAAGUAUAUUGGAACUUGAAUUGCAGCACAACGAUGAUUAAGCUUAGAUAUUACUUGAUCAAGAUUAGAUUUUACUUGAUCUACUAUUUCCCGUUCCCAAUUAAUGUCUUCGAUAAAUAUAAGCCUUGGAAAUUGAAAUCUUGUCAUUUGUUGAUCAUUUUCAACACCAUCAAAAAAGAGAAAGAACAAGAAUUGAACUGUCGAAAAUAUGUGAAGCUAUUUCAGCAUCAACAAUGGAAUCAACUUCGAUUAGGGUUAUGUUUUUAUUGUCUAUUUCGCAUACAACACGUGGGUCGACGUAGCGCAGUUGGCCUCGACUUUGUUUGGAUCGUAGUAUUUCCCAGUCCGCCCACAUCGUAAGGUCAGGGUCACCGUAUCUAGAAAGACAGACGUUGCGCAGAUGCUCCACUGAAUUGUUGGAGAAGUGACGGAGGUGGAGAGGGAAGGCUGAGAAAGAGAGGAGGCAGAGGAGAGAAGGCGUGGUAUGGAGGACCUUGAAAAGAAACGAUUCAUGGCGGCGGCAAGAAGGGGUUUGAUGGAAGGAAGCUGCAGAGUAGUAAGAAUGGUGAACGGAGCUUAAACCCUAAAAGUAACAUCCAUCAACGCCUUCAUCGCAAUUUCAACAAAAAAGAAGACAAACUACCAUUCAAUGCAACCGACCGAAUCGUUCUCCGAAUUCGCAAUUUAAAGGGGAAAUGAUUGAAUCAUUAGUUUUAUAGUGUCCCAAAAGAGGUAUAAUAACAUUUCAUUAUCAUGCCAAAUUAUAAGUACGAUGUGGUUGGUAUAUAAUUAAAAUUGGGUUAAUAGUGUUUUUCACCCUUGUAAUAUAGGCCAUUUCCGGUUUUCGCCCUUAUAAAAUUUUCGGUUUGAUUUCUGUCCUUGUAAAAUUUUUUUUUUCCCGGAAUACCCCCCUCCUCCCUCCAACUCAGCAAAUCAGCCUAUGUGGCGCUGACAUGGAAUUUAUUUAUUUUUUUUUUUUUUUUUCACCUGCCCCCGGGAAAAAAUUUUUUUUUUUUUUAAAUUGUGAAAUUUUAAUUUUAAAAAAAUCAAUUUUUGUUUCAAUCGUCCUAUUUUUUAAAAAAUUUGAAAAUUAAUUUUUCAAAAAUAAAAAAAAAAUAUUCAGAUUUUUUUCCGAAUAUUAAUUUCAAAAAUGAUUUUAUAAAAAAAAAUUCAAAUAUUAAAAAUAUGAUUUUUUAGAAUUUUUAAAAUUUUAGAAAAUGAUUUUUUUUUUAAAUUUUAAUUUCAAAAAUGAUUUUAUAAAAAUCUAGAAUAAAAUUUUCGAAAAUAAAAUCUGAAUUUUUAAAAAAAUCUGUAUCCAGAUUAUUAAAAAUAAAAUAUUUUCCAUAAAAAAAAAUAUGACUUUUUUUAAAAAAUUUCGAAUUUGUUUCUUCUAAUUUAAUUUUUUUUUAAUUUUGAAAAUUAAACUCCAGAAUCUUUAAAAAAAAUUAAUUUCGAAAAAAAACCGAAUAUUUUUUCUGAUUUUUUUAAUAUUCGAAUUUAAUAUAAAAUCGAAAAAUUCAAAAAAAAUCUUAUCGUUUUUUCUGAUUUUUUUAAUAUUUGAAUUUUUUCUUUUUCGAUUUUUAAAUUUUUUGGAAAAAAAUCUGAAUAUUUUUUUUUAUUUUUGAAAAUUAAUUUUCAAAUAUUUUAAAAAAUAAAAUCUGAUGUAGAUAAUUAAAAAAAAUUGAGUUUUUUAAAAUUAAAAUUUCACAAUUUUUUAAAAAAAAAAACGAAUUAUACACGUGGCAAGUGAAAAAAAAAAUCAAAAAUAAAAAAAAAUUCCAUGUCAGCGCCACAUAGGCUGAUUUGCUGAGUUGGAGGGAGGAGGGGGGUAUUCCGGAAAAAAAAAAAUUUGCAAGGACAGAAAUCAAACCGAAAAUUUUAUAAGGGCGAAAACCGAAAAUGGCCUAUAUUACAAGGGUGAAAAACACUAUUAACCCAUUAAAAUUUGAUUUCCAAUGUUAAAGUGGCAUGGGAAGAAUAACUUGACCACACGGUUGUGCCUCUAGUGAGGUAAAUUAUUGACAAGAGAAUAAGAACGAUGAUUGUGAAAAAGAGGAAUGAUAUAUCAACAUUAUUUGUGUUCAAUGUUAUAAAGAAAAAGAGGAAUGAUAUAUGAAUAUUAUUUGUGUACAACCAACAACUUCUUUGCUAUUUUUUAAUAUUUUUUUUAUUGAUUUUGAUUUGCGUGCUCCUUACAGUAUUAAAGGGUGUUGCAUUAGUUGUUCAAUUUUGGUUGUACAAAUAACAUAGCUCAAAGAAAAAAGGUUCUUUAUCCAAAGAUAAAUAAAAAUCGAACAGGUUUUAAACUAGUUGAACCAAUUACGGUGAAAACCUGGUUGAGAAACAUCUAAUUUAGUCUGAUUUUAAAAACAUUGGUCGUAAGUCUUUAGAUAUUUACUUAUACGUGGUGUAUUGAUAUGUUUACUUCAUGUGCAAGUUUUAUAAGCUUUAGAUAUUUACUUAUACGUAGUGUAUUGAUAUGUUUACUUCAUGUGCAAGUUAGCAUAGAUACUUGUCCAUUUAUAAGCUUUAGAUAUUUACUUAUACGUAGUGUAUUGAUAUGUUUACUUCAUGUGCAAGUUAGCAUAGAUACUUGUCCAUUUAUAAGCUUUUCAGAAAAGAACUACCGUGCUUAUGAAUAAAUGUGCACACAUUCUAAAAUUUGGGGAAGGAGGAGGAAAGAGAAAAAGAGCAACUUGCAUAAUCAGUAAUCCAAAUCACUAGAUAGAGAAUGAAAUUUGGCAUUUGCUCAAAACAUAGGCUCCUCAAACAUUUUGAUGGGAAAAAUUCGGGAGAUAGUUACUGCACUUGAGAUAUACAUAAUCUUAAAAUACUUUUUCUAGGAUAUCAUUCUAGAAUCUUAAAAUAUUUUGAUUAUGGAUAUCCUAGAAAUUCGGAAGAUAGUUACUGCACUUUGGAUAUCCUAAAAAAAAGAUAUUUUAAGAUCAUGAAUAUCCAUAAUCUUAAAAAGCCAGUAAGGAUAACCACCCUAAAAUUUGCUUGCUUUUUUUUCAGAAAGGUUAUCAAAUACCAACUCUCAACCAGCUUCGUUUCAAAAGCACUCUACAAGAGCUUCAUUUGAACUCUUAAUGAAAAACUAUUUUUGUACUAGUCUCUUUCAUCAAUCUUUCUCAUCCUUAUCCUCUUCGGAUGAUAAUCAAAAUUUGAUGUUAGAAACAAUCCGAUACUCUUAAGAUACUGAAGGGUAUUUGACCAAAUGGAUAGAUACAUACGGUUAAUCGAAUUCAUCAUUUGUGGUCUUUUGGCUAAUCUUAUGCAUCAAAAUGGACGGGGAGCUUUGAGCAUAAUAUAUAAAUCUUCAAUGAGAUUGGUGUUUAACCCUUGACCUUUGUAUGAGGAAGUCCCCUCUAAUCUAAAUUUUUGUUCAUAAAAAUUACAACCUGUGAUUUAAUUGCAGUCAACAUCUAGAAAGACUAGUAUAGUUACAAUUUAUUACACAAUUUUUGUAUCACCUUCUACAAAACUUCAUCACAUACAACCACUUUGGGCAUCAAUAAUAGAAGAAUCUACACCAAAUUGAAAGGAUUAGGAGAUUCAGUGUCUUUACAUGCUGCAUCAUUUACGCAACAUCAGCUGCAGUUGCAGCACUUGAUUUCUUUGUUCCGGAGGUAGGAGAUUUAUCUGCUCCGGUGUGAGACUCAUGACCUGCUGAAGCAAUGCCUUCUCCAUAUCUGGUGUCAACUGCAUGCAAGCAAGAAGUGAAUAUCAAUAGGCUGCAGGACAAUUUCAAGGGACUAUUGCUAAUUCACAAUAAUUACCGCAGGAGGCCGAGGAGGCUGAUUAGCAGCACCGAUCUGACCAGAAACCAUAGAUGAUGGUCCCUGAGGACCAGAAUGCUGUGCUAGAUUCUCCGAGGGACCAGGCAUCCAAGAAGACCCUCUUUCAAUUUGCAUUGCAUUUCCAGCUUGACUGCUGAAAUCAGACCCAAAUGGUAUAUUUCCAACCUGACACAAAAAGCAUGACUUAGCACCUAAAUAAUCAAUUACUAUCAAAACAAAGUGUUGCUACUCAUCAUGACAGAUGCUGCUUUUCAAGCCAUUUUACUUAGAUUUACUUGUUUACUUCUUACAGUUAAAAUUAAUGAAAUUGGAGGCCUAACUCAUCCUUAAAAACCGGUUCAUAAGGUGAGGAUUGUCUCCUCUAUAUAAACUCUUAUCAAGAGUCUUAUCUAUCCGAUGUGGGACAUGGGUUUUUCCCAAUACAAUGACUAGUGGAGUUAAAACUAAAUAGUCACAACUUUUCAAUAUCUCCACUAAGUACUUAUUAAAUAUUCUAACAAAAAUCACCAAAAUCAACUUGGACUGAGGUCAAAAUCCAGCAUGCUAGUUAAUUAAACAAAACUGACUAACUCAAUUGUGAAAUAGAAAUGCAGCAAUGACAAAUUUGUCAGGAAUAAUAGUGUAUAUUUUUCUCCUCCUUCCGUUGUUAAUUGGUUUCAACCUUCAGACUCAUCAAUACAAUAUGACAGCGGAAGAGCCCAUAAUCUUCACAUUGACAAAAACCCAUCAAUACCCCAUUUCUGAUCUAUGCAACUCAUCAUUUUCUUCUUAUCCUUGUGAUUUACCUUCUUUUUGUUUGACAGAAAUCACAUAGAAUUUCUGUUACCUGUGAUAGCUUUAUUUCUGAUGGCAGACUCUACCACCUGCAUAUUUCGCUGACAACUACGGCAAUUCACAACCCACUCCUUUGCAUCAUCACAACAAACCUUGGUCUCAAUUCUUUGGUCCAUUUUUUUUUCCACUGUCUACUUCACAGUUUAUGUUGUGAAAAAUAUAUUUCUCUGUUCACAUAUUUUUAAUUUCAGCUGUUUGUAGUCUUUAAUUUGGGGUAAUUCUGUAUUUUUGAAUAUAUUUAAAUAUAAGUUUAGUAUAAAUAAUUUAUCUUCAAUAUAUAUUUUUGACAUGGCAGACAUCCCAUUAUGGAUCCAUGUAGCCGACAUAAGGCUUGGUUGUUGUUUGUUGUUUGUUGCAGACAUCCAAUUAUCUGUCAUUCCACUAUAGCAUUUUUGGAAUGAGCCACCAGGAGCAGCAACUCAAGAUAAAAAAAUAUGGUUUCAACAUUUCACCGUGCAUCUAAAAGGUACUUUCCAUGUAAACCAAAGAUAAUUUUGUUUGUAUAAGCGCUACAAUAUAAGAUGCUCCUAACAAGUGUCGCAACUAUUGGGCAUUAACAGAUAGACAAAAGGAUUCUGCUGCAGAAAAGCUAGGAUUGAACAAGUCAUUGAAUUUAUGAAUCCAAAACUCAUGAUGGUAUAAAGCCAAUAAUAUAUUUUGAUGCCACAGAGCAUGACAAACACCCAUGGUACCAACAUAGUUUUCAAGUCUAAACCAACAGUUGUAGCACAACAUACCUGAUAAGAUGACUGAGAUGAUUGUUGACUUGGUAGUAGUGCCUGCCCUGGUGGGAACGUAGAUCCAACACUAGGAGGUUUUGCACCAGCCUGAAAAUUUCAUCAAUAAAUACUGUUACAGUUCAACAUGUCAUUAGAUCAUAAAUUGUAAACUGAAAUAUUUGGCUUACAUGAAACAUGGGCGGAGGAAGGUUGUGAGAAGCACCACCAGCAUGUUGAAAACCUAAAUUGGCACCAAUCGGUGGGGGAUAUUGGGGAUGGAAGGUUUGCACUGAAGGUGGUCUGGGCUGUGGUGGCAAUGGUGGUUGCAGAGGCAUAUGUGAAAAUCCAGGAGUCUGCAAUGGUUGAUGCGCCUGACUCGAGGCAGUUGGCAUUUGAGUUGGAUGAAGUGGCUGUGAAGAUGAAUGAACAGAGGGUGGAGGUAUAUGUGGAAGUUGUGAUGAUUGUGGAACAGAUGCUGGAGCUACUUGGGGAGUCAGAUGCCCUUUAGGCUGUUGUGGCAUUUGCAACGAAUGUGCAGCUGUGGGUUGAGAUUGAUGACUCGUUGCAGGAACAGCAGCAUAUGAAACUGGCACUGAAGGCUGAUUUUGGUGUUUCCUGGGAGGAAUUUGAGUUUGAGAUACACCUGCUUGAUCUUGUAUGCCACCUUGUGCAGGCAAUAUUGGAGCAGGCUGAACACUUGGUCUUUGUGUCGGCUGUACUGAUUGCUGAUUGUUUUGAGGAGCUAUUGGUUGAACUUUUGGUACCUAGAAGUAACCGUUUAUUAGCAUGCAAAUCUCUACCAAAGGUUGUGAAAAUGACAGCAAAAUAAAGAGAGGAAAAUACCGCUUGUUGCGACUGCACCAUUCCAAGCAUGAUUUGCGCCUGAUUAGACAAAACAAAAUGGACAAAAAUCUCAAAGUUAAACAAAUAACUCAUGAAACUGAAAUAUUUAAAUGAGAAUAAAUUUAAAAUAAAAACAAUUAAAAUACACACACUACUCUGUUCAUCAAAACAGUCUAAAAAAGUGAACAACUUUAUUCGCAUACAGUUGCAUAUAUCAAUAAGACAGACUAUAAUAUAAAAAACAAGACAGCAUACAGAUUUGAAAUCUGAUUUAUCCCUUAUACAACUCAAAUGACUCCUACUCUUCCAAAGUGUGCAAUUCAAUUGAGGGGGUCAAAUAAGGAAUCUUAAUCAUUGAUAAAAAAUCAACUGUUGAUAUGCAUAAAUAAGACAAACUAUAGUAUAAAAACAAGACAGCAUACAGACUUGAAAUCAGAUUUAUCCCUAUAUAACUCAAAUGACUCCUACUAUUCCAAAGUGUGCAAUUCACUUUAGGGGGUCAAGUAAGGAAUCUUAAUCAUUGAUAAAAAAUCAACUUUUGAUAUGCAUACACAUGUAUAAAGAAUUGCAGAUGAGUUAAAAUUUCAUCAAUAGUUGAUAUGUCUUACUUUACCGUCUAAAGUAAAAUUCAGAGGGGCUAAAUCCGACUGAAAGAGCGUCCGUGAAAUAGAUCGAAACAUUAGGAAAUGGGGCAGCCUAAAUAAAUCUUCAUGUGUACAACAAAUAUUUUUGUUUUUGCAGAGGCAAAGAGAAUAGCUCAUUAUAGCUCAUUGAAGAUAAAUCCACAGCACAAGAUGUGCACAAAUGGAGACAAAGUACAACAACCAAGCCUUAUCCCACUAAGUGAGGUCGGCACAAAUGGAGACAAAGUAUAUAAGAGAUUUUAACAUUACAAUACGACCCACCGAAAACAUAACACAAUCAACCGAAUCCACCCAAUCAAACUUCCAUCAAUAUAUUACCUCGUUACUGCAUAAUAUUGCAGGAAAAUUCAUAGUCACAGCCCCUCAACCUAAAUGUUAUACAUAGACUACCACAGCCCCUUUCUAGCAACACCUUUUUGCAACCAUACCUUGCAGUCCAUGGUAGAAAAUAGCGGCCAAUAGCGGCGCUAUAGCGGCCGCGCGGUGCGGUGCCGGAGCGCUACGCAACAAGCCAUAGCGUUGCGGUGUGAGAUAGCGGCACAACACUUUGUAGCGGUUUUGCGGUUUAGAACCGCUAUUUCAUUUUAAGAGAAAAUACAAAAUUGUCCUUGGUUUUAAAAAAAAAGAGAGGGUAUUUUUGACAUUUUCAUCAAACCCUAAAAAGUUCAGCUUCUCUCUUCCUUCUUUCAUUCUUACGCAAAACGGCGUUUAUCUGCAAAAUGCAAAACGCAUCUUCUCUCUGCUGUUCUGUGAAACUUCUUCACCUCUGCUGUAAAUCUUCCUCUACUUUGUCGUGUUCGCUCAGUUAUCCUGUUAUUUUUUUGUUUAACAAUCUCAAACUCCUGUUACUUUUUUGUUCUAGUUUUCUUUGUUAUUAUUGAUUCCAAACUCCAUUCUGCUUUCUCUGUUUCUGUUUGUAGUUUGUACAAACAAUCCUGAUAGUAUUUCUAGGUCGGCUACAUGGAUCAAAUUACGCCAUAAUGUUCUAUCAUAAACCAUAUUUAGAUCCAACUCAUUAAUCUCUAAAUCUCUCAUAACCGUUUCUCUUAUAGUAUUUCUAGGUCUUCCUGUACCUCUUGUAAUUUGACUAUCCUCCAUCUGAUCUAUUCUUCUUACUACAACAUCUAUAGGUCUUCUCUCUACAUGUCCAAACCACCUAAGCUUAUUAUUUUCCUCCAUCUUUUCUACUAUAGAUGCUACGCCAAUACCUCUCUAAUGUUGUCAUUUUUUAUCCUAUUUCAUCUAGUCUUACCGCAACAUCCUCAUCUCCACUACGGUUAAUUUCUAGAUACAAAGUUGGGAAAAUGAGCAAAGUAUCACAGACAUAUAGAUACAAAACAGCAAAACAACAACAAAGCUAAUCCAAACUAUAACAAUAAUACAACUAAACUACAUCAUCAAUGAAUAACAAAAACACAGCCUAAGCUUAAUUGCUACUAACAAACAAACACAGGAAAAUAAUUAAGUCCUGCAAUCCACGCAAAAGUUGCAUAAUUGUUAUGAUUUAUGAGCACCUUUACACGUAAGGUGGAAAUAAUAAUGAUUCUACAAUAGCAAUCCUUGUGUUAUGAAUUCUUUCACAAAAUUAAAUUUAGGGUUUUAUGAUCUCAACAUCUAUGAAAUAAAAUUGGGAAUGCAGUGCAAUGAAUUAAGUUAGAAGUAGGAAACCCUGGAAAGAAACCUGGAAAAGUGCUUUGGUUAACAUAGGGUUUUGGAUGAGGAUCUGUUUGGCUUGUUGCUGGUUCUGUUCGAUCAAAUUCUGAAUAGAGAAAAACGAAAGGGUUAGCAAUAGCAAUAAGGGGGGUGAGAAAGAGAGAAAGAGGAUAAUUGAUUAAAUGUUACCUUCAUCUGAGACAUUAUAUCGUAAAGUUGAUUCUUCGACAUUCCAGCCAGGUUCGCUGAUAAACCCUCGCCGCUAACUUGUUUUCCGGCCAUUGCAACGUUGUCGUUGUCGCCGCCGCCUCUGCCGUCGUAAACCUGAUUUGCCGAUUCACGGUCCCUCCCGCUUCGUGCGUGCGAUUCUUAUGUUAUUUUAAUCUGUAGUUUUUUUAACUAAUUUUUAAUCUGUAAAGCUCUACAGCCACUGGAUUAAUCCAAGGGCUUAAAAUAGUUAAGUAGAAAUUGCAGUAGGUAUUACAUAUGCUCACUUCAAAAUUUUCAAGACUAUAUAUUUUCAAAUUCUACAAUCAGUAUGUGUAAAAUAAAAAAAAUAAAAAAAAAUUGUUUAUACCUCUGGAUUUUAUAAUUCAGAUGUGUAGAAUGAUAUCUUUAAAAUAAUCUAGAUUUUAAUAUUACACGUUAUUCAUAAAUAUGGGCUUUCAUAAUAUUGUUAUAACUUGGUCUUAAUAGGUAUGCUUGAGAGUUUGGAGGGGAAGAGAUGACUUUAGAGGGAGGGGUUCAGAGAAAAUUAUUAAAAAAUCUUACAUCUUUUUUAUGGUGUAUUUUUGUAUAGAAAGAUAAUUAAUAUAAUUUUUUUAUAGAAUAUAUUUUUAAUGUUAAGAAUAUUAUAACGAUAUAAAUUUCAUCCAAUAUCUUGCAAAGUUUUUCUAAAAUACAUUUUUUACUUGGUUUGAUUUAGGAGAAUUCCUACAAAUCUCUCAUCUUCAAAACACUCUCUUUCUUCCAUGACUUCAUUACUUUUUAUGAAAAUCCUCCCCUCCAAAUCCAUCAAAUUAGAAGAUAAACAUAUAAGCGGUGCAGACCAACUUGCAAAUAAUAAUAAAUUAUAAAAAUAUGACUUAAUUAUUGCUUCUGGACAACACUUGUCUGUAAUCUGCAAUCUUAGUAACCACGUUAAAGACAAGGAUCAAUAAAAGACCCAAAACUAUCUCUUUUUUCAGGUGGACUCUUUAUUCCAUCAGCAGGAAAGGAAUACAUUCAAGCUUCUAAAUAGAGGGAUUUUGAGUCAUAAGAUUCAUGUUUCAAAAACAAAACCUUGUCAUGUUUCAACUUGUUCUACAAGAAUGUCAUGCAAUUCCUUUAUAGAAAGUGAAGUUUGUGUUUGUCUACCUAUGCGUGUGGCUUGGUUUUGGUCUAUUUCUUUUUUGCUUUUAGCUCAAAUAGGAAAAAAUCACACUGUUAACAAUGUUAGACAACAAAAUUAUAGCGUCCCAUUGUUAACCUUAAUAAUAAUACAUACAAUAUAGAUAUAGAUAAGCACAUAGAUGCUAUAGUAAGAAAGAAGCCAAGAUUCAUUAAAAAAAAUAAAACCAAGAUUGUCUAAUCUUGGUGCUUAAUUAAAGUACUUAACAAUGGUGCAAACCAUUUAGGGAUAUUAGAGAUUUUGACAUUUUAAACAAUGUGGACUAACAUCGAUAAAUAUCAUGAAAGCAACUUAAGCUAACUUUUUUUUUCUUUGUUUAGUGGUGGAGUCCUCUAAUGUUCACUUUGUAACAACCACAAACAAAAUGCCAUGUCCUAAAGAACAAGCUCUUCUUAAACUCUUCAACAAUGUCUCAACUUCUUUGCAGCUUCUUUUCUUAGUCCUAUUUUCCAUUGCCAUUUUUCUUGUCACAUUCUUAACCUUCACUGGUAGAUUCCCCUUAAUCCAAAGGUCUUGCUAAUGCUCUUCUUUUUCUAUCUACACCUCCCAUUCAACUAGCACAUUCAUUUUUCCCAUAACAUGUAUUUAAAUUACAACAUUCUAUUUGUAUCUAUUGCAGAGAUCAACAGUAUGAAUAUGUGUAUUCUGAUGAUGAAGAAGAUGAAGAAGACGAAGAAGCCCCAGAAGAGUAUUCUUGUGUCCAUUCUUCUGAUAAGGAAGAGCGUCAAAGGACUCAUUCUGAAGAAUUCAUUAGCCCACGAGAGAGCUUUGUGGAAGGAUCAGAAGAAAAUGAUUGUUCCGAAACAUUGUCUAUGCAUCAAUCGCCGCAAGUUUCUGACUUCGAAAAUAAAGAGGUGGGAGCGUUUCAAGAAAACUUUCAAUCAAGAAAUGUUGUUGAUUCUGUUCCAAAUUAUGUUGAAUUUGAAAGCAGCCCCACCUCUUCCAUGAUCAACCUGAACCUAUAUAAAAGUAACAGACACCAUAACGGUAUUUCACACCGUAUCUCAUUUUAUAAUCUAUACUAUAGGCCUAUUUUGAUUAACUCAUUUGAGUUUAUCUAUUGACAUAAACACUUGACAUAGCUUAUGAAAACAAUUUGACUUUAUUUUAUCUUUUACGCUAGAAAUAACUUGUAUGUAACCACUUAUAUGAUAAACAUUUAUGAUAUAAGGGUUUAAUUAAGAUGUUUAUCCAAAUGAUCUCUAUAUGGUACUAUAGUGAAACACUGAUUUAGUCAUGAAAUUGUAAUGAUUAGAGAGUUUAGUCUUGAAAUUAACGAAAUUCUAAAAUGAUCCUCAAUCACAUUUGUACUUUAGGACUUCAAGACUAAAUUGAUUGAUCCAAAAAUACUAAUUGAAGAUUUUUAAUUUCACUCAUUAUGGUAAUUGAUAUUAUUCAAAUGCAGAUCAACACUUCUAGUUCAACUAUGUGACACUACUUUAUUAUGCAGAUGAUCAAGUUGGUCAUGGAAUUAUUAAAAAUAAAAAGGUGCAAGAAACAAGCCACUCAAGGGAUGAGAGAUUCUUUGUUUUUGCUUCUAAACAAUUGAACAGUAAAAAGUUGAUUGUUGAUGAAGAGAAAGAUGAUGUUGAUGACUUUGUCUACUCCUCUUCUGAAUGUAGAAGUUCCACUCAUUGCAGGGAAUCAGAAACUGAAGAUGAAUUUUCUACCUCAUCUAGAAGAAGUUGUCCCAAGUGGGAAUCAUAUACUUUGUUCCAAAGAUAUGAUGAAGAUAAUGCAUUCUUAGAAAGAAUUAGUGCACGAAACAAACGUCAUGAAACUGGUAACUAACCCUUUUAUAAUACUUAGUGAAUUAUAUUAGCCUGUUUAGCUUGACUUAUUUGAAUUUGUCUACUGAGUGACAUAAGCACUUGUGAAACUGUUUGAGAGAGUUUAAGAAAACAGCUUAUGCCGUGUCAAUAAGAUGUUUUAACCCUACUUCCAUAACCUCUACAAGAUAGCUUAUUGAAACAACUUUAUUUUAUCUUUUGUUAUAGAAAUACUAACAAAUACAUAAGCACUUAUAUGAUAAAACACUUAUUUUGUAACCACAUUUUCAGAGUCUUUAAGAUCAAUUCAAAUGUCACCAAGAUCAAUAUCAGAGCGAAUUGCGAACAAGCUUUCAAGUAUAAACAAAAAGCCAACUGAUGUAGGUCACAAUCCAUAUAGUGAACUAGAGGCUGCAUAUGUUGCACAAAUUUGCUUAACAUGGGAAGCACUUAGCUGGAACUACACAAAUUUCCGUUAUAAACAUGCGUCACAAUCGCGCCACGAUUUUGAUAUCGGUUGUCCGGCCACCAUUGCACAACAAUUCCAGCAGUUUCAGGUUUUGUUGCAGAGAUAUGUAGAGAAUGAGCCCUAUGAGCAUGGCAGGAGACCUGAAAUUUAUGCAAGAAUGAGGCUUCUAGCACCAAAGUUGCUCCUAGUACCGGAAUAUCACGGUAAGAUAAUGAUAAUUACAUUUUCUCCCUCUCUUUUAGAAGAAGAUUUCACAUCAAAACUUAUAAGUUCAAAUUAAAAUCCAUGUAGUAACCAGCUACAAAUCAUGGACUUGUAGUUAGGUUAAAACUACAAUCACAAUCGCAAUAUUUAGGUUAAAACUAGAUAUAAACCUAUUUUAAAAUAUAUCAAUAAUGAUGAAGAGAUACUCCAAGAUGGAUUAAAACUUAUUUAUACCAUAGUGUACAUAUCCUCUAUCCUUGUUUUCAAUUAGUAUUAUUGACAAAACAAGACAUUGUGCAAAAGGAAUUCUAAAGGUAAUAAAAUAUGUUGGAUAAUAAUGUAGCAUAGUUGUGCUUUAGAAGGAGAAAAAGGGUACAAAAUUCAUUACUCUAAAAAUGAAUACACAACAUUGUUUUAAUUAAUAAUUUUCUUGUUUUUGUUACAAAGAUUCAGAGGAAGAUCAGAUGGAUAGUGAUUUUCACAGUAAGAUAUCCUCAGCUUCAUUCCUUAAGAUAAUGGAAGGUGGGAUCAGAACAUUCAUGAAUUUUCUAAAGACUGAUAAAGAAAAAUCAUGUCAGAUCCUAACAUAUUACUUUAGGAGAAACAAAAGAGGCAUGGUUGAUCCAACACUACUCAAGCUAAUGAAGAAAGUUAAUCAAAAGGUAUGUUGCAAAUUUUAAAUUAACUUUUCUGGAAUAUUUUUCAGAUCAUUUAAAUUUAAUUCAUUCUCCUAACACAAAUACAAUGUAUAUAUAUGCAGAAGAGAGUGAAGGUUAAGGAUCUUAGCCAUUUAGGAAAAGGCUUGAGAAAGAGAAAGUUAAAGGUAGAAGAAGAGAUUGAAAUAUUAAUGGGCCUAAUAGACCUAAAAGUGGUGUCAAGGGUUUUAAGAAUGAAAGAGUUAAGUGAACAACAAUUGCAUUGGUGUGAAAAAAAAAUGAGCAAAGUGAGAGUUGUGGAAGGGAAACUUUGUAGAGAUUAUUCAACUCCACUUUUCUUCCCCUCAAGUUGAUUGAACAAUCACUUUGUAUUAUUUGAUGACUGGAUUAUGUGCAUGACAGCACACAAAAAAAGAAUAUGAUUAUAUGAAUAUAUAACACUCAUCAAAUAACAAACAUGUGGAAGCAUAGACCUUUGGAUCCUUAAUUACAAUGAAAAGGAGGGAUAAAGAUGAAUAUUUAUGUUACUGUGAAGCAUUUUGGAAGUGAAAGAGCAAGAGUCCAGAGCCAGAAAAUAUGACAUGAAGAUACUAGACUAGUGAACUAGCUUGUUUUACCUAGGAGAUUAUGUCAAAUUUGAGCUGAAUAAAGACAAGCAUGGACAAGAUGAAGCUGAAUAAUAUUGGGGAAUAAAAUACACUCCAAGAAUAACAAGCUGAUUAUUUAUUAUUUUACUUAUUUUGUUUGGUAUAGAAACACAAUUUUUGCAUAUUUUCUGUUUUAGAACUUAAUCUAAGAAGAGUUGAAUUUUAAUGGAAUAUGUUGUAAACUACUUUCAUGUUCCUAAAGUAUGGUGCAUAGUACAUUUUUAUCAUCUAUAUUAUUUUGGUUUAAGUUUCAAGCAUCAAUAGAUAUUACACGAUUACACAAUUAUUUUUACAAAGAGAGUGAUUAGUAGAUAUUUAGACGAUUACACAAUUAGUUUCAAGCAUUAAUAGAUCACAUAUUGGUCAUCGUGAGCUUAACUCAGUUGGUAGCGACAAUGCAUAAUAUAAGCAAAUUAUAGAGUUCAAAUCGUGGCCACCACAAAAAAAAAAAAAUAGAUCACACAUUGAACUUGUUCUUAUUUUGCAAAAUUAUUUAAAUAGUUAUUAUUUUAAAUAAUAAAUAUAUAAGUGUUAAAUUUAUAUAAUUUAAAAAUAUUUCAUAAAAGAUUAUCUACCUUACAAAUUUCUUCUAUUCUUCUAUUAUUUAUAUAGAGGUAUUGCCCCACGAUCAUCGUUGAGCCCAUCCAAUCAAAUAAUUUCAAUUAAUUAGUUUAAUAUCAAAACAGAAAGAAAAAAUUAUAUUGGCACCCGUGAUCAAUUGUCCGAGUGGAGUUACUCUCUCUCUCUCUGCAUUUUUUGGAACGACUCACCCUUCUUUUCCGUUACCUUGUCCAUCUCUUUUAUUAUACCAAUAACUCAAGUUUCAUAAUUGUGUGGAGAAUUCAGUAUUUUUUCUAAUUUCAGUCUCAACAGUUUUGGGACUUUGAGGAUGAAGUUUAUGUUAAGAGAGAGAGAGAGACUACUAUUACAACAUUAUUAAUUUUACAUGCCACAAAAGGAAAGAACAACGAGAAAAUAGCAAACUAAAGAAUGGUAGAAAAAGUCAAAAUACUGCUUUUUUUCCCUUCAGCUUUAUAAAGUUCCAUACCAAAAUCAUAAGAUUAAAUUGGUAGAAACUUAGUUAGUGUCCACAUCAAUGGCCAUCGCCUUCUCCUCUGAAGCAGAGGUAGUUACUGGAGCUGAAGGCUCAGCAGUGGACUUUGAUUCUGUGCUGGCAAAUGGACUCCUUGUUUGAACAGCAACACUGGAGUCUACCUCCAUAGCAGAAGCUCUGGGAGGUGAUGCUGGCUGCACCUCCACAUCUGGAUAAGCUGCCUUAAACCUUGCCCGCAGCCCUUCAUCCACUAACCUUACACCACUCAAUUGAUUACCCAGAGACAUCCACCUGAUGGAACAAUGGAGAAUAUUAUAACAGCUUAAGAUUACUUUGGAUGAAUUCAAAUAUCAAAUAAUGAAGAACACCAUAAAAAUCAGUUUAUGAUUUCUAUGGGUGAAUUUUUUUGCCCUAUACCUACAACUACAACCAGAUUAGGUUUUUAGUCCAAGAAAUCAUUUAAUUGAUAUAGAACAUUAUCAAGAAAUAAUCCACCCCAAUCAAACAAUUUUAAGAAUAGCGUUAAAAAUUCCCAAUAAAAAAAGUCAUGAAAAUUGAAAACCAACCCCGCAUGAGUAUUGUGCAUGCGAGCAAACAACUCCAGCUUUCUUGUUCUUGGACUUAUUCUCUCCAACAAAGGAUACAUCUGUAGGAAUAAAUUGACAAUUUUGAAAUUGUUAAGCAUAUGAAAGACUAAAAUUCGAACACUCAUAUGAUAGAAUAACUUUAGUACCGUACUAGGCAUAGUUAAACUAUUUAAAAGAUGGAACAUUCAAGCUUAACAAUCACGAAUGUGGGGAGGAAAAGUGAAAAUAUAUAUCAUGCAAAUGGCUGUUAGCAAGUUCUUUUUGUUUUAGCUAGGCUUAUUAUAAUGUAAAACCACCUUUUUGGAUAAAGAUGAAAAUUGAUGAUAGAGAACAUGACAUAACCUCGAAAACAGAAAAUUAUAGAUACAAAUCGAUGACUACUAUUGACCCCCGUUUUUAAAGUCGGCCAAAGCAUUGAGGGGCACAAUUAACUAUCAAAACUUUGUUGAAUAUGAUACAAACCUCAUCGGGCUUUCGGCUUGUUUCCCGGACUUCAGCAACAAUAACAUCGGUGUCAAUGUUUCUGUUUACUUCAGGACUACCCUUUAUCCCAACGAGACAAUGUUCCUUGCUGUGAUUGAGCCAAUGGCCCGUACGUCCAGUUCUAAUUAUUCGCUGAAGUUGAUUUGUUUUCACCCAAAUGAUCUCCUCAACACGUUUAUAUCCCCAAAGUUCUAAGCUGCAGAGCACAAUACGGAAUAUGUGCAAGCCAAAUGCAGAUUAUUAGUAAAAAGAAGCCUCAAUGUUUUUUUUUGGUUAUGCUAAUCAGAAUAUCAGAUGAAUAUUUUUUUCUUAACGAAAACAAAAAAUUAGCAUAUGACCAAAUACAAGUGCAAAUACCAUUCUCGUCCAAGUUCCAUCGCACGCCCAGUGACCCAUAGAAAAAUAAGCCCGUGAGUUUGCAGAGCAGGGACAUUAAGAGUGCGCAUUUCAUCAUCCGCCAUUGUUCCAUAAGGAAGCUCCAUGUGAAUGUCCCACGGUGGAUCAGCCAUUAUUACUCCAAACUUACCUAAUAUGUCCAUUCUAAAGUUACGUAUAUCACAGUUGAUCCAUUGUGGUUCACCAAGUUCCACUUCAGAACAAUACUCAGCACGCUGCUGUUUUAGUGGUUUGGGAGGAGGAGUAAGAGCACCCGUCAUUGUUGGAGGCAAAUCAGGUGUAGGGUCAUACUCAUAGUGAACAUAUUUACAUGUCUAUCAAAGGACAAAAAAGAGAGCAGAACUCAAACUUAGGACAAAUUAACUAAAAUGAAGAGAAAAAUCCAACAUAAGAACUCCGAGGUAAAAACCGUACCUUCAUGUGCCGGCAAGUAUCUAGAAAAGAACAGUCUCCCAGAUUAAUGUCAGUGUGAAGAGCAAUGAUUCGUCUAAAAUGAACCUGCCAAGAAAAGGAUUACAAAUGCACUUCAACAAAAGGCUAAAUAAAAAUGUCCAUACCAAUUUUUAAAGUUUGAUUAGUUGAAAACCACAUGUAUUAGUAUACCAGCUAAAACCAAAAUAGAUAGUGAAUAAGUUGAAAUGAAACCAGAGAAACAAAAUAACUAGUAAUAAAAUAUUGUUCUUGUCAUUAACCUUAUUACAUGCUACAAAGGAACCGGUCUGGCGCCGACAAUCUUCUUUUGUCAGUAAGUCACAAUAUUGUUUCACCUGAGAACCACCUUUAGUUUUGAACUGAAAAAUAAUACAUUUAAACAAGCAGAAUUAGAUUAAACUGUACGAAAUGCCAGAGUAUAGUAAAAGCUGUGAAUAAUCACAAUUCAAAACAGAAAUUUGAGUGUAUAGCCUAUCAAAGUAAGCAGUGAAUUUGAACCUUAGCAGCUACAGCAGCCUCCCUUGCAGUCGGUUUCUGAAUUAAAUCCAAAAGCUCCUUACCAGUUUUGGAUUUUUGCAUCUCCCUAAACGAUUUCUUAUUAAUUAUAGCCUCAAAUUCCUUCAAAUCCUCCUUCAAAUCCUCAUCAUAUGUUUUUGGUUUCUGUGGCAUUGCAUUAAUAUUACUCCCUGAUGCAUUUGGCCCCAUUGGGAGUCUAUGCAUCGACGGAAUAACUAUACCUCUCUGUGCAGACACCAUUCCCAUUAGUCCUGGUGCUACCCUUGGUCCACCACCAGAAAAUAUUUGUUGUAACCCUGGCAUGUGAGGGUCACCAUGUGACAUCCACAUAUUAUCAGAUAUUGGCCUCAAAACUGGCCUUCCCAUCGGACCCAUAACGCCAUUCACAUUGGUACUACCGGUAACAAUUUGUUGCUGAUUUUGAUUCAUAUUACCAUCUCCAAGACUCGAUUCAUUUUGUUGCUGAUGAUGAUGUGCAGUUUCAGGAAAUUCUCUCAAGAGACGGGCCCUUUCUAUAUUCAAAACCAUAAUUCUUGAUUUCCCACUUACAACAAACUCUUCCAAUUCAACAGCACCGUUAUCAUCUGCCAUUGACCUCAAAGCUAUCUCGACUGCAAGCGUUGGCCCUCCUGAAUCUCCACCAAGCUCUUGAAGUGCGGCUUUGUCUUGUGGCAUAACCGUUUGAUCGUUCUCCAAUUUCCACAAUAAAGUGGAAGAAUCAAUAGGUGAAAAAGGUACUCGACUUAAAAGACAAACAGCAACCAUUGAUCGAACAAUGGACAAAGAACUAACUUUCUCAGAUUCUGGAUUUUUAGUAACAAGAGAGAUUUUAGGGUUUUGAAGAUUAUUAUUAUUGUUAUUAAAAGGGUUUUGAGGUAGUUGUUGGAGAGAUGAUUUGGAAGGGUUGAAAUUGGUUAGAGGAGGAGGGAGAGGGGGUGUAGGAGCAAAAGGACGGUGGUUGAAAGAAGAGAGAACUUUCAGAGAAAGGUCAAGAGAAGAAACAAGAUUAGGUAUAACGGAUUGUACAGAAGAAAGCAUGUCCAUGUGUGACUUGUGUUGGGUUUCUAUGCGAGCUUCAAGUUGUUGCCUUAUAUCUUUAAUACUGUUUAAACCUUCAUCUGUCUCCAUGUUCAUGGAUGAUGAAUGAUGGAUUUCAAGUUGUUGCAAUGCGCAAUCUUCAGGUUGCUGGUACGGAAGCGGAUACGACGAAGUUUCUGGCAGGUUGUACGGCGGCGAGGAGGAACUCCGGUUGGGUUUUCUGGCGAGUUGAGUUAUCUUCGUUUUUCUGAUGCAAUUUGUUGAUUUAGGGUUUUGACUUUAUUUUUUCAAAUCAAUUUUGUAUUUCUUUUUUUUAGUGAAUGGUGAUGGUCCGGUUCUUAAGGUAGUGCAUUGGGCUUGUAGGUCCACCAAAAGUUCCGCACAUUUUCUUUUUGAAUUCAAGUCUAAUUUUACCGAUAAAUAUUUCGUCAACAGUCCUUUAAAAAAACGUUUAUAAAUCAAGUACCCCUAAAAAAAUUAUUGUAAAUUAAAUAAUCGAUCAAUUUCGUUUUUUUUCUUAAAAAAAUGGUUUAAAUUUCAAGACUAAAUAAUACACAAAUGAACUCUAGUUUUAAGAGGAGUGAAUUUGGGCAUGCUAACUUAACAUUAAUCGUACACAUACACACUAUUUAACAUAAUUUGAUGAAAAUAGAAUAAUGGUGUAGAUAUUUUAUGACUUAAAGAACCAAUUUAUAACAAAAAAACGUAAAAAAAAAUAAAAAAAUAAUAAUAAUAAUUUGUUACAAUCAUCUAACUUUAAAGAUCGUGUAUGAUAUUUGGCCUAAGCAGUGGCUGAACUGGGGUGGCAAGGAGGAGCCACCGCCACCCAUUAUUUACAGGAAAUUACUAUUAUACCCUUCAGUAAUAUGAGUAUUUCCAAUUCUACUUCAUUUUCCUUUUUCCCUUUCUCUUUCAUCAGAAACGCGAUUUUCUUUUUCUUCUCCCAGACCACCGUACCGCUCUCCAUUCACCACACCACCACCGCCGCGACCACUCUCAUUUCCUUCUCCAUCCAUCACCGUCGCAUCCUCCUCUAUUUUCUGUGUUGAUUCUUCAGUUUAGAGAGCUAUCUCCAUCUCUCUCCAUAAACCCUGAUUGUUGUAAAUUGUAAGGAAAUGUGAAUUUUAAUGUAAUUUCCUUCAAAUCUGAUUCUUCUUUAACGAUUGCAUGUUAUUUAGUUGAUUGCCAUGAGUUUUCCAUCUGUUGUUGUUAAACCUAGUUGAUUAGUGAUUACAUGUCUUGUUUGCUGUAUGAAAUGUUCUGUGAAAUGGGUCAUAAAUUUUUUUAUGAAAGUUUGUGUCUUUAUGCUAAAAUGGUGGUUGGAAAGUGAUUUAGUGUACAAUUUGUUUCAUGAGUUUUGCAUUUGAUUUAACUAUGUUAUGUUUUUGUUUUAGUACUAUGUUGUGUUUUUCAAUGUUCUUGGUUUAGGAACAAUAACAAAUGCUGUUUAUUCAAAGCAGUUUGAUGAAAAACCUCUUUUUUCCUUUGCAUUGAAUCAAAGCAUGUUGUUUUGGGUAACAAAAGAGGGUUUUCUAAUGCAUGAAUGUUUAUUCAGAGGUAAAUUGUUAGUGAAAGCAAACCAAGUCUCAUUGUUUCUGCAAAUAAUGAAAAUAGCACCGCUCCUGCUAGCAAGUAAGUAGGGUGGUGUGAAUUGGCAUUAGAGUUUACCGCAAGGUUUUAAAUUUAGGACAUGUUACAAUUUUUGAUACUGCUAAACAAAUGUUGUUGAUGUAGCCUGAAUCGUAGUUACUUACAAAUGCGGCGAUAUCAAAAGCCAUGAUGUCGUAGCUCAUAUUGCGGUUAAAUAAUGGCUGCGUUUCAAUUUUUUUAUUUUGAUGGCAGGAUGGCGGCCACCCCAAAUAUUUUUGUCUGACUCUGCCACUGGGCCUAAGAGACAACUAAACUUACAAUACAUAAUCAAACUUCAUUAUAUCAUCAUCCCCCUUAUUAAAAUAGUCAGUAACUUUUUUGAAUCGAGUACAAAAUCAUAGUUGUCAAGAUGUAAGUCAUAGAUCUAAUGGAGAGCAUAAAAUAGCCCAAUAGUUUCCCCUAAAUCCACAUUUCAAACAUGUGAUAGAUACAUGGUCUUGGCAAGAACAAACACACAUUCAUCACCUUUGAUACACGGACUGAUUCGAACAUGAUAAGAUAUGGAAAAGUUGCAUCAAUAUUGCAUUUCUAUCUACCUCUUUGUGGUUUCUGCCAUCACAAAAUGUUUAAAUUUGUUUAUUUAACCUCUAAUACUCGUCGAUGCAACAUAUGUUUGCAUUGUGGAAUUAAUUAUGUGUUUGUGAUGGAUCACAUAUUGCCAUAGACCAAUCCUCGAGUAAACAAACGAUUCGAUCUAAAAUAUGUGCGCUCAUUUUUUAACCACAUCUUUUUGUGUUUUUUUAUCUCAAGUAUAAUUAAUAACAAAAAUAUGAAAAUAAAUAAAAACAUUAAUCAAAUCAAGUAUUAUAGUUUUCGAGCUGGUAGGGAGGAUCGUAGUUUGACAUAACAUAACAAAUUAUUGCUAGGAGAAUGCUAACCAGUGCAUUAAGGAUAUUGGUUAAGCAUCCAAAACAAGUAAAUUUUUAUAAAAAAAUUGUGUAAUUAUUAUUUGAUUAAAAGUAACGCCUUAUAUUUUCAAGACAAAAAUUUUAUUUGUAGAUUCUUUAAUCAUUAUCCGAAGACACCGAUUAACAAAACAUUUAUCAUUAUUCUGUCUCCAAAGCUUUUGGUCUUUUGGCCUUUUUAUUUGCUUAAUGAUUUCCACUUCUUUUAAUCUCUCCUUAAAUUAUACAAUACAUAAUAAACUUCAUCAAAUGUCAUGCUAGUUAACCUCUAUUACUCCUCUCCAAAGAAAAAACCUCUAUUACUUCUCCCUUUCUAGUUUUUGACCAGUCUAAACAAAAAUGAUUAUGAUAAAUUAGGAUUAACCAUUGUCCAUUAACAUUGAUAAUAAUUCAAAAAAGUAAAAUAAAAUAAAAAAUGUAACUACACAUGUUUGAUGUCCAGCACGACACGUCUUCAAUAUAAAAUGUUGGUACUACAUAUAUUUUUUUGUGGAAUUGGUACUAUUGAAAACAUUGAUAUCAUUUUUGAAAUAAUCAAUUACUAUUCUUCUUAGCCUUCCCAACACGCAAAAAUGAACCGAACCCAAAUAAACUUAAACUUCCUUUCGAAAAACAAGGAGUUGGUACAUUCAAAACAGGACUAAACCUUAGGCCAUUACCAUAACUCUUACCUGAACAAGACUUCUGCACAGGAUACAAAUUAUUUAAGGUAGAACAUGAUGAAGAUAGUGAUGACUGUUGUCUAUUCGAACUCGUUCUCUUUAGAUUUGGCGCUGAACCGGUUGAGUUGCUUCGUGACAAAGGAGGAGAAAAACAUACAAAAUUUUUAUUUGUAUCACAAUUGAGACUUUUGCUUUUUUUGAAUCCUAUAAAAGAACUAGAUCGAGUAUUUGUUUCUUGAACUUCUUUGUUGAUCUCUUUCUUUGUUUUAGUCGAAAAUGGUCGAGGCGGAAGAUUCAUAUAUCUAGGUUGUUCCUUAUAAGACGCAGUGUUGUUUUUCUUGUCAUGUAUCUGCAAUGGAAGUAUAACUCCAUUAGAGAAAAGUUCAUCAGCUGAAGAUGUUCCAAAUUCAAUGUUUUUGCUAGUGAUGAAUUCAAAAUCAGUAUUUGAUUCAAGAAGCAGUGUGUCUCUACAAGAAACAACAUCAUGUUUCAUUGGUGAAACAUCAUUGGAGAAAGAAAAACGAGGUGAAGAUGUUUGAGAACACAUAACUGAAAACAGGUUCACUUUCAAAAUCAGAAAAGGUUGAAACAAAAGAAGGUGCAAAGGAAUUUUUGUAUAUUGUUGGAAAAUAGUAGAAACGAAAAAAGGAAGAUGAAUUAAAUAGAGAAAAGGGUAUCUCUGAAAGUUUGGAAAUUAUUGUGUAAUAUUAGAUUUGGAGGUACGUAAAUGUAACCAUUUUCUAGUUCUGCUGAACUGAAGGAAGAAUCUGACCGGUUCGGUUCUAUAAGAUAUAUAUGGACUUUGAGGGGUUUCUAUCCUAACCACUUGCGAUGAUUAUUCUCCUUUUCCACCAUCACAUAUUUAUGUAUAUUUUUAUGGUUAGACCAAGAACAUUGUCCUAUUUUUUAUUUUCCCUUGUAAAUACCAUUAUGAUAACUACCGAAGAUAAUAACAUUGUCUUAUUUAUCUCUAAUAUUAUGAAGUAUCACUAGUAAAAUGUUAUUUAGAUGACAAAGUCACGUCAAAUACCACAUUUAUAAUGAAUUAUAGGUAAAAUUACCCUUGAGUUUUUUUUAGCAUAUUAACCGCUUGAGUCAAAUUAAUUGGUUUAAAAAUAACUAUUUUUAUAUGCUAUAAAUAAAUAUGUAUAUAUCGGGUAAGCUUAGCUAAUCUUUCAUCAUUUUCUAUUUAAUAACAAAAAUAAUUUUUUAACCAAUAAACUACUUAAAAAAAGAAAAAGGACAUAGAUUAAAGAAGUCGCCUUUCUUUCAUAAUAUUUUGUUUCCUAUUAAUAUCACAGGAUAAUAAUUUCUUAAUGGCAUCGUUAGUAGAAUAGUAUGGUUGUCCUCGUGAGCUUAAUUCAGUUGGUUGGACAAUACAUGAUAUAUGUAAGGUCCGUGGUUCAAACCCCGCCACCACAAAAAAAAAAAAAAAAAAAAAAAAAAAAAAGUAGAAUAAUAUGGUUGGAUAAUCCUAUAACACUUGGAUAGACAAGGCUGCAAACACAUUUGGGUUUAUCACCAUAUUACUAAAAAUUUAAUCGCUAUGUACAUCUUUUUAAGAAGGAAAUCACAAUACAGUAUUAUUUACCAUUAUUUCACCAAAAUAACGCAAUAAAUAAAAAAAGUCUGCAUGUAUUUUAAGCAUUGUAUAAAAAAUGAAAUUGAUGAAAUGAAAGAACAUUUUACCCACCAACGAGAUAUUAACUUUUAUAGUGUAAUAUUUUAACAAUACAUUUAAUCAAAAAAAAAGAAAAGAAAUCAAAUCAAAUCAAGUCACCACACAAUGUUGGGCUACGGCUGGUUGAUUUCUCUUCCGAUUUUCCUAGUUUGUAAGUAUAUUUCAGGUUUUGUUGUUUUUCCUUAGCACACCUUAUGUUAGAAAGGACAUUUUGUGUUAGUAAUAUAAUUUCAUUUUAGCUUCUUUAAAAAAAAAAUCACCACACAAAAAAAAAAAGUCACCACACGAAAAAAUCAAAUCACUUCUUAUAAAUUUUGUAGAGAUAUUUUAGAAACUAAUAUCUAUACUAUAUAUAAAGAAAACAAAUUCUUUCAGCUCUUUUGAAUUGAAUUUUUCUUUCCAAAAAUGCCCUCAAUUUUAAAUCUAUAAUCUACGGUCUAUGAUAUAUAUAAAGAAAACAACCCCUUUCAAUUUUAAAUAAAAAUAACACAUAUAACAAAUAGAUAAGAAUAAUUUAUACUAUAUAUAAAAAUAAAAUAAAAUAAAAUAAAAAACCCUUUGAGCUCUUUUGAGUUGGAUUUUUCUUUCCAAAAAUGCCCUCAAUUUUAAAUCUAUACUAUAUAGGUUUAAAUGAGUGAUUAGUCUCUGCACUUUGACCAUUUUUUAGUAUUGGUCCCUGCACUUGUUUUUUUGUUUGGUUUAGGUCCCUACACUUUGUAAAAAAAUUGUUAUGGAUCCUUCUGUUAAUUGACCGUUAGAAAAAAAACUCACGAAACUAACGGAAUGUCACGUGCCACAUUACAAGACAAAAUAAUUCAAAUAAAAUAAUUGUUUUUAAUUAGUAUUAAUAUUAAUAUUUACUCAGAGCAUUCAAUCCAUUCAUGCCAUGGAAUCUUACAGCGUGCACAAAACAUCAUAUUACUAUGACGACAUUCUGAAUUUGUAAUUGCCACAUUUCCGUAUCAAAAGAGAAGAACAAUCUGUAAAGGGACAAUAGAAUUUCUCCCGAAACAAACAAAGCCUCGCACAACGCUUACACCAUCGUUCAAAAAGCUCUGCACAAAUGAUAGAACACCGUUUCCUCAAAACAAAACAAAAAUAGAACACCGAACGUUGAUGAUGUUAUCUGAAGCUUGGAAUCGAUGUUAUCUGGUGUUCUUCAAAUAAAAGAAUUAAUAAUAAUAAGACAAAUUUUAUGGUAUACCUAAAGAUUUGAGUGUAUUGGUACACCAAAUCAUUGAACUAAUAGUUAAAUAUAUUAUUUUUUAAAGAAAAAAAUUAUUUUCUAUCACCUAUAAUUAUAAUAAUUAAAUCUUAUUUAUAAAAAACGUCAACGAAGUAAAAUUUAAUUUUUCUGAAUUUUUAGUACUCAUGAUAGAGAAUUUUGAUUAUUUUUUACAAUAAAAUGUAAAAAAAAUAUAGUAUGAUUUUUAUCAACAAUGAAAUGAUGUUUUUUAAUUUCUUAUGAAAUGAUAUUUUCUAAAAUACAAAUAUCAACAAAUAGCUCUUUAUUUCAUAAAAAUGAUAGUUAAUGUAUAGAUUUUUGAAGUAAGAGUAUCAGUAUAUCUUAAUUUUGCAGGUGUACCGUAGAAAUUUCCAAAUAAUAAUACUUAUUCAAAACAAUUAUUUUAUUUGAAUUUUUUUAAUUUUAAAAUUUUGUCUUGUAGUGUGCCACGUGGCACUCCGUUAGUUUUGGGAUUUUUUUUAACGGUCAACUAACGGAGGGACCAAUAACAAUUUUUUUACAAAGUGCAGGGACUUAAACCAAACAAAAAAAAGAUGCAGGGACCAAUAUCAAAAAAUUGUCAAAGUGCAGGGACUAAUCACACAUUUAAGCCUACUAUAUAUAAAGUAAACAAUUUCUUUCAAUUUUAAAUACAUAUAACAAAUAGAUAAGAAUAAUUUUAAAUAUUAAAAAAAUGUAACAAACACGAUAUGUCUCAAUUUUUUCCUUUAUCAUUUAAAAAGUGUAACAAACUAGAUGAAUAUAUUUAUUUAUAUCUAUACUAUAUAUAAAGAAAACAACCCCUUUCACCUCUUUUGGGUUGGAUUUUUCUUUUUGAAAAUGCCGUCAAUUUUAAAACUAUACUAUAUAUAAAGAAAACAACCCUUUCAAUUUUAAAUACAAAUAACACAUAUAACAAAUAGACAAGAAUAAAUUUAAAUAUUAAAAAAAAUGUAACAAACAUGAUAUGUCUCGAUGUUUUUCCUUUAUCAUUUAAAAAAUGUAACAAAUUAUAUGAAUAUAUUUAUACUUACUUUUUCAUUAUCUCAAUUAUACUCUUAAACAACUUUUUCUAUAAUAAAGAUCGUUAUUGAUGUCUCUAAAAAAAGAAUUUGGAUUAUAUUCUUUUUGUUAUAUUGUUUGUUGAUGUCGUUGAAAUAAAUAAUCAUGAUUAGUUUGCUUUGUUAUAACUUGAAAGCGACAAACAUUUAUAUUUUUAGUUUUAAUCCAAAUCAAAAUUUUAUAAAAAAAAAAAAACACCUUUAAUAAUUUUUAAACGUAGACGUAAUAAAAAGAGCGGAAAGACGGACACGUGAUUUGAUUUAUUUAUUUUUUUAUAAUAAUUAUUGAAAAUUCACACACACAAGUGGAAUAGUUGGAGUUUAAACUUUUGUCACAACAUGCAACUUAGCAAUUUUAGCAUUUUUCUUUGUUGAAUAAAAACUUUUUUUUUUGCUUGAAAUAUUUGUUGAACAGGAACUUGUAGUUGAUUUAGUCCACGUCUAAAAAUGUUUACCAGGUGAAUACAAAUUAAAUUCAUAACCUAAUAGUGGUGCUAAAAACGUUAAUGAUAUCAGACCAUUUCUCUAUCUUCAUAUAAUAUUUUCAUUGCUGUUUCACCACCCAAAAAAAAAAAAUUAAAAUAUUUUUGUUGCUGUUUACAAGUCAAAUAAAAAAAAUGAAAACUUUAACAAGUCAAUGAAAAGCAAUUUUCCGAUAGUAGUUUAUGAACCAAAUGGUUAGGUGGAGGCUAAUUCAAUUCAAUACCAUGAUGUCAAUGACCAACUCUCUCAAAGACGCAAGUUGUUACAGUUCAUGCCCAAGAAUAAUUUAUUUCUCUAAUAUAUACAUACAGCCUAUCCUAUUUUCUAAAAUUUAAAACUCAUGAUUCAUCUCUUCUCUUCCAAUAUUCCAAAAAUGACUCACUUAUUUUACUUUGACACGAAAAUUGUGUUAUCCAUCAUCCAUAUGAUUGUUGAAUAUAUAUAUGGUGGCAAGGGUUCUUUUGCAACUAAAAAAGACUCUCGAGAUUGAGUCUUGCAUCCAGCAUUAUGUGAACAAGAUUCAAAUCACGUAUAUUAUGUUAAAAAUAUCAGGAUCUUACCUAAAAUGACUAAAAAGUCAAUUUUCCCUUUAAAAUUGUAAGUUUCAUCAAUUAUCUCCCUGAAAUUAACAAAACUUCAAUUAUCCCCCUGAAAUUUCACAACGUUAGUCAAUUUAUCUCCUCCGUCAAAUUUUUCUGUUAGUGAACAUGACGUUUUGCAAAUAUCCCCCUGAAGUUUUACACUUAUGUGCAAAAUGCCCCCCAAACUUAAAAAUUUAUAUUAUUUUUUCCUUGAAAACAAACAAUUUAUAGUUAAAUAUCAAAGCUAACUAUUAGUUUUGGAGUUUGGAAAAACUACAUGCAUAUAUACAUCAAAAUAGGGAAAAAUGUGUAUUUUUAAAGUGACAAUAAUGGUUAUUUCUAAUAGACAAAUUAUUAUUUUUAGAGGUUUAUAAACAAAUUAAUAAUCAGAUUUAAAUUUAUAUUUUCUCAUUCACCGUCUUAGUCUUGUAACUCCUCCAACUCCUUCAACAAUUUGCUCAAACCAUUUAAAUUACACAACCCCCAAUAUUUUCAUAUGACUUGUUCUUGUUUACACAUUUUAUAGAAAACUUCAUUCUGACUUCUUGUUUGUGCUUCAGACAGGGACAAUCAUCCAUCGUAUACAAUCUAGCUCACACCACAAUACUAUCAGACCGACAUGUCAUAUAUAGCAUAUUAAGUAAUAUUCAUGUAAAAAAGACACAAAUCAUCAGCAAAUGAAAUAUGUGAUCGGUAUGUAUAGAGGAACACUUAUUGAGAAAUGUCAUACACUUGGACAUAUAUUUAUUUACCUUUGAAAUUAAUCCACAAAUCAUCCCAUUAUUGUCGCUUUAAAAAAUACAUAUUUUUCUCCAUUUUGGAGCCUAUUUUGAUGUAUAUAUGCAUGUAGUUUUCCCAAAUUCCAAAAUUAAUAGUUAGUUUUAAUAUUUAAUUAUUAAUUGUUUGUUUUUAAGAAAAAAAUAAUAUAAAUUUUUAAGUUUGGGGGGCAUUUUGCACAUAAGUGCAAAACUUCAGGGGGUAUUUGCAAAACGUCAUAUUCACUAACAGAAAAAUUUGACGGAGGGGGUAAAUUGACUAACGUUGUGAAAUUUCAGAGGGGUAAUUGAAGUUUUGUUAAUUUCAGGAGGGUAAUUGAUGAAACUUACAAUUUCAGAGGGGAAAUUGACUAUUUACUCUACCUAAAAUGUUGGCGAGUUUAUUUAUAGUAUAUAUGUUGACAUUUUAUAAACAGUUGAAAACGGUGGCAUUUAAUUUGGGAAAGGGAAGUUGUUUCCCACCAUGGGAAAGCUAAUUUUGACCGUUAGAUUAAAUAGAGAACAUAUUUUUAUCAUAAACACUCAACACCAAAUUUUUUUUUCCACACUCAACAACAACAUGAACUGCUACUUCAACUCUCUUUCUUCCUCUCAUUCUGACCAUCACCGCACACCACUAGGCUGCUGCCGGAAAACUCAACAGAUGUUCAACAAUUUAUGAGAAAAAAUAUGAUAAAAGAAGAACAUAGUUUAAUCAACAGACACUCAAUUACCAUCUUCAUUUAUAUCUGGUGUUGAGUAUAAGAGGAACAGAGUGAUGGCACUCGAUUACCAUGCUUCAACAAUUCCGGCAGCAGCCUAGUGGUGUGCGGUGGUGGUCAGAAUGAGAGGAAAAAAGAGAGUUGAAGUAGCGGUGCAUGUUGUUGUUGAGUGGUGAGUGUGGAAAAAAAAAUCUGGUGUUGAGUGUCUAUGAUAAAAAUAUGUUCUCUAUUUAAUCUAACGGUCAAAAUUAACUUUCUCAUGGUGGGAAACAACUUCCCUUUCCCAAAUUAAACGCCACCGUUGAAAACCUAAUACAUGUGUGAGGUGAAAUUGUAAUAAUUACGAUCAACUAUAUAUAAUGAUUUUGAUAAAACUACAAUAUAGAUUUUAACAAAAUUACAAUGUCACUAUAAAACUACAACCGUGCAGCCAUACACUUCUCCAAAAGUAUAGCUUCUCAAAGAACGUGAUUCAGACAGUAAAUUUUAAGAAUCGUAAGAAAUAUGUAUGUGUAUUGAUGAUGAUUAGUAUUAGUGACUUCAUCCUUCUUUUUUUUCACUUUAGAGUUCCAACGUAUCAUUUUGGACUAUAAAAUUUAAGUCUUCCUAUAACGUAGAGGCAAAUUGAGAAUAACAAAAGUAUUAAUAUAGAUCUAUGAAGUAUGAGUACAUACACGAAUAUCAAAUACUAUACUGACAUACCGACACGGAUAAAAUUUUAAAAAAAUAACAUAAUUUAAUUUAAUCACAACUAUUAGUGUCAUGUUGCUAUCAGACACUAUAAGUGUUGAAUACCGGAAUACGUCUUCAAUUAAAAAGAAGUGUCACUGUCAGUGCAAAAAGAGGUAUAGAUUAUGUAUAGCAUGGUAAGCGGGGUGUCCUUUGAGGACGGACCCCCUUACACACAACAAUCUAUUUCCUCCUUUAUUGAAGACAAAUAACCUAUUUCACAACUUUCCAUGUGUAUAUCUUGAUGCAGAAGAAUGACUGAACACAGAGCCAUGUAAAUAAUAAAUUGUCCUUAUUUCAGAUGCUCAAUACUUGUCACAGCAUGAAGCCCCACAUACCUACCAUUUAAAGGGCCCCACAAAGCAGAUUUGGCAGAAAACAUUUUUGAGGUACGAAAAUAUGUAACCAAAUCCAUAAUCUGCCCAAAAGCCAUGCACGUUGGGUGUGAGACCUAUCUUCGUUAAAUGGUGUAGAAACUUGGUUGUGAUUGAUCUUAUGGACCCAU